RNAcentral lists this long non-coding RNA (120608 nucleotides) under Coffea arabica (coffee). Its description in RNAcentral is "long non-coding RNA (CARA_LNC004448)". The record is from RNAcentral. Lineage: Eukaryota; Viridiplantae; Streptophyta; Magnoliopsida; Gentianales; Rubiaceae.
GACUUAAUUAACUUAUCGAGUUAAUUCCCUCGCCCUCUCUCUCAGUUUCUUAUUUGUUUUGGGUUCUCUAUUGAUUUUGUAAAUGUAUUGAUUUUGUUUCUUUUGUGAGCAGUAGUGGAAGAUAUUAUGUGCAGAGAUUCCAGCAGAAAUCAACCUUCUUGCGGCCGGCUUAAUUUUCCAUGUCAGUCCCCUCUGCCUUUUAAGUAUGUUUUGCUUUUGCUUUGUUUUUUGUCAUGAAUGAUAUUGAAUUGAUUUUCUGAUUAUCCAUUAUUUCUGAAAAUUUUUUACAAAAUCUUAUGAACGGUUGUUUGCUUAUUGUUACACUGUAAAGCAAAGAUAAAAAGGUAUUGCUUGCUUAUAUAAUUGUGGAUGGUAUAGGUUCAUGAUUGAGGGUUCUACUAUUUCUAACAUAAAUUGUAUAUUAUAAAAAUUUAUUUGUUUGUAUUACUGAAAUUUUUUUAAUUAUUUUUUAUUGCACAUUUAUCACAUAAAAUAGGUGUUACGAUAGUUAUUUUCAUAAUUUUAUUACAAAAAUGAUCGUGCAUGAAAUAAAAAAAGAUUUUUUUAUAAUUUAAAAAAAUAAUUAAAAAUGAUUUAUAAUUGAAGAAAAACAAUUCAGAUAUUACUAAUAACUAAGGCACUAUACGCCCAUUAUUAAAAUUGGAUUAAUUUUUAAUUUCGUCAGAAAUCCUUUUGGCAAAAUUGCAUUAUAGCAUUUCUUUUCUUUAUCAACAAUGACAAUUACAACUACGUGAUUCAUCUAUCUAGCAACAGCACAAUUCAACUCAUGGAAUAAAUAGUUCAUUGCUUAAAGUACAUAAACGAAAGGUUAGAGGCAAGUCCUACUUAACACCUGCAAGUAAUAUAUUACAAUUAGAAAAAAAAAAUGAUUCAAGAGGAGCAAAAAACUCACAAAGCCCCUGACAUAUGUGCAAUCGUCAAGACACUUUUGAGCAUUUAAAACUGCAUUCCUUAGUUCAGGUAACCACUUCUCUGUAAUUGUUUUCAUUUGAUUACAAUGCAAUUCUAUUAAAUUCUAUUGAUGUUAUUUCUAUAUUAAUUAUUGUAUUUUUUUGGUUAACAGUUCUCAUACAAUGUAUCACUAUUUACACAUAAAAUAAAUACAUAAACUAUUGAUUUUUAAUUUAAUAUAUAUUUUAUUUCUAAAUCAAAGAAAUGAAAAAUCUAACUGUUCUCAAGAUCGCCAGGCAUCCACAUCACCAAUGAUUUUGCGUGAUCAUGGUAAAUAUACAGUUUCUUAUAUCGUCAUACUCAUCUUACAUACACACUUUUUGGCUGCACUAUCUUGCUAAAUCAACUAUAGAUACAAUACAAUACAAUUGUAUUACAAUUGUUCGAUUAUAAUACAAUUGUAUUACAUUCUAUUGAUGCUAUUUAUAGACAACUUAGUAAUUUUAUAGAUUAGCAAUUUAUUUUAUUUUAUAGAUUACCAAUUACUACAUGUACCAAAAUAUUUUUAUAUAGGGAUUACUUCAUUAACUAUGGGUGCUAAUAACAAUUCAAUUGGUGCGUAUUUUUCAUUUGAUUACAACACAAUUGUAUUAAAUUCUAUUGAUGUUAUUCUAUAUUAACUAUUGUAUUUUUUUGUUAACAAUUCUCAUACAAUGAUAAAAAAAAUUCUCAUACAACCGAAAAAAGACGGUUCUUGAAUGAUAUAUAUAUUCUAUUAUAUUUCAAACUAUUGUUAAAUAGAUAUUAUAUUUUAAUUUUAUUGGUAAAAUUUUUUCACCUUUAUUUGUUCACCAUUUUAUUUUUUUUCUAAUAAUGUCAGCACCGUGCAUAGCACGGGUAUUCCCACUAGUAUAUAGUAAGAUAGUAGUAGUUAAAUUAACAUAAGCGGCAAAUAAGUCACGUGACACUCACCGCUGGCGUGGGAGACGGCGAGUCCACUUCACUUAUCCUGGAGGGAAACAAAGGCUAUACUGCGAACGAGAGAGAGAGGGAGAGAGCGAAGAUUAUGGCGAGCGGUUGAAUUGAAGCCGAGAGAGAAUUGAACAGCGAAGUAGCCGUUGGAUGGUGGUGGUGGGACUGGGAUCAACUCAACAAAUCUAUCGAAACAAAACCCCAAAUUCACAUUCAGCCCCAAGGCCCAAGUUCCGUCGAUCCAACCAACCUCCUGCAAAUGACGCUCAACGCUUCCCAUUUUGUCGCCAAUUUCGAGCCCAAACGGUAAUACACCCCCCUCUCCCUCCUUCCCUUUCAACCUGCUUAAGCAUUUGUAUAUGCAUAUGAAUGUAUUGUGCAUGCUUCAGUUUUUGAAUUGCAAUACAUGGGUGUGGUGAGGUGUCAUGGAGACCGAAUUUGUAGCUAAGUUUUACACACAACCCUUGAUGCUUAAUCUCGAAAUUCAUGGAAAAUCCGUUGCGUUUAGAGUUUCUCCUUUUUACUGAAUUUACCCAAAUUCAUCACUACCGUUUUGCUACUACUUUUUUAAAGUUCCUAUUAUACACUCUCUGUUGCUUAUUUACGUUGUUUAUUAUUAUUUCUCAAGACCAUUUCUUAGGAACUUACUUUGGAAGUGGGCACCCCCUAAUGAGAAAAAAAUAAUGAUAAUUAUGGAGACCAUUGGCUGAUCACUACGUGUGUGAGGUCAUAUUGUAGAUCCAGUUAGUCUGGUAAAAGGAGCUUCUUCUGUUUUAAAUUUUAGAUUUAUAAUACAGUGUUGGGAUUGGGGUGGUUUGAUCUUGUUCAGAUAUAGAAUAUAAUUAGAGAGAGAAAGAAAGGUGGUCAGGUUGCACUUGUAGGAAUAGAUUUUAAGUUUUUUGUGUGUUACUUUAGAAAUCUGGUAAUGUGAUCUAAGAUUGGCUUGAUGUGGAAGAGCUAUGGGCAGUGGAAUCCAUUUCUUCAUGACCAAUUAUGUUGCUGUCCUUGUUGAGUAAGCGUUCAUUGGACGUUGAUUCCAGGUAAAAUCCGUCUCUAGGGAAUUUGCACGUCCGCCAGUAUUGCACCUUAUAUACAAAGCCAAUGGCACACAAAUGAAUGUAGCGUGCUAACCUAGAUAAUGUGUAAUAAUCACCGUUCCUUUUCAGAGAUAUGGUAAUACAGUAUUGUAUGAACAUUUUGAAAUGGAGGAUGUUGAUUUUUUAGGAUUGGUAUGUUUGGCUAUAAAUGCUCAAAUGGUAAUGCAAUUUUGACAGGGAUGCAUAUGGAUUUACUGUGAGACCUCAGCAUCUUCAUAGAUACAGGGAGUACUCUACCAUCUACAAGGUAAAUUGUCAUCUUGACAUUUUCCCUCUGCUUAAUCUCUGGUUUUGCAGGAGACUGAAUUUAACUUAAUACUGCAUAGCCAUGAGGAUAAAUGGACUCAAAUUAUAGUUGCAUAGUUGGUUGAAGGGGACUGCAAUAGUUUUUAUUUUUUGUUUUCUUUUGGGUCUCAAGGGAGAAUUACAAAGGAAAGAGAGGGGGAAUUGACAGAGAAACAGAAGUGUUGUCCGCUCAAUCAUGCUUUUCUCAUGAAGCUUAUUUAAUCUUAUAUCCUUCAUUUCAGGAAGAGGAAGAGGAAAGAUUUCACAAGUGGAAUUGCUUUCUGCAACAGCAAACAGAGUCUACUGUGUCUCCGGAGAAUGUCAAAACUGUGAAACCUGAAGUUACGGAGCAGCAAAUUAAGCCUAUUCAGCAGUUGACUGCAGAAGGGGAUGCUUCAGGUGGAGUUGAGUCUGUUCCAGACAUACUCGAAGAAACUGAUGCUGAGAAGGAGGUGCCAGCUAUUAUACCAAAGGAAUCUUCUGAGGUGCAUAAGUGGGUCCCUGUUAGACCAUCUCUCUGUCACAUAGAGGAUAUGAUGAGUUCUCGUGCAAAGAAGGGAAAAAGCAUGAUAGAUGAGCUUAUAACCACUGACCAUAACCAUCUUCCCUCAAUUAUGGAGGAGAGUCACUCAGGAGAGGAACUUGAGCAAGCACAUGAAGAAGAACACUACGACAGCAAAAGGGAUGCUAGCCCUGAUGCUCCUAAAGAAAGAGGUGCUUCCAUCAAUGGAGUCUGUACAGAACCCUUGUUUCCUUGGAAAGAACUGGAGUUCCUUGUUCACGGAGGAGUGCCAAGGGAUUUGAGGGGAGAGGUACUAAUCUUCCCUAUUUACCAAUAGUACCCAAGAUUAUGGUCGAACUAAAUUUUGUUUUUUAUCUCAUCUUGGUGGCUAGGUAUGGCAAGCCUUUGUUGGAGUUAGGACACGCAGGGUAGAGAGAUACUACCAGGAUUUGCUGGCUCCAGAAACUGAUGCUGGUAAGGACCGGGAUGGUGAUAAAUCACAAUCACUUGAAGAUAGAAAGGGACCGAAUGAGAAUAGUGUCCAUGUGCCUGAAAGUUUGAGAAAGCAAAUUGAGAAGGUCAUUAGAUGCAUGGAAACUGGACUUUAUCGUUCACUCUUUUAAUUCGUAGGUGCUACUUCUUUUUAGGGCCUGUUUUGGGAUGACAAAUGAGGAUCUUUUAGUUACUAAAGAUCCUUAUGUGAUCUUCUUCUUUGUUUAGAUAUCUCACUAAAUGCAGUAUGGUUUGUUUUCCCUUGUCUGCAAGAAGCAACCUGUCUCUGCUUCUUUUGAAACGUUGACCUAGUUUUCAUGUGAACUGGCCUCUAUUUACUGCAUUGUCCAUUUUCUUAAUGCUCCACAGCACAUAUAUCACCACCCUUUGCUUCAUGGUUUCUUCUCUGUGUUCAAUUUCUCAUAGUCCACAUUUUAAUUCUAAGAUGCUUAUGCCAAAUUCGCCAUGUUUGGUAUUGCAUUCCAAGUUUCUCCCAGGGCUAACCUACUAAUCUAUUCUUUACAGGAUCUGACUAGAACAUUUCCUGGACAUCCUGCAUUAAAUGAAAAUGGUAGAAAUUCUUUGAGGCGUUUACUUUUGGCAUAUGCUCGACAUAACCCAUCAGUUGGGUAUUGCCAGGUAACUCUUGGCUGAAGCUUUUACCUUCUUAUACUGCCCUUAUUAGGUUGUUAGAUGAGAUGUAUAACUUAUCCAUGUGUGGCAGUUUUAACAUUAACUAUAUGAUUUGAUGAAUAUGAAUUCAUUUGUGGUAUUAGCUCCUAAAGUGAUUUGGCUUAGGUCCUCACUUGAAGUAGCAGUAAAGACGUUUAAAGAAUUGUAUUCAAUCUUCAUUAGUUGCAAAAGGAACAAAUACUUGUUUUCUCAAUGGCAUUUAGUUAUUCAUGUGUAUCCACCUUAUUAAAUUUAUUCCUGGGAUUUGGAUCUCAGGCUUAGUUUUUUUUACUAUUUUCUUUAUCUAUAAUGUUCUGCAGGCUAUGAAUUUUUUUGCUGGCUUAUUACUUCUUAUGAUGCCUGAGGAAAAUGCCUUUUGGUAAGUCUCAAAUGUUUGCUGCUUUAAAGGGUUGAUGCUUUUCAUCAUGGUAUUCUAGGAAAUUUCACUUGAAAUUGGACUGGACCUGUUGCUUUUUUCUUAGUGUAAUGUGAUUGCAUCCCCAGAGCAGAAAAUGUAGCAUGUCUAAAAUUAAAAUACUGUGGCACACACAACUUUCAGAUGGGAAAUGUACAUGCGAGUUAGAAUCUAGAUAGAAAAAAUAGUCUGUAUUACUUUUGUGAAUAAAAGUUCUUGAACGGUUUACAAUAUUGACACUAAUAGUUGAUAAUUUUAUGCUUGGAUACCCUUUUUUGGCCCUGCUUCUUUCAAGUAAGGUUUAUGUAUGUCACUUCUAUGCAUCAAUCAGCACAAACACAUAUUCAAACACACAAACACACCCAUGUGUGUUAUUUGAUUUGGAGCACAAAAGCUCCGCUGACUUUAUAGACUAGUUUGUUUUGCUUCCUUCAGGACUUUGGUCGGUAUCAUUGAUGAUUACUUUGAUGGUUAUUACUCUCAGGAAAUGAUAGAAUGCCAGGUUUGAACCUCUAUUAUUUUGAAGUUCACUGGUACAUGUAUGCUUAUUAUGAGCUAUUUUGCAUACCUAAGACUUUUCUGGUCAUUUCUUAGGUUGAUCAACUUCUUUUUGAGGAGUUGAUGCGUGAAAGGUUUCCUAAACUGGGUCAGUCAAGUGCCACAUGGAUUUUCCUUGAUUAGCUUUUGUUGCUAUUUUAACACUAAACUUCCUUACUUGCUGGUCCGUUUGUUGCAGUCAAUCAUCUCGAUUACUUGGGAGUGCAGGUUACAUGGAUAUCCGGGCCAUGGUUCCUUUCAAUUUUUGUUAAUAUGCUUCCAUGGGAAAGUGGUGAGCAAAUUGAAGUAGUAAUUCUAAAUCGAGUUUAACUUACCAGUGAAAGACAACUUUCUGGUCUUGUAAACCAUUGUACUUUUGCAUCUUAUAAUACCUUCAGUGCUUAACGAGGCACACUGUGGAUUGCAGUUCUUCGGGUUUGGGAUGUUCUUUUGUUUGAAGGAAAUCGUGUUAUGUUAUUUCGGACAGCACUUGCUUUGAUGGAGUUAUAUGGUAUACCAGUAACAAGUUGCAAUAAAUGGUUGUGCAUUUUCCUUUAUUUUAGUGAUAUCAAUUUUGUCACAUCCAAAAUUCUACAGGUCCUGUUAUAGUCACAACCAAGGAUGCUGCAGAUGCCAUAAGUUUAUUGCAAUCCUUGGCUGGUUCAACUUUUGAUAGCAGCCAACUUGUUUUGACGGCUUGCAUGGGUUUCUUGAGUGUCACUGAAGAUAGAUUGCAAGGGCUAAGAGAGAAACACCGGCCAGCUGUACUUGCAGCUGUGGAGGAAAGAUCGAAAGGGGCUCGAGUUUGGAAAGACCCCAAAGGUCUAGCAACUAAGCUGUAUAGUUUCAAGCAUAAGCCUGAAUCCCUGAUAAAAGAUCCUAGAGUGGAAGAAGCUUCAGGUGACAAGCUAAUUGGUGGUGAUGUAUCACAUUCGGAGUCUCAUGCUACUACUGAUUUGAAUGAAUUGCUUGAUGGCUUAAACAUUGAUUCAGAAGUAGAUUCACUUCCAGAUCUUCAAGAACAGGUAGCCAUUUUUUCCGUUUUUCAUCACGAAAUUUUCCCUUGCUAUUUUGGUUUCUAUUGAUUGGUAUCCAUGAAAUUUGUCUCAUCCAUGGUACCUGCAACAUUGAUUCAUAGGUAGGUUGAGAGUCUGUUUUUAAAGAAUUAAGAUGCUCAACACAAGCAAGAGAUGCACUUUUCAGUAUUUGCAAUAUCUCUGAAUUCUGUUUCAUUAAUUUAUUUAAUAUUGCAAAAAAUGUUCUUAAAAUUGAAUUUUUGUCAAAAUCUUCAAAGAAUUGACUGGGAAAGAUUGGUCAGAAGUUUGACGAAAUGGGUAAUUUACUUUGAGAUGAGACAUAUCUUGAAGUAUAUAUGUCAUUGUACUCUUGUGGCAUAGGUUACAGCUAUGUAGUUGUUUUCUUUUCUUUGUGCAUAGAGAACUAUAGGUUGGUGUGGGCCAGUACAAUUUUCCCACCAUCUUACUGUACAUUACAAUCCCUUUUAUAUUUCAUAAUUGGAGAAAUAGUAAUUUUAUUUUGUCCACUGUCAAAGCAUUUUAUUUUCCAAAUUUGAGGUAAUCAGAAUAUUUAUGAAAAAUUCUCCUUGUCCUUUUUUAAGUGUUACUUAUCAACAGCUUCUUGGCAGGUUGUAUGGAUGAAGGUGGAGCUGUGCAGAUUAUUAGAGGAAAAAAGAACUGCAAUUCUAAGGUCAGUCUGCAUUUUCAAUUUCUUUUUUAUAUAUAUUUUUUCAAUUUCUUGUCUGUGUGAUGGGUUUAUGCACAUCACUGCAGUGAAGAAAUUAAACGUAUGUGUGUGCAUAAUUUACAAAACAAGUCCUCUAAGAAAGGAGCAACGGUGAGCUCCGAGUCCCAAAAGGAAGUAUUCAAGAUUUUUCCUCUUAGUAACUAGAAGGUGUCUUCUCGAUUUUUUACAUUUAAAACUCCUUUUGCCAUUUUCUGCUUUCCUGUGCUUUUCAAGGUUUCAAAGUCAUUGAUAGAUCUUGUUCAAGGAUAGGUGAACUAUCAAAUGUUAGUCCAAAAGCAAAGCUGUUUUCAACAGCCAUGCAUUGUGCCUUGAUCUUGCAUGAUAUCUGUGGUGUAUUGGUAUGCUUCCAGUUUUCCUCUUUAAUGCCUACAUAGUUCUUGUCAGUACUUAAAUGAGAAAAUGGGGCAAUUUCUAUAUGUGCUACGCUUAACCUGUGACAUUAAGUACACAUGAACUUAAAACCUUUUUCUUGUUUACUUUCUCAUUGAUGGAAAAUGUGAUUAAUACAUCAGCUUUGAAAUUUUUUCUUCUUCUGAAGUCUUAAAGGAUAAGUUCUCUUUUCCAGAGCUGAAGAGUUGGAGACAGCCCUUAUGGAGAUGGUCAAGCAAGAUAAUAGACGUCAACUGAGUGCAAGGGUAAGAAUAAUUUAAACUAGUGCAUUCCUACUGCGGUUCAUGUGUUUUUGGAAGACGAUGUGUCACGUAGCAUAUGAUGCAACUUUCUAAGAUUGUUGCGUGCAUAAGUUAUGAUACCCUUCGUUCAAGAAGGAGUUAGAGUUAGGGAGAGAGGGAGAGGGCAUUUGCUUGCUCUUCAUGAUGGUGGAAAGGAUGGAUUGUAGUAAAGGGGUGCAGAAGUUUGAAGCUCCACCAUAAGGGAGAGGGAGCAAAGACUGAUAAUCAGAGGGCGUAAGGGUUAAGGGAAUUUAAUAUAAGUAUAAAGAUAAUCCGAUUCCCCUGGGUUAAGUAGCUAGCAGCCUUCUGAGGAGCUAUUGGAAUGAAAGAAGAAAGCUGCUUAAACAAAGUGUAAACGCACAAUCAAAGGAAAGGUAGGCUUCCUUGAAUCGCCAUCACCAGUCAGCCUAUUAUCAUUGCCUUGAAUACGAAUAUAGCUAAAAAGUAAUUCAAACCAGUUUUUCACUCUAAAGUCAGACAAGUUCUCUUUCAAGCAUUAAUCCUUGGCUCGUGGGGUUGUCGUUGAAUCAAAACUUUCAUCGUCUUGGCCCACUACCUGAUGUCUCCAGUUUUUAGAACAAGGAAAAGAAAGGAUCAGUAAUUUCCUUUAGUAACUUUGGAGCCUGCCUAUUGCUAUUUUGUUUUAGUUCUUGACUCAUACCUUCUGUAAUACAACAUAGAGGUAACCACAUUGUACGUUUGGGAAAAGUAUUGCUUGUCAGUCUAAGGUUGUUUCAUACAACAGUGUCUUAACCUCUUUCUCUGCUUACAUUUCUUCUUUGUGUCUGUUGUCAUGCAAUGUUAUGUCAGUUUGCUCUUUGACCCAAAAUUUGCAUCCUCAUUCAGCAUGGAAACAACUGGAAAUGUUGCUACAGCAUUUAGAUAUCCUUAUAGGUAUGUAGAAUAUGUGAACUAUAUACUAAAGAUAUCUGCUAGUAUGGUACACAACAUCUGAUAUUCAAUAGUAGCAAUGAAAUCAGCUAUUCUGCACAUCUCUUGCCCCUUGGGCCAGAAAAAAUAAUCAGAAGAGAUCUAGGAAAUGACCAUUUAUAUUCUGUCAAUAAGGAUAUCCAGUUCUGGAUUCUUUCUUUUUUUUUUUCUUUUUCAAAUUUCUCUUGGAUGCUUAUAUUUUGUGGAAGUAAAUUUCUUUUUUUCACUUUUCUAGACCUUGUAGUGUUCUUACUUUGCAGGUUGAGCAGUUAGAGCGUGAGGUAGCUGACUUACAGCAAGCACUUUCUGAUAAGACAGAGCAGGAGAAUGCUAUGAUUCAGGUUUUGCAGCAGUUUCAUAUGAAUUUUAUCUCAACAACGAUUCGUUUUUGUGUCAUGAUAACUCAAUUUUGCAUAAUCAUAUCCAACAUUCUGCAGGUCCUGAUGCGAGUUGAGCAGGAACAGAAAGUAACAGAAGAUGCUCGAAUUUUGGCUGAGCAAGAUGCAGCUGCUCAGAGAUAUGCAGUGGAAGUUCUUCAGGUUUCGUUUUGCAGUGUAUCUGCUUAACUGGAUGCAUUUCCCUUCUGGUUGUUGGGGGCGGGGCGGGGGUGGGAGGGGGGGGGUUUCUGGACUUCCAAUUUUGAGAUUCUUUGUUGAUUCUCCCCUUCCUCACCAUUUUUUGUUUUUAUAUAUGUAGUGAUAUAUUUUCUUUUGUUAAUGCAGGAAAAACACAACAAAGCUCUGGCUUCAAUUGCUGAGAUGGAAAAGAGAGUAGUUAUGGCAGAAUCGAUGCUGGAAGCUACUUUGCAAUAUGAAUCUGGCCAAGUUAAAGCUCUAGCUUCUCCCGGGUUUGUGUUGCUUACAGUUUCCUGUUUAUUUAUCAUGUGAUUCUCGUCUUUGUAACUCCAGAUAUGCUAACACGUGGUGUAUACAUUUUGGAUGGGCAAAGAAAUGGGACCGGGGAAUGGGGGAUUUAAGAAAAAUGAGGGCUUGAAAAUGUCUUUGGCUGGGGUUUGGAGGGGUGGAGGGUGCAUGCAAAAUUAUGUCUAAAUGAUUCUGCAUGUUGAUCAGAAUGGAUUAAUUCUAAAUCUGACAGAAAUUAUAAAUGUGCUAUAUGUUUCUAGUGUUAAUUGGGUGAUGCUUUAUGCGUUUGUGAUUUUACUUCUCUGAGAUGUCCUUUCUUGGCGAAGAAUAUGACAUGUCAUUUGUGUUUCCUCUCUUACCAUCCUCUCUGUUUGGUUUUAUAGACAGGACAACUCACUGUGCCAUCCGUAUCUUCAUGCUGUUCUUGGCUUUGCGACAAAGUUUUGAGUUUUAAUUGUGCUGAAAUAUUUUGUAGGUCUGUUCGUCCAGAUUCUCCUCGGGAUAUGCCAAGGAGGACUGGUUUGCUCCCUUUUGGCCUUGGCUGGCGUGAUAGGAACAAGGUACAGAAUCUUGGCUCUCUCACUUGUUCUCUUUAGUUAUUGGUCAAACUAUUUUCUUUUUUUGCUGCUUUUACAUGGAUACGUGAGAGAGUUUGCAAAUCUGCAUUCCCUUCACAGUGUUAAAAAGGGUAUUGAAUAGGUUUUCAUGUCAUGUAUUCUGUUGGUGAGGUAAAAACUUCCAAUGGUCAUUGAGUAAAUAGUGUUAAACAAGCAAUAUAUCAAACGCAUUCCACUUGUAUUAGAUGGCUACAAUUACCGUAAGGCAAGACGAAAAUUUAUUGGAGAUGAAAAUAUCUCAUGAGCAUUGCAGGACGCAUGAAUGUGGAGAUUGCAGAAGCAUCAGACUUUGGGUGUAUGGUGUGAUAUCAGUCAUUUCUUCUUAAAGAAGGUAAAAACCCAUCAAGGUAAACAGAGUGAUGCUGCUGUAAGUGUUGAAAGUAAGUCUGGUAAUGAGGGCGUUGAUAGAAGCAGUGUACAUAUUCAGGCGAAUGGCCAUCAAGGAUAGCAAAAUGAACUUGAACAGAUGGAAGAUAUAUUCUCAGCUUCAAGCUGAUGGCUGGUUGCCAAUCACGUCCUUCUGCCUUCGUUUGUGGAGAAUCAGAAGCCUAGCCUUUUUUGUUGUUGGCAAUGGUAUAUUGAUGCAUGUGCUCGACUAUGAUGGUCAUUAUGAGCCAAGUAUCUUUCAUUUCACACUUUUAUGUAACUAUAUUGUGAAAGAAAGGAAAUCUCGGUUAUCAUUCUUUUGACUAGAGAACGUCUGUAAAAGUGAUGAUACUCUUACUAGUGGGAUGUUAGACUUGCUGUUUCUUUUCUUAGAGCCGAGUCAUGCAUAGACAGAAUUUCCACCGGUGAUCGUCUUCCUUGCCAUCUCAAAUGAGGAUUUGAGAAGUAUUUAUGGCGCCUAUGAACUGGGCUACAUUAGGAUUAGUUGCAACUUUUCCCAACUCUCUGUGGCUGUCAAAACGAUUUCUGGUAAUUAAUAACCAUAUUUUUAUGUCGAUACAAUGGAGGGCACCCUUGAAAGAGCAACUAGUCGGCUUAAAAGCCGCCUAAGUGCCCUUAAGACGGGCACCCUUAAGACAACUAAACCAGCAGAUAGUUGCAACCCAUCCUUUGCACAUGAAUUACCUUCUUGCCAAACAUGAGCAAUUCUGCAAUCCCAGCUGUCAACGGGCCGGGUCUGGGCUGGAAUUCAUUAUUCCUGACCCGGACCCGAAUUACUAUACCGGACCCGGAUCCGACCCGUUUAUCCGAUGGGUCUUUUAUUCUAUGUUCCAGAUCCGGAUCCGGCUACCCGAACAAAUUUAGCAAAAUUUAUAAUUUCUAAUAAAAAUGAGAAAAAAAUAUAUUUGUAAACUAAUUUCUAACUAAUGCAAAGAAAAAACCAAAUAAGAAAAGAAAUCAAAUUGACUUUAUUCAAAUACAUCAUCCUAAUCAAAUUAUAUUGAUAAAUAUAUAUUUUUUAAAAUAAUAAUUCAUUUAUAUCCGGAUCCGGGUCUAAUACGGGUCGGAAUACUAUAUUCCGUAUCCGACCCGUUUUUUUGUUUGACAAAACGGAUCCGGAUGAUCCGGAUCCAGAAAACGGAAUUAAAUCCCUAUCCAUACCGGUAAUAAUUUCACGGAUCCGGUCCAGAUCUGGGUCUAGACCCGACCCGUUGACAGGCCUAAAUCAGUAAAUCCCAGUCUCUUUCCAGUAAAGACCCUGACCUCCAUGACAGUAUCAUAAUGUUGACUCUCAGCUGGAGCAUCCUUACGUAGCAAUUUGAGAAUCUGAUUCCAAAACCACCUUUUUAUAACCCAAAUUCCAAGCCCGCAGUACAUACCUCACAACACAGCAGCAGUAUUGCUCGCCUCCUCAAUGCUGGCCCUAAACCCUGUCAACCAGCAACCCAUUUCAUCUCUGACCACUCCUCCUGCCGGCCCAGGAUUAUUUAUUGCCGCCCCAUACAUUGACGUUAUCCCCACCCCCUUGGAGGCUUUUCCCAACAGAUAAACUUCAUCUCUUUUGCUCAAUAAAAUAUGUUGCUGUGCUCCGCAGUUUACCAUCCAUGCCUUAGUGCACAAACUCAUUCCUCGCUGUCCUGGCGAAAUACACAACUUGCUGCAAGGCUAGAGGCCAAACAAUUGUAUCUUGCCUCCCAAUAUCUCCCCUAUGCACAUUCAAGUCAAUACACUACUGGUCCUUCGAUUUCGAUUUAAAGGCUCUCCGGUGCCGGGGAUGAACAAGUUGCCCCCAAAAUAUUGCUAAUCCAUUGGCAAUCCCUUAACAUAUAUAUGUAAUGUUGUUUCCUGACUAACUUCACAUGGUGGACAUGUUCCAAACGGAUGCAAAUGAUGUUUGAAUUUUUCAACCUUUGUUAAUAAUCUACCAUGCCGUCGUAGCCAAGUAAAAAUUGUCAACGAGAUGAAGCCUUUAACUUCCAAAUUCUUUCCCAACCAAUAUCCUUCUCCAUUGAAUCAACAGCAUCUCCAUCCAACUGGUAAGCUGAUUUGAUAGUGAAGUCGCCACUCGAUUCUCGAACCAUGUAACGGUAUCAGGAUUAUCCAUACCCCCCGCACUCAUAGUGCUCUUAGAAUUUGCACUUGAGAACUUGAGAGAUAAUUCUUCAGAACUGUCCCAAUCCCAGUCUCCAGACGUAAGCCAAUGCUCGUAGUGCUCAUUAAUAACCAUGUUCGUUGGUUGAGAAAAUAAAAUUGCAAGAGAAAACACACUUGGUAACAGCGGCACUGGAUCACCAGGUUUCCAAUGGUAGCACUAGGCAACUCCACAGGCAUUCCAGGUUCCCAUCCUGAUGGUACAACAAUAUUAGGCCGAGCAAGAUUGGCAAGUGGAUUUGGCUCCGCUGAUUGCACAGCUAGGGUUUCAAUUAAUGGCUCUAUAGUUUUCUCCUCAUCCUCAUCUGUCUGGGAUAAACCAAUAUUAAGAUCAGUAAAACUGUACAAUUGAGAUGCCCGCAUUUGCUCCUCCUGCGGAGCAAGUGGGAGUGCCCCACGGAGGGGAGCCUGUCGAGUACCAAAUUCUGGUGGUGCGAAAGUAGUGUAGCUUAUUCUAUGGGCAUUUUACAAUAUAUCUGAAAGUUUUAGCUGAGAUGCCACGAUUGUUGAAGAAUCCUCUGUAACAUCUCCUGACUUGGACCGUUUUGGAAGGUGAUGAUCCGAGUAAUCAUCUACAAGUUUGUCAAGAACCUUUUUUUCUCUUUUUUUUUUUUCUUUUGCGGUUAGGUUGUCAAGAACCUUUCCAGCUUCCUUGAGCCUGUUUGCAAGCGCAAGAAUUGUAGCAUCUUUUGACCUGAUUUCACGUGAGAGUUUCUGUUAUGCAUCUUGAAGAUCAAGAAUUUCAUGGAGUUCCGCAACAGCUUCGGAUAGCUGAGUUUGCAGGUUUGUGAGAAAAAAGAGAGUGUUCUUUAGAGUUCCGCAAAUGCUAAUUUAAGCAGCUGCUAGAUUAUGCUAUCAAAACCACCAUCCAUCCCAGUUUGAUAAAUGACAAACAUGGAAAAUCAGAUAGGUUAAGUAAUCAACAGUCAUAUCAAACAUCCUAAUAAAUAAAGCUACAGUUCCCAUUUUACUUGAUCAUCCCCAAGGAUUUUAACCCCUUCUAAUUCUACUCAUAAAGCAGGAAAAGAUUUUUACUAAAAACCUCACUCAAAAGUGAAAAGAAGACGAUUGAAAGUACACAAAACAAGAACUCAAGCCGAAAUUUAAUAUCCGUACCUGAAGUUUGCUCAAAGGGGGGGGGGGGCCCCGGGGGGCAGCGACGUCGGCGCAGCUAAGGGCGUUAAGAUUUCAGAACGGAAAAAGAAACAGGGGAGGCGAAGGUCGGGGAAGAACGGCAUUUUGAUGCACGUUGCGCCUUGCAGAGAGCUGAUAGAGGUUCCGAAGGGGGCCGUUGGAUGACAAAUGGGGGAUGACAACUAAAGGGAAGCGCAUUGAGUCGCACGGUAUUUUACGUUUUCCCCAUUAAAAGGAGGAUUUUUUUAAAAAAAUUUAAAAAAAUGGAAAAAAGAAAAAUAAUUAAGUGCUAAUUAGUAUCUGGUAAUCAGUUUAACGCGAUCGAGGAAAUCAAAGUUGGCAUUAUCAAAAAAGAAAAAAAAAAAUAAAGUUGGCCUUCGAAUAAAUUGAUUGACAUGACAUGAGCUGUCUUUAUUUAUCUGUUUCACCACAGAGAGAUAUUUGUUUCGCAAUUUUUCAUUUUCUACGGCCUAAAUUUUGUGUCGGUUUAAAUUAGAUUUAACACCCUUGGAAUGGAAGAAAGAUUUAUAUUAUAUCAACGAAGGCCAACUUUGGCAGACAAACUAAAUACGAAUAUUUUGGAGGGUGACUUCUUGAAUUUACUAACACUUUACACGACCAAUUUAUUACUGUCAAGUUUACAAAAAAACCUGUGCAUGUAGGGCUGCAUCUGUAUGAAAGCCAGAGAGAGUUACAUGAGAUGCUUGCUCUUCCUGCUCCCGGUACCAGAAAGUUUUACUUCUGUUCACAGGAAGGUUUAAUUAACUUUGCAGCUGAAGGAACGACAGAAUAACAUCCUUCAACUGUUCUCUUGUUAUCUCCAUUCGCGCUCCCCACAUCACUGCUACCAUCCAAACUGCCAAAAACCAGAAGAACUGCGGAUACAGAUUACGGGUAGGAAAAAUUUUCCAAAUCCUCCACCGAAGCCACUUUCACAGAGAAGAAUCAUACGCCAUGAAGAGCACUUCCCAAUAAGCUAAACUUGGCCCCGACUGUAAUCAGAGGACAGCUGACAUAUUUCCUGCACUUCAAACGUUACAUGAAGCAAAAUUUUACCAUCAGCGGCUAGUGCCCAUGAUCGAGCGCAGACCAAAUUGAAAUUAAAUAUUCGCAUUACUCCUGAAGCAAUCAAGAAUCACUUCUUCUACCUUCACAUUUCUAUAUCUCAAAGACUACAAUAACUCGCACCCUAAAGAAGCUACCCCAGUAUAGGAUACUUUUGCUGCACAAAAUUGAGACUGCAAUGCACUAAAGGCUAUACAAGUUCUAACCGUACACUAUAGAGAAAUUGUCAAUUCUUCCUUUGAAUCACAAGACCAUAUCUGGUCUGGAGAUCACAGAUAUAUGUACAUAGUUUCCAUCUGGUAAUCACCUCAAAUAGUUCUACCUCUGGAGAAUUAUUCACUCUAACCUUCAAAAAACCUCAAUUCUCAGAGUGUAGCAUUUCAGAACAGGUGCAGCGUUUUCCCCUAUAUUGCUGUACAAAAAGUGACAAAAAAUUUAGCUGCUGUGACCAAGGGGAACUGAAAUGACAUAGGAUAACUGAUUAAAGAAAAGGACUUGCAAUAUUACCAAUAUAAAUACCACCAUGAUAUUCAACAUGGUAGAUAGGCUGGGUUCUUGACCAAAUUGCCGGCAGCAACCCCCAUGCAUUUUGUAUUGACAUCAGAUGAUGAAAGAACAGUUCUCUGCACAAAUCAUAAAACUAUCUACGGUGACCAACAAAACCAAAAACUGGAAAACACAUGACUGCAAAAGCUGUGUCCAAGGACACAAAGUCUAAGGACCAGCAUUCCAGUUUUAUUCUGCUAUAAAAGGUACCACCUACAAAUUAUGGAUCUAUAAAGCAUAUUGUUAUCAAUCAAAUCAUGAGAGUUUCCUAGCAAAUAUAUCUCCAUAUUGUGUUCAUGUCUUGUUUCUGAAAUGCAAAGAACCCUCAGUCACCUAAAUCCAUCGUCCUAGGACUUCGUUCAACCAUGCAUACAAGGACUGGUCCUUAACCUGUGGAUCAUAACUCCAAGUGUACCAAAGUGGCAGCAUUCAUGGCUGAUAUUACUUAAAAACAUAGAAAGCAGUCUUGACUAAAAAAGGUUGAUAUGGCUAGACACCUCCGUCUUGACUACAUAACCAAGUAAACAAUUGCCGAAGACAGCAUAAGCCAUGAACUAAAAGAACUUGGUGAGCCAAUGACUGAUGGCCUCUGUAUCUCUCACAUCAUGCCUCUCGUGAAAAAGUUGUUAAUUUAAUAGGACAGAAUCAAGGCCAAAUUUUCCUUGCCAAUGGAAAACAGCAAGUUUUUUCAUUCUCUUCAUUGUACUCUAAUUAAUAUGCAUUGCAGCAUAACAACUUUCCAUUGGAUUUCAAAAUGUCCCCACACACAAUGAACACUAGACACGCCAAAAUCAGUGUACCAUGCAUUCUUGAGCGGAAUAAUAAUAUAAACUGUGUUCGGAUGUUAAUGGAAUUCUAGACACAGUAGUGCAGAUGGACUUGCUUGGUAUCCAUUUUCGACCUUAAAACUACCAAAGAAAUGCAGCAUUCGCAAAACAUAAGAUGAAUGAAACACCAGUAUGCUGUGAUAUUUCACAAAAUAUAAUACUUACAACUGGUUCAAAAUCAGGGCUGGACAAAUUGAUGGUAAGAUUUCUCAUCAACAGCAAAACCUGCAUAUCCAGAGAAAGGGACAAUUCACCCAACUCACCGUUACCAAAAUCCACAUCAUACCAGCAACAAGACAACAGAAGAAAAGAGAGAAGUUUUUUUUUUAAAGAAAGAAAAAAAAUUGGCAGGCCAAGAGAGUCAGGAAAUACACAAGGUUUUUAUUAAACUUACAGUCUCAAAAUUUAUUGGAUCCAUCUCCUUGAGCUUCUGCACAUGACCCUCAGCAGUAGGAUCAAAGACACUGCCAAUGAAGCUAUAAACUUCAGCAAAGUCCGGUAUACCUGUAAACAAAAUUAUUAAUUGGUAAUCUCACUCUUGUUCCAAAACAAACCAAAGACAGAACGAGUUCUACACAGAGAGACUUGGAGAUGACAGUUUUCCUAUGUCAUAGAUCAUCUAUUGUGCUAUAGCCUAAAGUACCCAGGUAGGCAUCAGUACUAAAACAAUCAUGCAAUCUCAAAACAGAAUAAAGAAAGCAACAUAAAAAGCAGACUACAGUUCCACUAAUCAUUUGCCCAAGUAAAAUUCAUCUAAAACUGUUCCAGAAUGGCUUCAGUUUUUGAUAGAGUGAUUAAGGACGUACAUGGAGGGGGAAGAUUCCAACUAGUUUUCCCCAUCAAGCAAGCAAGAAAUUGUUGUCUGUCUGCUCAGACAUACAUGCAUAGAUACAAAGAUGCAUGAUCACAAGGAAUGUGCCUUGUUGCUUUUCAAUUAAUACAAAACAAUCAUAAAGGUUCUCUACAGAAAACCAUGUAAACAUCAGCUAAAAAGGACAAGCUGCAAUAUCAAUUAGAACUUUUCUGCAUCAGUCUAAUGUUUGGACAAAAAUAAAAUUUCUCCCAGACAACAGCAAUUGCAUCAUGAUGCUAUAACAAAGGCAAAAGCUAGAUCUCGCAGACAGCACUUUUCCCGAGUUAGCAAAUAUUAAAACUUUAAAAUGCUGCAGCAGAACUCAGUAAGCAAAUCUGGGAAUUGUAUAAAGUUAUUACCAUGAAGAAGUGAACCUUGCUUUUCCUGUUUUGGUAAUUCAGAAGCUGGAAGCGUUUUACUAGAACUCCCAACACCAGUGAUAUAGCUGUUUGUAAUCCUUGUAGCUCCCUUUGAUCCAAUAUCAGCUGAAUCAGUAAUGUAAUAUGUCACAAUAAUCGCAGAAAUUUCCCUCUAGUGAAUUUUUUCAGAUAGAUUAAUAUGGAAGAUUAACAGUAUAAGAUGUUGUGCAUGCCUUCGGCUCCAUGAAGACUGUACUCAUCUUGGGAAGGCAGCACUCCACUUGAUUGAGCACUUGCGAUCACAGAAGCAUCAUCCCAUGUAGGAUAUCCAGGUGCAAGAGAAUUCACUGAAGAAGGAUAAGCAAUGGAAGCUUGUACAGGAACUAAAACUGAAAACAUUUUGGAGGAAAUACAAAUCAGAAUUUCAUAAAUGUUCUCAAAACUUCUACAAAAGAAAAAUCUAUCAUCUCGUGGUCAGACCAUUUUUGGGAGCCUUCUGAGGGUAAGGAUGAGCAGCUUUGCGCUUAGGCCGUGGGGGAGGCACAUGUGCUAUUGUCCCAUUCUUUUGCACCUUUAAAAAGUAUUUCUGGGCAUGGCUGCGGAUCUGUAUAAACAGACUAUGACGUCAAUUAACUAUUACAAAGAACUGAAUGGUAACGAAAUAUGGGAAAAGGUCAUGCAAUAGAAAUUAGCACCUAAAUUUGAUAUAAACGAUAGAUUCAGAGAAUUCGAACAAUAAUUUCAUGGUCAAUAAAGAGGCCUCUAAAACUCCAAAAUAACCUAAAAAAAAGGAUCAAUAAAUACCACAAGGGAGUUGCAGUAGCAAAUUUAAGGUACAGGGUUAAGUGUAUGUCAACAAAAUACAAACAUACAUGUGUGUGUGUGUAGGAUCAGGAAUGAAAAGAGAAACUUUGCACACUAGAAGAUCACCUAUGGCGCAUUGGUAUUUUCAUUACAGGAUUGGGACCAAAAAUCAGCUAGUAGCAAUCAAACAAAGUAAAAGGUGUGUGAGACAAAAAGAUUCCCUGUCAUACACAACAUGUUAUUCUGAUAUCACAAAUCCAAGGCCUUACCAUGGUUCACUCAGUCUCCAAGGUGUCAUUAUGCCAAAUAUAUCUGCAAUAUGCUAGCCAAUCAAAGGCUGCAAGUAUCAAUAUCUUAAUGGUUUUUAUUUAUCGCACAUGGACAGAAAAACCUAAAUUCCGUACACCGUAUAAAAUUACCAAAGCGUACAAAAGUUUCUAGAAAAUGCACAAUGAAAAGAAGAAUACAAGGUGAAAGAUCUGCCUUUGGCAGGUGAAAUAGACACCUGAAUUACAGUCUUCGAACCCACAAAAUCUUCAAUUUUCUUCCAAUCCCUGUCAAACCUAAAUCACCCAGAAAGAAAAGUAAUCAACACUAUUACUUCCCUAGCUAGUUGCCCUGCUUGCAGGGUUCAAAAAAAAAAUCUUGGUAACAAGAACUGUAGGACACCAAGCAGAGACGUCAGGAAUGGUUUUGGAAGGAAAAAAAAUGCUCUUCUUUUAGUUUAAUGCAAUGCUCUGCCAAUCAAUAAAUCGAGCUGACUAAUCAGCAGCUACGAAAGUCUUCCUCAUUGAUUCGCAGAAAGCCAAUUAUAUCCUAUGGAGCUAUGCCCCUUUAUGGGGGCUGUCUCCCUAACAGUAAGGCAAAUGUUUUUUCAGCAAAAUGUUUCAAUUUGGUAUGUUUCACAAAUUGAACGCAUAAAUAGAAUAAACCAAACUCCAUCUAGCCUGUAAUUCCACUCCAUAGCUAAGAAGUUAGCAUUUGAGCGAAUCUAUAAGCAGUUCGCAGUUGCAAUGGCUAUCUUAGUAUUAAUAAGCAAGAGCCGAAAAUAAAGUAAAAUAUCGUUAAAAAUUCGUAAAGGAACCAACUCAUUUUUUUUCCAAUUAAAAUUAAGAUGGAGACUCAAAAACCAAAAAAAAAAAAAAAAAGAAGAAGAGAGAGAGAGAGAGCGUGAGCAAGAUGUGGUAGUACUGACAUAUGGAACUACAAGGGAGAGGAUGUUUACAGUUGAAGAGCUUCCAGGAACUUGUCGUGCUCUUCUUCGGUCCAGCUCUCUCGGGACUUGGUUAUGGUGUAGGGUUUUCGGAUCUUCUUGCCAGACCCGCACCCGUAAGCGUCGGUGUUCGUGGCGGUAGUGGUUGGAGUUGCUGAGUUGGGCAUGGACUGAGGAUCGGACGACGACGACGUCGUCAUCGUCGGGGUGGAAUUCAUACCGCACCCUAUAAAGAUUUCACCACAGCCAAACAAAAUGUACUGCACUUUUUAUUAAUUAGUACUCUAAUCAGAAAACGGUACUAAGAUGAUGCAGAGAAAGAUAGAGAGAAGGCGUUGGCAAGGGCGGUUUUCUUGUGAAUGCAAGGUUCGAUGAUUUGAGGCCAGUCAAUUAAUCGUGUCACUUUCUCAAUGCUCCUGCGAUUAAUCGGCUUCCUUAGCUUUUACUUUCACAUUCACCUUCCGGAGGAAAGAAUUCUAUGUGCUCGUCAAGUGGAUGAAACUUCGACGUGUCAUUCACUCGUUUAGCCAGUCAACAUCAACCUAUAGAAGGCGUUUUUUUUUUUUUGUGUGAAAUAAAUUUGUUUACAAACCAAGGCAAAACACAUGCCCUUGCAGACCGUCCUCUACAAACUUAGAGAGACCAUGAGCGGCUCAUGGAUGGUUCACGGCCAAGCCAAUUCAAGCUCAUAGAUGAUGGUUUGGUAGAUGAAAGUAUAUAAAACCUCCAAUGCGUGAGUAUUUAUAGAUUUUUAGAUUGUGAAUAGUAUCAGAACUAGAGUUCACGAGUUCAUAUAUGAUCUUCUAUUCCAUCAAAUUUUAUUUUAUAUCGAAUUGAGAGAGACAUGCGUCCAUUUAAUAUUAGAUUUGAAUUAAUAAAAUAUCAAAUCAUAAGAAUUUAGGGAAGUCAAUCUUGAAUUGAGUGCUUAGGAUUUUACAAAAAUAAAAUAAAACUGGUCCUUAUUUCCUAUCUAAAAUAGAGUAUAAGAGGAUGCGUGUUCAUUUGAAAUUAAAUUUAGGUUAAUAAAAUGUCAAGUCAUGAGAAGUCACUUUUACCCAAAAACUUCGUGAUUUCAGAAAAAAGAAAAAAAGAGAAAUCACUCUCAAUCUGAGUUCUCAUAAUCUCAUAAAAAUUAAAAAAUAAAUAAAAUCUUUUUCUAAGUUCUAACAUUUAUUUUGGCCAAAAAGUCAAUACAUUAAUUUGCUACGUCAAUAAACAUGUUUAAUAGUAGCUUUUUGAAAAAAUCAUCAAUGUUAUAAUAACUAAAGAAAAACGUGCUUAAAUACUGCGAUCAUAAAUCAAAUCAAUAAUCGCUUUGAUAUCUAAAUCUGAAAUAAAGUGAUGCUAUCAAUAGAUUUUGCGAGACGGAGGUCAUCUUUCUGAGUCGCAAUGCUACGACGACAACAUGAAACACAGCUUGGAGGAGAUACACGUGGUGAGUCACAAACAAAAUUCCUAAGAGCACACGCAAAGCUUUGCUCCUGCGGUCGCCCCUACCCGAUCUCUCAAUUUCAAUUUGCAUGCCAGCGCCGCCGAUGAAUUGUGAAGUUGUAGCGAGCAAUCGGAAAGGCAGAGGAGCACACUUAAAAAGUUAGUGGGCCCAUUCGUGAUUUCUUGAUGCUACGUGAGCAUCAAUUCAGUCCACGCAUUCCAUGGUCAUGUGACGUCGUGUCAUGUACGAAUCAAUAAACAAAUAAGUAAAUGACUACGAGCAGUUGCUUGGCCAAUGCUCCUAGCAAUUCUCAAGCGUGUUAGUUAAACUGAUACUCCUAUGACGUUGCGGGUUCACCGAAAACAGAAAGAAAAUGCCAACAGCCACAUUUUCCUGCGCCAGAAUUGGAGGCCAUUGUCUGUUGGAUCCUCGGAUUCGAACGGCUACGAAUGCGCUUAAUCAUGUGUGGUGGAUGAUCGGGCCUGCCAGACCAGUUUACCAACACCCUGGGGUCAGAGCAGUUGCUUCUUCGACUUUACUGGAGAGGAAAUGACAGGUGGCAGCUGAUGAUCCACUCAACUUUAUCAACAUCUUCUUUACUUGUCCCCACCCCAACUGCGGGCACACGGGGUUGGGUUAAAUGUGCCGCAAGCAACAAGGGCUUCACCCAAUCUUUGAAUUCCAGCAACCGAGACUGGUGAGGUGAGACCUAAGGCUCCAUCAGAUCAAAAUCAAAAUCAUCCACCUGCUUCUUAUUCCCCAUUUCACAUGCUUCACAAUUCACACUACUGUCUGUUUAGUUGAAUUAGGAAUUUGAUCAUCAAGAAAAUGAUAACUUUUUUGCUGGUUAUUGUCAACCAUACCAUCUCAUUAAGACAAGGGAAGAAUUACUCCAGUUUUUCCAUCCUUGUGGUUAUUGACUUGAUUAUUUUAUUUUCCUUAUUUUUUUGAAUGGCAGGACUGGCAUUUGAUGAUAGGUAAUUAGGUAUCUCCCAAUUCAGAGAACCCGUGGUAUAUUUUGAAAUCUAUAUCUAUUGCAGAAGGGGUUUUUAGCAGAGACCCUCUCAAUGGCUUCUAAACUUCUCAUUCUUUUUUCUAAAUUUUUGUAUUUAUUUUAAUACAUAAAAAAGUAGUGGGUUAUAACCAACCCUAUGACCAAUCAAACUUAAAAUUUAAAAUAUUUCCACUACCUACUUCAUAAACCGUUUAUACUUUGUUAUUUAUACUUUAAAUCUUUUUUAUUCCUUAAUUAAAGACAAAUGCUCAUUCGUAUGCUAUUUUAAUACAAUGUUACAUUCUUAUAAUUAAGAGAUAUUUAUCACCAAACUAACCCUAUAAUCACCCCUACAAAUGAGCUUUGCAAAUUACAAUCACGUUUCAAAAAAAAUCACAAAUGUGCAACUAAAUGUAGAGUACAACUGAAUGUAAAGUUGAGGGGAUAAAGUGCAGCUAAAUUUAAAGUUAAGGGGUUUACUAUAUUUAACCCUAAAAAAAUCCCAAGAACGGAACAAGUAGUGGGUUAUAGAUUUUUGUCUAGAUUUUUAUAUUUAUUUUAAUACAUAAAAAGUAGUGGGUUAUAACCAACCCUAUCACCAGUCAAAUUUAAAAUUUAAAACUUUCUCAUAAUCUACUUCAUAAAUCGUUAAAUAUAUUUAUACUUUAAAUCCUUUUUAUACUUUUGUAUUUAUUUAUAUUUUAAAUCCUUUUUACUCUUUACUUAAAGACAAAUGCUCAUUCACAUGCUAUUUUAAUACAAUUUUAAUUCGGAAACACACAACAUGAUUAAGAAACAGCAGAACCAACAUGAUCAAGUUUUGAAAAUACACUUAAUAAAAAAAAUCAAAUCCUACCUCCUAUUACUUUUUUUUACCACUACAUACCACCAAUCAGCAAUAGACACCCAUUACUACCACUACUACCAUUGCCCCCUUCCGUACUCUCUUGUUUUCUUUUUCCUUCUCCUUUCUUCUCAUUCUUUCUCUGUCCUUCCCCUCAUUCUUUUUUUUUCCUUCUUCUCCCUCUUGCAAUUGGAUCUGGUUGCGACGAACGAGAAAGAAGAAAAUAGUGAAUAAGAAAGGAAAAAGGAGGGGACUAAGAAAAGAAAAGAAAUGGAAAGAGAAGAGGACUAUGGAGGAAAGAUGAGAGGUAGUCAUAUGUGGAAGCGGUGGUGAGUGGUUGUGAUAAGAAGUUUUUAAAAAAUUUAAAAACAUUUCAAUAAAAUUUUAAUUUUUAAAAAUACCCCAAUAAAUGACUUGAGUGACAAAUUUUUUACAUACAAUAUUUUUUGAAAAAACACCCAAAAAUAAUAUAGGAUUAGCAUUUAUCAUUACCAUUUCAAUUAUCUAAUAGUUAGAAGUUAAAGCACCAAAUUGACAAGGAAAAAUACCAUAAACCUCCAUUGAGAUUUCUUUUAAUAUCACCUAACAUCUCUAAAGUUUUAAAAAUAUCACUCGCCUCCCUUACUUUUGUUAUUUGUGUAACAAAAUUUUAAAAAUUCAUAAUUGCCAUUUUGUUUGCUAAAUAAAAACACUCCUAAACCACUUUAUUUAUUCCAAGAAAAUUAUCACCUAAAAACAAUUUCUAGUAAUACUACCACAUCACAAUGUGCUACAGUUCAUAAAAAUAUAAAUUUAAAAAUAAAAAGAUAUUUACAAAGAAAUACGUUAACACAAAUUUAACUUUAUAUGCUUAAAAUUGAUUUCUUAUGAAUCUAUAUUUUUUUUCCAACUUAUUUUUAACAUGUGCCUAAACUUUUAAAUUGUACUGCUCAUUAUAAAAAUCAAAUCAAAAUGAUAAAGAAAUCACACCUCACAUAUUGCAAUAACAAAAAAUAAAAGAUAAACAGAAUUCAAUUUACUAUAAUUUACAAAUAAAAAGUUGCACAGUCAUCCAAAAAAUGAGUAAGAGAGAAUGUUAGAGAAGAGAGAAAGAGAAGACAGUGAUUUUUGUUUCUUAUUUUUUUAAAUUUAGAUUUUCAUUUAUUUGAUAUGUGAAUUACGUAUCAAGUGUGAGCUAAUAUAGUUUUUUUUUUUUUACAAUUAUCAGGAGAGGUAAGUGAUAUUUUCAAAACUUCAAGGGCGCCAAGUGAUAUUAGAAGAAACCUUGGGCGAGGUUUCUGAUAUUAAUUUCGACCAGGAGAAGAAACCUCAAAAGUCACUAGAAAUUCAGGGACAAGACAUGUAAUUUCGACUCAUCCCAAAUUCCCAAUUGCAGUUAAGGGGGAAAAAGCAAGAGAGAGAAAAAAAUCUCCGAGGGAGAGAGGGAUUAUCGUUUCAGUCUCUGCAACGCUGAAAAUAAUCUACUCUCACUGAUAGCAAAAGCGCGAUUGGUGAGUUUUGAAGCCUUGAGUUCCCGGUGAAGAAAAAGAUACCGAAUGGAUAUUCGACCUGCAUUUGGAAGCAUUUCAUCAUACACUUUAAGGCCUGAUUCAAGAAACAGAAACGCUUUCAGUUUUAUACCAUAUUGCUCAAGAAAAGACUCCAAACGACAGCCCCAGCAAAAUGGGAACAACGACGACGACGACAGAAAUGGAGGUACUUUUAUCUUUCUAACAUAUACAGUUUUAUAACUUCGAUGUGCUUUUGGUGCUAGCGUAUUUGUUUAUCAAGUUUUUAGGCCCCGGUGGUUAAGGACCUUUUUAAUUUCCUCUUAAAUGAAUGUUCGAUUCUCACCAUUCCCACAGGCCUUUAUGAAAAAAAAGGACCUUUAGCUAAAUGGGGAGACUAAAUUCGAUAUGUUCUUGACGGAGGGGGUUCAUAAAAGGUUUUGGUCUCUUGGAUUGUCAGUGCCCACGUAGAAAGGUCACCGUAAUUUUCUCUCUGUAUUGGCCAUUACUUGGAAGUAGGAACAAACAGAUAGACAGGAAAGAAAGGAUCAAAGAAAGAAUGGAGUAUAUAUUUUUUGAAUCUCUACUGUAUGGUCUGGUCGAGUUUGUAGUUAAGCCCCGAUUCAUGAUGGGUAUAUACCGUUUAUUAGGAGUUCAAUGCAAUAUAUUUACCUAAAUUCUGUGGACUUUUAAGUAGUGUCUGUGAAUACUUUUAAGCUUUACAGGUCUCAAUAAAUGAAGCAUUAGCUUGGUUGUUCAGUCCAUUAGGCCGUUCAAAAAGCAAUUAAUCAAGUUUUGCUGCAACCAACAUCUCUGCUUUACUCAUUUAGUUUAUGGAAUCGGACCAAUUAAUGACGCAUUUCAAAUGUUUCUGAUGGCAUCUUUUGAUUGUCUGUCCUUUUCUUUUCUUUUCUUCUUCUUUUGUCUGCUCAACUCUAUCGCAAGAUGUUGCUGAAAAGACCUUGCAGUUCAUGGUCGUGCAAAGUCAUCUCAGUUUGUAAAUUAGUGCUUCUGCUAUCCCUUCUUUUUCCCUAAAAAAAAAGAAAGAAAUGGAAAUUUGGUUAUUUUUAAACUUAAUUGAAGGUUAAAAGAUGUAUGAUCUGAUAAAAUCCCACUUUUUUGGCAUUUUUUCUCUACUAGUCCUUUUCUCAAUCUUGGAAUUUCACUUCUUAUAUUUCAGUAUAGCUAAUUCUCUCAAUAGUAUAUGGAGCAGGGUACUUUGUUCUUGUAAUGCUUACACUGUAAGUUAAUGUCCGUCUUUGUUGAUGAUCUCAAAGCAAUGAAUCAACCUGUAUAGUCUUGAAGAUAAAGUCAUUUAUUGAUUGUAAUGAAGUUAGGAUGCCAUUAAAUUAGAAAAUGGAAUCACUAAAUAGAAACUUAGAUACUGAAAUAUAUUUGAUAUGAGUAUCUGCAGACAAAACUUUCCAUGUGUCAGGUGAAUUCCGUGUUUAUGCCUGCCACACUUGUUUCUAUGGUAUCAGAUUUAUCCAAAAUUGGAGUGUGUUUGAAAUCAGCACCCGGAGAUAUGUGUUGCAUGGGCUUUCCUUCUAUUGUAUGCUAAAUCCAACUGAUCAAGGAUCCAAAGUAGCAUGUCCAGAUAAAUUUAACAACUAUCGUGGAAGUAUACAUGCAAGAAUAUAUACGCAUCUGAAACCAUGCUAAAGAACAGAUCAUUAGUAUGCUGUAUUACUGCCAUGUUAUGGUUUCAUGAACUUGUUGGUGAGUUCUAUGAAUAAAUGAAAACUAUCUCAUGGUUAUUACCAACAGUACGUGAUAUGAUAAUGAAAGGUUAGGACAUGUUUUUUUCUGAUUACAUAUCUAGAUUGGUACCAUUUUCUCUGUAACUUAAGGUGCAUAUAGUUGCACGUAUAUAGGAAUUUAUGUUGUUACGUGGAGACUGGAUGGUUCUUUGGUAGUGGCUUAUUGGUUCAAGAUUUUGCUCAAUUGUAAUCGAGCUGUAUUCUUAAGAGGAUUUAAUUAAUGGCUACAGGUAAAAGAGUGUUUCGUAGGAGAUAAAUAAAAAGAGGUAUAAAACAGUGCUGAGCUGACAUGGGACAUGUUAAUUGCUCAAUUGCUUUUAGUGUUCUUAAUUAAGUAUAGAAUGGUAGACAGGUUGCAAGUUGAGCUGACACGGGACAUGUUAAGACUGGUGAAGAACUAUUGGGAAGAAAACUAAGAUGCCUGCUAUAUAUACUUGGAGAGUGUGGUUGGAAAAGCAGACUUCCAAGGUUUGGAAAGUGCUAUUUCAAAGAGAAACAUUGGAAGUUUGGGACAUUUAGUCAUAGAUUAAGAAAAAAGAUAUAUUGAUAGAGAUUUAAUAAGAAUUUCUUUUAUCAUUUUAUUGGAGGAGAGUUGAUUCAUAAGUUGGUGGACAAAAUCUUAUACACCUUCUCAAGUGCAGGAGCUUGUAAGUCUUCUAAAAUUUGAAAUCGCUCUUUGUACAUGUAGAAUUGAUAAGUUUAAGAUUUUUUCUCAUUUCAUAUGCUUAAACUGCCUGCAAAAUUACAAGGAAGAAUUUAGCAUUGAUUGUACUCCUAAUUAUUUAGGUGACAAGUUCUCAACUGAUUGGGACAAGGCCUGGUCAAGUUACAGGAAGCGAGGGAAGAAGACCCUGUUUUCACAGUUUUCUGACAAGUAUGUGAGCUGGAACCCCAGGCGUUCUGACUACCCACUGUCUGAGGAAGUUGAUCCCAUAAAAAGAACAGAGAAGUCAAACCUCAAGUUGUGGACCAGUCAGAGUUUCACUCUUGGCGGUGCUAUUCUUAUAGUCACGCUUCUUUUGAUCUACACCAUUCUUGCACCAAUCAAGUGAAUUCAUUUGACUUUGUUCGCUACUUAGAAACAACUUUGUGCUGUAAUGAUCCAUAUUCAGUAAGCGAGUUCAGGAAAGGAUCAUGUAAAAUGUAACUUGAUGCAGCAGCUUCUGUGAGUAAAUAUGGUGAAUCUACUGUUUUCCAUAAUUUGUUUGACCUUAUUUAAAUUUUUAGUGUCUGCUAUUGAAAAGUUAGUUUAUGGCCAGUCAUUUUUCAACAUUGCUUCGAUUGAUCCGGUCUACAUAGUGAAUUGUCACUGCCAACCAAAGUUGAUUGUUUAGUGGUCUUACUAUCUAUUACAGAGGGAAGAUUUCCUGGUGGAAAGUAUGAUUCGGUGGCUACCAUUGUUUGCAGAAAACAAUCACUUACUACUGUCUGCCAAACUGGAAGAUAAAGUAAUGCCUUCUGGCAAGCCCUGCUUGUUGGGAAAUUUUGUCUGAACUCUUGCUCAUGUUGUUUGAUGAAUAUGAUUUGAAGCAGAAUAUCUGUGAGGGACUUUUUGCAUUACUUCAUUAAUUUUAUGUUUCUUCCUUGUUUUCUUUUAAACUUAACAUGAGAAUUGCAUGACUUCCCUCCUUACCAGUAUGAGAGAUUUCUUUCUCUUUUUAUGUUUCCUUGGGGUGGAAAAACUCCCAUUAUUGGGUCUGAGGUCAAAAUUUCAACUUGUCAAGCUCAUAUUAUUUAAUUCAGCAGGGUAGCAUUGAAAUUUGUUGUAUGAUCUCCUGCAAAUAAUCACUUCAUUAUUACGAUUAAUUAUCAGUGAUUCAGAUGUUGUUGGUCUCCUGUAUGUCUCUGUGUCUGUGUGCCUGCUCACUUAUUACAUCUAUGACUGUAAAUAACUUGUUUUCCAUCUUUUCUUCUUAAUUUUCCAUGCACUUGUUCGCAAAGUAGGUUUUGCUGAUUGUUGGUAAGGAAAAAUCUCCCAAGACAAAUUUAGAAGCUGAAAUAAUUAAUGUGCUUUCCUGUCCAUGUCCUUUUUCUUCUUCUCUCCCUUUGUGCCUGCUUGAUGUUUUCGGUUUGUCUUAUUCCUUUUUCCGUUCUACUUUUUUUCCUGAGGGACAACAUCUUGGCCUGUUUGCUCAUUUUGACUGGCAUAGCUUUCAGGAUCCUUUUGAUGAAAUGCUUAUGUCUUGCAGGAAGUAGAAAAACUCAGAAAUCGACUGAGCUUGCUUGGCUCUGGAACACGUGUGGGACACUCUUCAGGUAACCAGUGACACGCUGUCUACUUUUUCUUUUUUUUUUUUCCUGGGGGUGGGUGGUGGUGGGGUCAACCAAUGAAGACUCCUAUAUUUGAGAAAACAUAACUAAUAGCAAAGUUAUUAUUGUCUCUUUUAGGUGGAUUUAUGGCAGACCACUUGGAAGUUAUUCAUAUUCUGAAGGAUGGCAUCCAUGUGCAUUAUACUUUAUGCAUUGUGUGUUCAAUUGACCUGAUUGAAUACUCAAAUUUGAUUGCUUGUAGGUAGAGCGUGCAGGUUGUGAGAUACUUGUUUGAGUAGUCCUCUGGAGAUUAAGCACUUUUAGGAAGCAGGUAUCUCAGGUAUAGUAGAAGCUAUGUUAUACGGACUCUUCAUUUUGUACUAGAGUACCCAUGUACACAGGACUCUCGUACCCGAGUCUGAGUAAGAUAAGAGUACAAGAGUGAGAUUGACAUCUUAAUCAUCAGCAUUUAACUUUUUUGAACUUAUUUAUUAUCACAUGAUUUAAGCAACUUUGUUUGUAGCAUAUCAAUUGCUAUUUAACUUAUUUUUAACCCGAGCAACUCUUACAUAGUAUAUUUUCUCUAGAGAGAAUUAAGUUUAGUUUAAUAUUUUUUGCAAGGGCAAUUGAUAGGAAGAACAUUAUAAUUUAAAGUAUGCAUAAUUCUAGAAGUUAUUCCCCAUUAAUAUUGAUAGAGGUUUUUCGUGUGCUUUGGAAAAUCCUAGAGGAUAUCUCUGUAACAAUGACAAAAUUGAGGCAAGCUCAGUGUAGUAUAUACUUUAUGAUGAGUUUCCAUUCUGUAUAAAGGUAUACAUAUGUUUGCUAGUAUUUUUCCAACUUGUUUCUUCUCCUAACUUUCUUCAAAAUGCAGGUAAUUAUUGUUCUCAAAGAUAUUGUUCUCCGCAGAUUUCAUCUGUUUUAUUCAUCUACAUCAAUUUUGAAGCUGUUAGAAUAUCCAUCUGCACGUUUCUUUAAUGCAGCAUCUCUAUUUUCUCUCAUAUCUGCUUAUGAUAUGAUGUCUCCUCAUUGUAAAGGGUAAGCUGACUUCAAUGGCCCAUACUGAAGAAGUUACUAAAGUCCAGAAGAAGCAGUUGUCUCAGCUCCCUCCACAGCAAGGCCAGGUUAAGGUUGAGAUUUUCUGUAUAUCAUGAACUUCUCGACUGAAUGGUUCCAAAGUUGAUACAGAAUACAAGAGUACCAAGAGGAUGAAUAGGAAAGUUGUGGUGCACUGGUAGUUGCAUGCAGUAAAGGAGAGACUGUUCAUCAUGCAUCACGAGGAAGGUAUACUGUUAAACCGGUUUUAUGCUAGCUAGCUCGGCAUGAUAGUCAGGAACAACCCAGGGAUGAUAGCAGAAACACGGCUAUCAUCACAUCGGACCCCGGGAUGAUCACGUCCGUCAUCUUGUGUAACCAAAAUUUUCCGCUCCAAUGUUAUUAUUGAUCAAAGUUUAACCAGAUUAGGGUCACAGUUUUCAUCACUGGUGAACGAACAUCAUCUGCAACAUGCUCUUUCACCAGUCCGGCACCCUGAAAAAUGUGGGUUCUCUCCCAUGUGCUGCUAUUACUUAAAGAGGACGGUGUCAUCUUCUCUCAAGUAAAUCAUCUUUAAGGUUUCUGUUGUCGUCCACCUUGUAACAGUGAGGGAAAGUACUAAGAGUCUUCGGGUUUUCUUGUGGAUUGGUAUCAUGGCACUUUCUAUACUUCGGAAGUUGGUGUAAAGAAAACAGAAAAAUCAUCAAGUGCGGCGAGCGCAGAAUGGUAGAAACAUGUUAAGUUUUUUUUUUUUUUUUUUGUCGACGGAGUGGGGUGUCCGGGUCAAGUCCGUAAAGGCGGCCCGACUAAUCCCCACUUCGGCCCGGCCUAGCGCCCCAACCGGACCUAGCACGUUGAAACAUGUUAAGUUGAAUGGGUAAUAGAAACAGUUAAAAUGGACUCUACUGGGCAGAAAUUUUCUCGAAUAGAGUGCCUAUUACAAUGCUGAUAAAGCCGAGGAAGGAGUUAAUGAAUGUUUAAGUGCAUGUAACACUGGAUCACUUGACAAGUCAAGCUUCAACUGAUAUAUUCCUGUAGGCCGCGGCAUAAACGAGAACAUAAAAGAAACAAUUUCUUCUGAAAAAUAACCAAACUGAAUACCUUUUCUUUUUUUGCAUUCAUAUUCAUCACUACUGUUUAAAAGGCAUAAAUGUCUCCUAUGCUUCGUACCAAAAAAGCAAAGGAAAAACCACAAGGGUUCCCAAGUAUCUAUUUGUAAAUGUGUGAUCUAAAGGGGAGGUUGAGUUCUGCAAUACAAGUGCUAACACCACAGACACGUACGGUCAUGUACCGCAUGUAUCAUUCAUUCAUUUGAGGCAGCAUUGGUCACAGACGAUAGCGGACAUCAUAAUCAAAACUGCAUAAAGAGGCCUUUGGUGGAAGAUUUGCCUUUCCUUUUGUCGUCAAUGAUGCAGCCACUACAUUUUCUUGGUUUUUAGGAAUCCGGAAUGAGGACUUAUUAUUUAAGGGUUGAAAAUUUGGCCAUCGACUUGUCACUAGAUGGCUGUAUCAAGAUUACAGUCAUUUUCCUACCGAAAAAAGGGCCACAAAUGAUGAUAUUUAACUAUCACAUGCUCCAUCCUAUCAAAGUUGUAAGCCAAUUCCUCAAUGAAUAGACAUCCCUCUUGCCCCAACGGAGAAGGCAAACCAAGAAAACAUUUUCAGGAGACUAAAGAAAUCUCUUCUGGACAGCUCCGAUCCAUUUGAUCGCACGGAGUACUCCAUCUGUGUUAACCGGCAGACAAAAUCCAAUGUAACCUCGAUAUAACAACAAAAUCGAAUAAAAGUCCACGAAGGUGAAAACCAUAUCCAGCCCAACCGACAGAUGAGAGACUAUUGGCUUUAGUAGAAUGUAGACUCUGCCUCUUACCAAAGAUCAAACUCUAUCACUUGGUUCAUUGAUUUGAAGUGAUGCUCUCGAUAAGCUUGCUUCCAGUUCAUCCAACUCAUCCACGUCCAAGUCGUCGUCAUCAUCGUCAUCAACAUUGUCAUCAGAAAGCGCUUCAGCAGCUUGGGCAACUGAAGUUGAAGAACUUGGUCCGUCUGUAGUAGAGACUUUGUCACCCUAAAAGCCACAAUCAUAGUAUACAAUGUCAAUAACGCAACAAUAAGAAUUUUGAACAAACAAGUGAACCACAGCGCACAUUGGGACAACAUAGAAUCAUUUACAGUCCUUUGGAAUGAUGGAUUUUAGUUCAAUGAAGAAUUCCAAAUUAAUGGAUUUGCAAUUCUAAUUAGUCAGAAUAUUUUGUUUGGCAUAGGUUUUACCAAGAUGAGAAUUAAUAUAGAUCAAAACAAGUUGGGGUGAAAAUACAAAAUUUAUAAAAUGUAGGGGCGAUUAUUGGAUAAUUCCCUUUUCUUUAUUCUCCAACUCCAAGCAACUGAUUGCUCUGGAUGCCUCUGUUUCUUCUCUUUUCCAGCAAUGCAGGAGGUGGUGACAAUCAUGAUGACAACAUCACUACUCUCUCACCCACACACUUGCAUCCACCUGAACGCAUUUUAGGGUCCUCAUAAUCAUUUUUGUUUCACUUACUCUAUAUGCCCCUUUUGUUUUUGCUGUCCGGGGAUGGCCAUCACUGGCAAUCACACAAGUUCGCAUGUCUGAACUCGAAGAAAGCAGCAGGGGCCAUAAAAUAGUUGAAUUAGAGAGGAAGAAAGAAAGGGAGGAUUUGAAAUAACACCUAUUUCAUUAGUUUUAGCUCUCAAAAUCCCUCUUCCAGCUGCUGUAUUUCAAAUCCAGAUAUGGGUUAAGUUAUCCAAACAACAGAAGGUAUUUCGGCAAAGGAUUUCAAAUCCAAAUCCACCCAAUUACCCAAAUCCUUCAAUACAAAGCAAGGUCAACAGGGAUAGAUUGGGUCAUCACUAAAGCAAGAUCACAAGCCACUGUAAGGCCCACAACCAGAAAAGGAAGACAUGAUAAAUGUAGGAAAUUAGAUAAUUAUUUCCGCAAAUAUACAUGGGUAAGAAUAAGCUAUUAUUUCCUCAUUUCUUUUUUCAUUGUUCCCCCAUUUCUUGAGUUCCUUUUCAAUGCAGGGCAUCUUAGAAGUCGUCCUUCAAGUUGUCUUAGAAUGGUAGUUUAACUGCAAUUUGUUUCCUGAGGUGGUUAACUAAUGGAUAGAAGCUACUUCAGUAGCGCACUUACCAUGUGCUUCAUUAAGCAAUUUUUGUAAUCUGUCAAUCAAGGAUGCCAAUAAAAUUUCCAGCCCUAAACAGUCUUUUAGCUGCAGCAGUACUUCAUGCUCGUUCCUUUUUUCGGGGGUUUUUUUUUUUUAGGGGGGGGGGGGGGGGUUUAAAAAGUAAGUGCUCUUUGAUGAAAAAAAACCUUUGCUUCAUGUUUGUACUUCACAUUUCUAUGUCUUUGGGUGUGAAAAACCUUAUCAGAACCAUACAUUUUUAUCAAUGCCAACCUCCGUCUAUGCAACCUCAGCAGCACACAGACAAAGAUGCACAAUUAUAUCCAGAGACAAAAAAGUAUCCGUACCAGUAAUGAUCACGCUUGAAAGCCAGAACACAAGAAGUCUCAAAGUAGCCUCAAGAAAAUAAAACAUGCUGACAAGUUUAGCAUACCUUUUGUUCAGGAACAUCCGACUCUUCGUGUCUCUGGUACCGGUCAUAGGCCCCAACAUCAUCCACAAACAAGCUAGCAUCUGACAGGAACAGCUCGCGACCACUACAGCAUUGGUAAUCAGACAUUCAGUGAGUAGUUACAGUACUGAUAGUGUUUGUCUACCCACAAAAGCAACAAGGCUCAACAAAAGAGGGGAUAACCAAGGUUGAUACCUCAUACGAUCAUUUUUAGCCCUAUCAGCCACCUGAGCAGCUAAGCUAGCAUCUCUUUCCUCCAUCUUUUUCUUCUUCCAUUGCACAAAAAGCUCAGGAGUCAUAGGAGUUGUAGUCGCUACUUUUGCACGCUGGUUAUAAAAAGUAUACACUUGUCAAGAAUAAUUCCAACUUGAAAUAGCAACAGGAAAGCCUGUAACUGAAUGGGAAUAAGGUCUUUCCAGUUUACCUGAUCUUCAAUCUCCUCUUCAAUAGAUAUUUUCUCAGUUUCUUCCUCGAUCAGAGCCUUGAUCUGAGAUUUUAGAACAUAUCCAGGAGGAAGAGCAUGUCUGUAAUGGCAAUCUUUACCACCAUUUGGGCACACCCAAAACCAACCAUAUUGCUUUUUCUCCACUGCUUCCAAAAAGUAUUUACAUACCUGCCAAUAGUUUGGACAUGAGUAUGUAAGUUAUUACAAUCUGCUGUUCCAUGUGUCACCCAAGGAAUAUAGAGAAAAAAGAAAAGGAGUAAUAUUUUGAAAAGCUUGGGAAAAUGCAUAUACCGGGAAUAAAUCACCCCUUGCAGAUUGGGAUUUAUAUAUCUAACUAAUAAUCAGAAAUCUUGAGAUAUCCUUUUUGGCAAGCCUAUAGCUCUCAUCAAAUUGAAAAAAUGUUGUUUAUGAUAACAUCAUCAUUAAUUAACACAAAAUAAAACUAGUAUUUUUGACUUGCCACAUCAGCUUAUAAACAUCCACAUUAAGUCAAACAACCAGGAAUUGGAACACAUAAACUCAAAAGGAUAAAUUUUCAUUGCUCAUAGACAGUUUAAAUGAUGAAAGUUUUGCAGGUUUGGACCGGUAGAAUCCUACAACAACACAGGAACAUAACUACCAACUAUGCAAUACUUUGCUCUUCCAAUGCCAUCAAUUUGCACAAUGCUUGGACAACUGCAAAAAAUCUCAAUCUUUUGGCGCGAAUCCAGUUUCUAAACCACCUAUUUCAAUUUAGAGGGGAGACAUUUCUCCAUGUCUAAACAGUCCUUGAAAUUUUCGUCCUAACCUGAAGUAACCGUUUUAACAUAGUCUUGCCACCAAGCCUUCUUUUCAGAGCAGGAUUACAGAAGUUUUAUCAUGCAUUUGUUGCAAAGACAUGCAGGUUUUGACUGAUUUAUGAAAAAAAAAAAAAAAAUUCAAGUGCAUAAGAACCCUCUUACAACAAAGACCAAGAAUAUAUUUCGGGAAAAGAGUAUUUUUCAAACAAUGACAACAUUGAUCCAGAUAAAUGAUAAUAAAAAGAUGAAUAAAUCAAAUUAGAAACUUUCAACCACCUGCGAUGCCAAUUAAGGAUACAAAAAAAGAAAAGACUAAUUAAUCAACAAAAUUUGCAUCAAUAGGACACAAAAUGAAAUUGUAUCAAAAGGGAAAUGUUGAAAAUCAUAGUUCUAGUUCAGAGCAUCAUUCAAAUGUAAACUAUGGACCAAUGUAAACACAUCAAUGGGACUAAAGGACUUACUAUAUCAGUUGGCUUAUUUUUAUUAUACUCGUUACUUUUCGACUCCACAACCUUCUCCAAUGUCUCCUGAUCCCAGUCAGCCAUUGUAUCUUCUUCUUUCCCUUCAAACCCAAAGAAAAGCAUGGAACAUAAGUCAAACCCCACCGAAAGGUUCGAGGGCCAGGGAGGAAAAAAUGGGGAAGGGGGGAUUAGAGCUAUGAUAAAGCAUGCAUAUAGUAGGUUAACCUUUGAAAGAUUUUGACUUUUGGGAGAGGUUCUCGAAAAAUAUUAAUGCAGCACUUAAUUUGGAAGAGUUUAAAAGGUGGUCAGAGAGCAUGCUAAAAAUUCUCUUGAAAAAUUUUUCCACAAGUCCCUACAAACAGAGGGUAAAUAUUUUUUUUUGUUUACCUUGAUCACGCGUGUCGCUGUAGAUAUCAAUUUUCUCCCCCUUCCUUUGAACAUUCAAAUCGUGUGAGAACUUGCAUUUAAAACCCUUGGCACACUGCCCCACCUUAAAAUACUCGCACAAUAUUGAUUUUGGAUCAACACCUACAUGAGAUCAUGAAAGUUACCCCAAAUUAACUUUUAUUCUAACGCAAAUUCUAUACAAACAUUAACCAAAGAAGAAGACCCUUUACAAAAGGAUUAUUCUGUUUAGCAAAACUUUGAAUAGCAACAAAAAUUACACAGAGAUACUUAAACCAUUAGAAUUAACAUAGGGAAAAAGGACAAUUUGGAUAAUUACCAACGGGUACUUUAGGUUGACUGACAGCAACUUUGAAUAAAUCAUUCAGCUCCUUCUCUUUAGCCUUCUCUUCUUCCAUCUUUUUCUGUUAUUUAAUGAAAAUCAUGGUCGAUUACAACUAACGAUAGAAAAUGUGCAUAAAAGAUACGAGCUUUAAUUGAAGAUACACAGCACAGAGAGAGGAGGAGGGAGGAAGGGGAGAAUAUUACCUUGGCGUUGAUUUUGGAGGUGUCAGGUUUCGGCUGGACGGAUUGCUUAAGGGAUUGAACGUAUUUCUGGACAUUUUUGGACUUGUUCUUGUUUUUGAGACCGAAGGUCUUGUCCUCGACUAUCUUCUGCUUCUUGGCUAAAUCGGUUUUUGAUGGCUGCUUGGGAGGCAUCUCUUAUUUUCAUCCAAAUCCAAUCCCUCCGCCGCUUGUUAAUUAAUUUAUACUGAUAAAAGUAUCCCUCUUAAUCCCGCCUGCUAUUGUACAUGGGAAGGUGGGGUUCUCAGUUUUUCUCUUGUUAUUUUUAGCUGUCGCAAUUGUCUGCUUCACCGGUUGGCAGGACAGGGAGUGGCCGGAGAACGGAGACGGAUAAAUGCUUCAGCAUUCAGCUGUGUCUGUGAAAACCGAAAAAUAAUAAAAAAAAAACUAAAAAAGAAAACGAGGGUGACAAUUGGGGUUCUUAUACAAGGGUUUGCUUUCCAGAAGGUGCGUACGUUGUUUACUCUUUAGUACUUACCCUCUUCUUUUGCUUCUUUUUUUCCCCCUCUUUUUAUUUAAUCUAUCCUUUUCCCACCUUCCCUACACUAAAGUGUUUAAUCUCAUCUCAGAUAUAAACAUCCGCAAGAAUCACAGAAUUUCAUGGAUUGUUGUCCUCCUUCAUGACUAAUUAUUAUUAUUAUUAUUAUUAUUUUCAAGUCAUUCUCCAAAGAAAAAUUUGCAUAAAAUUUCAUUUUGUUACCUUUCUCAAUUUUAGUAUACGAAACCUCUAUCUAAAAAAAAAAAAUUUUAAAAUUUUAAGGCGUUGAAAAGUUUUUUUAUGUGGCGGACACCGAGAAAAUAACAAAUGUUAAAUAUGUUAUUCGAUCUUUCAUUUUUUAAAAAGAAAGGGAAAAAAGUGUAACACAAUCACUUUACAGUUUUAAGGAAAAAUAGCAAAUCCAUUUUGGUUGAGUUCAUAUAGAUAUAAACAAUAAUAGUUUUUUUGUAAACCCAAAGUAGUUGCUAAAAAGUUAACUCAAUUUGGUAUUUUCUAAAUUAACCAAGCACACAUCAUUAAAAGAUUAUUAUCAUUUUUAACAAAUAACAAACACACGAGUUCCCUAGCGAUUUAUCCUUUCAAAGUUCUGAGGGGAGAGAGCCCAUGGGCAUAAAUCUUUCACGACCCUUCGGCUGAAUCGGCAACAUCAGGCUUCUUGUCACUUCUCAAUUUGGCCCAGAAUCACCGGGCUUCAGGCCCAACGAUCAAAGGAUUUGAGUAAAAGGCCGAUCAUCGGGUCCAGCCCUGGAGGACCAAAGAUCGAGCAGCGAGAAAUGCUCGCCUUUCAAUUUCAAUCUUCAAAUUAGCCUUAACAAGUUCAUACAAAUAAUUUUUUUUUUCAGGAAAAGAAAAAGAAAAAGAAAAAGAAAGCGGAGGCUUUCCACUUUCAACUUUCAAGUCUCUCAACGGGAACUCUCUUGUUUUUAAUGAGGGACGCCAUAGCCAUCUUAGCUUCCUGCUCUGUUACUCUCCCUGCGACUCAUGCUCCGGCUCCUCCCUCCCACCACCGCCGCCGCCGAUGCCGCCCGUCUCCUCGCACUAACCAAUCGCUUAAUUCCACUGCUCCUUCACUUCACUCCACGGUACGAUGGGAUUAUGCUUCCACUUCCCGCAAUCGCAAUCGCAAACGCCUCGAGUAUUACACCGACCUAACCUCCAACCUCGCCCGAGAUGGAAGAUUCCGAGACUUGUUCAUGAUUGCCGAAAGCUUCGUAGUUUCAGGCGGGAAGCCUUCUCAAUUUGUGGCCUUGCUCGAUGUCAAUAUUGUUUCUGCUGGGAUUUCUAGAAUGAUUAAGGAUGGAAGGCUCGGGAGCUUGAUUGAGGUGUUAGGUGGUCUGAGGAAGCUAGGAUUCGCUGUGGUUGAGCUCUUUGACGGACUCGCAGUUGAGGCACUUCGGCAGGUGUGUCGUCGUCAGCUAGGGAAACGUGAUGACGUGGAGGAGAUUGUGAGCUUGUUGGAAACACUUCAAGGUGAGUUUCAGUUGGAGUAGUUAUAUCCUUAUUUUUUUAAAAUUGUUAACAGGCAUUAUGUCUUCUUGUCCAAUUGCUUGCCAUUAUUUGGCUUUGACUAUUCACUUCGAUGUCGUAAUCUUUCAGGGCUUGGUUUUUCUACUAAAGAAUUCGUUGCGCCCUCCGAAAUCAUAAGGCUUUGCGUUUACAGAAGAACCCCAAGUGCUGCUAUAAGGUAUGAUUUGUUUUGGUUCAAGAAUAGUAUUUGGUUCAGAAGUUGCAUAGUUUUCUGUCUAGUGAGCUGCUGUCUAGUUAUUUGAUGUGACAUUUUGCAGGUAUGCACAAAUUUUUCCGCAGGUACAUACGCUUUUGUGUACCAUAAUGAUUGAAUUUGGGAAGAAAAGGGACUUGGUAUCUGCACUCAGUGUUUUUGAAGUCUCCAAGCAGAAUCAAGGCUGUCCCAACAUGUAUGCCUACCGAACAAUCAUUGAUGUUUGUGGACUCUGUGGGGAUUAUUUGAAGUCUAGAUCUAUUUAUGAGGUAGUUGCAUUUGUUUUGGGUCUUAAUUCCAGUUCUUUGCAAAGUUCACAAGUUUUACCAUUUGACAAUUCGUAAACCAAUGGCCAAGAGUCAUGCAUAUUACCUGUUAUGACAUUUCUCUCUUUGGGAGACCUUGUUAUCGGAUGGCAUCUUUUCAAUUGUCAUUAUAUGGUCCUCCAUCCUAGUUAUUCUGGCUCAUGUCCUUAAACCUUUUAUGUCAUUAGCACUUGAAAGGAUGAUGGCUUAUGCACAUUUAUCUUAAGCCUGCUUUGGACCCUUCUUGUGUGUAAUUUUACUUGUAUAGCCAAAAUUAUUCUCUUCUUAAGCCAAUUUGUAGCUGUUCACAAACACUCAAAGAUGUGAAUUAGUGCGUGCUUGUGUUUACUAUUAAAAUACUUGUAAGUUCAGUAUUUAAGAGGAAAAAUUUGAAACUUGCACUUCUAGGUUGCGGUACUGGAUUAUCUGAAUUAUUUGAUUUAUGUAAUUGAGAGAUAGGAUUCUCAAUAAACUGAUCUUUUAGUUGCAUUUGUUUGACUGCUACCAGUUUCCCAGCUUGGUUUGAUGAUUUACUAAAUCCUGUUUUCAUUGUUUUCCUGUUCAAUGAGUUUAUAAUUCUCAAUCACUGAUCUGUAUUUGACUCCAAUAAAUUUUCUUUAUUUUCUUGCAUUACCUAUUUUUAAAGACAAUAUUUUGCCCAUAAGGGAUUCAAAAGUUAUUUUUUCCUAUCCCUUGUGAAUGGUGUGAACACAAAGCCAUGCUAAUGUUUAAAUUUUACUGCAGGAGCUACUUGACUGUAAGUUCAUCCCAAAUAUUUAUGUUUUCAACAGUCUCAUGAACGUUAAUGCCAGUGAUUUCAGCUACAUGUUACAUAUCUAUAAGCAGAUGCAAGUAAUGCUCUCUCUCUCUCUCUCUUCCCCUCCCUCUCUCUGUCUAUCUAUCUCUAUUUAUUGUCCUUUUAUUUACCUUGAAGUACUGGUUUCGUGCACUGUGGAGCAGCAAAAAGUCCAUACCGUUUUUGAUUGAGGAGUGAUUCUGGAAUUUAACUUUAUCAUUGAAUGUAUAAAGAUAUUAGUCACCUCUUUCUCCUUCUUCCCUUUUUUCUUUUUGUGAUCUUGCAUUUCAUUCAUUACUUAUUCAGUUGUCAAGUACUUACCGUGCUUAAUUUGUUUGGUGGAAUGCCACAUCCAGAAAGUAGGUGUGACAGCUGAUCUGGCAUCAUAUAAUAUCCUUUUGAAGUCUUGCUGUCUUGCUGCAAGAGCUCAUCUGGCCCUAGACAUUUACAGAGAUGUUCAACAUUUGGAAUCAAAAGGGGCUCUAAAAUUGGAUGUGUUUACUUACUGUACAAUGAUCAAGGUACAGCAAUGCCUUUUCUGUCUUGAUUAUACUCUGCUUGGUGCAUUAUGUGUUAUGGAGGCUUCGUAUCCAGGAUGAGAGUAAUAAACUCAUCUGCAAAGCAAAGGAACAAAAUUCAUUUGUGCAGAAGGAUUUGUAGUUCAUCUCAUGCUGUUCUCUGUGUUGAAUAUUCUUGAAUUGUCCAUUUGGCUUCUCCAGAUUGGGCAGUGGCCUUCUGAACGUGCUUGCAAUUGAAAAAUUCUGACAUUUGCCUGCGGACUUGAAGACACAUGUUUAAAAUGGUUAAGGAGUGUUCUUUCACAUUUAUUUCAAAGACUUAAAAUGCUUAAUAUUAGUCCGACCCUGAAAUCUAUGUUCAAACUACUAUGUAUCUUGCAUGGUGCUCUAACGCAGGCAACCAGCAUCUGCCUACUUGUUUCUUAAAUGCCUUUGAGUCCAAGUAUCAUACAUUUUUUUCCUACUAUCUUGCAUCCUAAUAUUCCUUUUCCUGCUCGAACUGGAUUUUCACCCUGUGAGGAGUUAUCCUUUUAUCCUCACAUCCCCUGCACCAAUUAUUCAGGUCCUUGCAGAUGCUAGAAUGUGGAGAAUGGCACUGGAAAUAAAAGAACAUAUGCUGCUAGCUGGUGUUAUUCCCAACACUGUAACGUGGUCAUCAUUGAUCAGUGCAUGUGCCAAUGCAGGUCUUGCAGAGCAAGCAAUUCAAUUGUUUGAAGAGAUGCUUCAGGCUGGUUGUGAGCCUAAUUCACAGUGUUGCAAUGCUCUUCUUCAUGCUUGUGUUGAAGCUCACCAAUAUGAUAGAGCCUUUCGACUCUUCAAGUCCUGGAAGGAAAACGGUAUUAAGAUGUCUGUAAGAAAAGAUUUUCAUUGGAUGAACAAAAUAAAUGAUUAUGCUUGCAGCAAGCAUGAAAAUUCCAGUACAAUAACAUGUAGAACCUCUGACUCAGAGCAUCCAUCCUUUCCGAUAAGGUUUUCAUUUGCACCCACAACUUCAACAUAUAAUAUUUUGAUGAAGGCCUGUGGCACUGAUUACUACCAUGCCAAAGCAUUGAUGGAUGAGAUGAAGAUGGAAGGUCUUUCUCCGAAUAACAUAACAUGGUCCAUUUUGAUUGAUAUUUGUGGAGGCUCAGGAAAUGUACAUGGUGCUUUGCAGGUACCAUAGUCUACUUCGUUCUUAAUGAAUAGUAAUUACCAUGACUUCCUGCCCUCUCAACUAGUAUGUUCUUGUCAAUGGUAAUAUGGAAUCAUUAGGAGCUCCUUCCUGGUUGCAUCAAUAAGUGAUAGCACCAACUUUGUCCUUCACAGUGUCAUGCGUUGCGAUCACCUCCGCCUCAUCACCUAUCUCACCCCCAUCCUUUUCUACAAUGCCUUGUUUGGCUAGUGCAGUGAUUCUCAUUCUCCUAAUCACUCAUGCUUGGCCGAGCAAUAAUCAAAAUCUAAAUAAAUGCUUCCUGCAAGGAAUACAAAUUGUUUUGUAAUCUUUCUCCCUUCUGUGCAGAUCUUAAGGUCCAUGCACCAGGCUGGUACUCAACCUGAUGUUGUCACAUAUACAACAGCUAUUAAGGUAAAAACUUUCUGCUAGAUUUCUAAUAAGGGCUGAUUGUAGCAUUUAUUAUAUUCAAGUGGAUGGUCAUUUUAAUGGAUUUUCAUCUGCCAUGUAACAGAUUUGCGUGGAACACAAAAAUAUCAAAGUUGCAUUUUCAUUACUUGCAGAAAUGAAAAGAUAUCAAAUAAAACCUAAUCUGGUAGGGAUCCCUAAAUUUACAAGCAUUCGUUUUGAAGUUACCUGGACUUUUCUGGCAAUAAAACCAAUCAGCCAGGCAUUUAAUUGAUGCUAACAGCGGAGGCUUCCAAAACGAUUUGGUUUUCUGUUAUACAUUUUCCUUUUGUACACAAGUCAAUUGUCCUUGGUUAUAUGAUGUUUGACCAUUAAAGAUGUGACAAAUGUGAAAAGUGUUUGAAAUCUGUUCGUACUCAUGAUGCUGAUUGAAGUUUGUUAUAUGAAUUCCUGAAUGUUUUAUUAGAUAUGUUUUCAAGACACAAUUUGCUUCAGUUUUGUUGAUUUUUGAAAUUUCAUUUCAGGUGACAUAUAAUACUCUUCUCAGGGCUAGGAGCCAGUAUGGUUCCCUGCAGGAGGUACAACAAUGCCUAGCAAUAUAUCAGGAUAUGCGAAAAGCAGGGUAUGUUGUCACAAAAAUCUGUGUGCUUGUGUGCUAUUUAAGUCAUCGUUUUAACCAUUUAAGUCCACAUGGUCUCAUUACAAUCUUAUUUUUCAGGUAUAAACCUAAUGAUUUCUAUCUGAAACUGCUAAUUGAGGAGUGGUGUGAAGGUGUAAUACAACAAAACAAACAGAAUAAAGGCCAGAUUGCUUCCGACAGAGCUUCUUUAGGGCCUCAGAGUCUGCUUCUUGAGAAAGUUGCAGAGCACUUGCAGGACAGUAAUGCUGAAAGCCUGUCGAUUGACAUUCGGGGCCUCACUAAGGUGUAACCAUAAACUUUAGCGGCACAUAACAGGAUUGUUGCAUAUAGAUAUGUAUAUUUUUCUAUUAGAAUUAAAGCCUUUCAUCUAACACAUUGACAGGCUGCUCAUUUAUUUAAUCGAGUCUUCCAUGCAAUGCAUUGACAGAUUGAAGCUCGCAUUAUGGUUCUUGCAGUUCUACGGAUGAUCAAAGAGAAGUAUAAUCCAGGUAAUUUGAUAACUAGUUUAGUACUAUCUAAGAAGUUAAAUUUAUGUAAUGCGAUUAAACUGUCAAAGCUGCCCUGCCUAGAUAAUAAAGUAUCCUGUUUUAGAAACUAUUCAACUCCACAAGAUUGUAAAGCUGAGCAUUCACAUAGUAAUUGCGCAUUCAAUUAUACGACCAUCAGGAAUUACAUUUGCCUUGUACCCUUGGGCAUUUCAAUUUUUUUUGGUUGUAGGAGAUUCAGUGAGAGAUGAUCUGUUGAUUAUACUAGAAGAGGAGCCGUCGGGAUGUGGUUCCAGACACGAAACUGGGUCUACUGAAGCAAUAGCUAGCUUGUUGCAGUACGAUUUGGGGCUUGAGGUUCUAUCAGUAGGGUCAGUAGAUGGUAGAAACUUUAACGGUGGUUUUGAUAUUUCCUUUCUGUAUCCUAAUUCAAAAGUUCUACAAAGAAGAGAUCUGCCACUGAAAUUGGAAUCUCCUUCUAGAAGGCCUGUACCUUUACAGCGAUUGAAGGUAACUAAGGGAUCAUUGCAUCAUUGGUUACAAAAAGGAGGUGCUUCUACCAGCAGAUCAGACUCAUCUCCUUCUGCAGAGAAGUGAACUGAAGAACUGAUAAAGUUAUCAAGUUUGUAGCAGUUAUCAUUCUUUUAUUCUUUGUAUAGAGUUGUAGAUCAGUGUUCUAUUUCUCACAAUAAGGUUGUAGAUAAAGGUGAAGUUGCAUUUCACUCAAAUCAAAUGUAUUUGACUGAGACUGACUACAAAUGUACCAUCAGUAAAGGCAAAAUUUAGAAAUGGAUACAUAGAGAAAAUCACAUGCUACUCAAAAUAUUCUGUCUGCUCAUUUAGCCCCGGUUUCAUGCUAUUGCUGCACCAAUCCUGCAAGUCAAAGUAGAGGCAUCCUAAAGAUCUGAAAAGCAAUUUGACUUAAAAUACUGAAGACAGAUCCAAAAAGCAAUUUAACUUCAAAUACUGAAGAUUAGACACUUCUCCUGGGCAUCAGAAUUCUAAAAUUGUUUAUUUCAAUGAACUGAAGCUUUUUUCCCACCACAGUUGAAUAAAACCAUACAAUAGCAUCGCGAAUCAGGAUGUUUUGCUAAUGAAAACGCAGAUGCACAGCACGGUUUUCCAUCCACCAAGAGAAAUAUGAGGUCAUUUCAGAGCCAAUCCUCCUGCUGCAGUUUCAGGGGCAGAUAGACCUCGGACAAAUACUGAAAGCCGAACGAGCUCAAGGCCUGAAUCUCAGCCUUCUGCUUAGUCUUCACCAUCAAAUUUAACUCCUCAACCCACCCAGGAUUUUUUUUCACAAAAUCUUCCUCCAACAGAUCCUUCCCAGUCUUGAUAUCCUGCUCUGUCAUCGGCAACCUGCACUGCUCCGGUAUGUUAUACUUAUCCAAAUCACUCGGCCUAAUCCCCAACCACUUAAUAUCAGGGGUCGUCAAAUUUGCGCUGUCGUAAGACAUAUUCUUGGAUCCACACCCGUAAACCGACAAGAUCUUCAACCCGUAAGGAUCACUAUCCACCAAAGCCAACACCGGCACCUUCAAUUCCGUCUUCAGUUUCCUCAAGAACAGCCUGGUUGCCACAUCCGGUUGUCCUUUGGCCGUGAUGAUUAUGCACGGGAACCGAUUAUAGAACCUAUCCUCAGCUAACCUGAUAUAAGCAGCAUCCUUCUCCACCAACAGAAUAAACAAUGCAUCACUCUGCAUAUCCCCGACCCUGUCUAUAUUGGGGGGAAUCGCUUUUCCGCCCAUCCCCAUCUUGGUGCAGUCGAUCAAAUCACCGUUAUCGCUAAAAAUAAGCCGGCCAACAACCACCCCCUUUUCGGCGGCAAUCACAUUGAGGCUGGACCUGGUGCAGCCCAAGAUGCAGGAGACGUCAUCCAAGACGGCGUCGGAUUGUGUCUGGUCUUGGAAAAGCUUGACGUCUGUGUAGAAGAGGUCACGCUUAGUGACGUGGAUGCUCUUGAGGCAGAGCUGGUGGAUGAGCUGGAGGAUGCGGGCGGUGAUGGUGGUCUUGCGGACGGUGGAGACAUUGGCGUAGGGACGGAGGGAGGACUUGUCUUUGAGGACGAUGCGGUCGAGUUCGGGGACGUAGAGUUGGUUGGCGGAGGAACGAGAGGGGACGGAGAAGGAGAGGCCCUGGCCGGAGAGGAUGGAGUGGGUGAGGCUGAGGACGAGGGAUUCAAUAGUUGACUGGACGGAGGAGAGAGGGAGGUCGCUGACCUCACGGCAUGCUUGGGAAAGAGAGAGGUCGGCGAGGGUUAAGGGAUUGGUAGAGGCGGAGGGGGUGGAUUCUGCUGCUGCUAGGGCUUUGAGGGCUUGGAGGAUGACGGAAUCGGGUUUGAGUUUGGACUUGAAGGGUAUUGAGUCGGAGUCAGGGUCCGCCGGUCGGCGGCGCUUUUUCUUGUCUGCCAUACUCUGGAGAGUGAAUGACUUGCUUAAUUUAGGCGGACUCGAGACUUGCCUUGCUUGAGUUGUGGGGCGGGGAGGCGGGAAAUGAAAUGGGCGAGCAGCAAGACUUUAACUAGUAGUAGCCCGGAACUUGUGUCUUGGGUGCGUCAAUGGAGUAUGAAACUACUAUGAUUUGGGUUGGAUCCUAAAUUCAAGCCCAUUAAAUUUAAUUAAGACCCAAAUCAGUUUAACGUGGAAUGAGUAGGAGCGUAACGUAAUAGUACUAUAGCUUUGAACUCAGUUUGGGUUUGGCGGGGAAACUUAAGGGAGGCGAAGCCGGCCCAAAACAAAAGUUUGAGGUAGUAACACGUGGAGGCCUGAUUUUCCACAGGCUGGUGAAGGUGACUGGAGAGUCCGGUUUCUUCGUUUGUUGUUGUCCAUCCAGGCUUCAGCAUUGAAAUGAAAGUGAUGUCGUCUCGUCUGUAAUACUUAUAUAAGCAGAAUUAAUCAUUUUCGAAUUUCAUGCAACUGCUAGUACCGGUCCGGUAGUAGCAUUUCCAGAAACUUCUCUCCCAUUCAUUCCAGGAUACUGGCUAGAAUUAAACAAAACCAAUUAUUAGUAGCUGGUAGUAGUAUUUUUUAUUUUCAUUAAGAGAUAGACUAGGCAUGGCAAUUCCUCUUCCUCUUCCUCUUCCUCUUCCUCUUGGUGCCACCACACCACUCCUGAAUCAUCAUCAUCAUCAUCAAGUCGCCGUGCCAGUGCGGCGGCGUCGUCAUGCUGUACGAAACGACAGUAUGAGCUUAGUUGCAGCAGCUCCAACAACACUAGUGUUUCAGCCACAAUUCGAUUCUGCUGUCUACAAUUACAAGAAGAAGCCAAUCAUCAACGCUGCCUUCCCAUCAUCAUCCGCUCUUACUCGAACUAAAAGGCUUCACAUUAUUGUUCCCCGCGCUGUAUCCGCUUCUCCUGGCAAGUUCCCGCUAUAAUUGCCCUAGUAGUAUCCCAGUUACUGUAUUACUCUAUUGGCCUCGAAUCCUUUUUUAACAUUUUUCCAGCAAUCAGAGUAAUCAGAAUUUAGAGAUGCGAGCCUUGGAUUUCUUUUUUCCGUUUCAAAAAGGUGUAUGAUUCUAUUCUCUUAUGAUUGCCACAUCAUGUUAAUGGUGAAAUAGGAGCUGAAUCUUCUGAGGUGACGUCCGAAAACUUGUUAGACGGCGUGCAAGUCUUUGACUUGAAUGGAAGUAAGGUUGCCAUUUCUGAGCUGUGGAGAGACAGGAAAGCUGUCGUUGCAUUUGCUCGCCAUUUUGGGUACUGCUUCAAUUUUCUUUUGUUUCCUUUCAGCUUUUGCCUCUUGUUUGAGCUCCUUUUAAAAAAGCAAUUCCGAGUUGGUACUAAUAAUUCUUUGUAAUUUUCAUUGCAGCUGUGUGCUUUGUCGCAGAAGGGCUGGUUAUCUUGCUUCUCACAAGGUUUGACGUUUCUUUCACUGCCUCGAGUUCAGUUAUAAUGAGGCUUUUAUUGGUAGUUCAGAAUUCAGGAUACUUAUCUCCUUUCCCAUCUCUAGUACUAAUAAAUACCAGCAGAUUCUCAGUACAUAAAUUUUCUUCUUCUUGGGUGUUUCAACCAUGACUACUACUAUCUUCUGAAUGUAUGCCCAUCUGGCAGCUGUUGAAUGUUUAAGGCCUCAAACUCUGUUGUUUAAAGCCUCCUGAUUCCAUCUUGCUUUUAAGCUAAAAGCUUUCUAAGGUCCUCUCAUUUGCUUUGACUUGUACUCUUACCUUUCUUUUUGAGUCGCAAUGGCUUGAUAAGGAGAGCUAGCACUGGCUUUUGAGAAGUUUCAAACAGAAAUUUUUUAUUUGAGUUCUUAAACUUCGUAAUCAAUCACUUGUUAUAACAUUAAUAUGUCCCCAAGUGAUAUUCAGCUAGAUUUUGCCAUUGCAGCAGUUUAUGGUCUGACUACAUUUGCACAAUUAUAUUGCAGAAAUGUUCGUUUAUGAUUGUAGCCUAUCCAUUUGGCUAUUGACCACUUAAUUUUCUCUUUCUUUUUGAACAUGAUAGUGGGAAAACUAACAACCGGAUUGGAAACACAGGAAUCAACUUAAGUAUCUGAUUUGUGGGAUACAACUGUCUUUGUCAAUUACUAUUAAAGAUGCUGACUAACAAGUCAAACUGAAGAAAAAAAUGUUAAUAGUGUGAAGAGCACAGAUCUCCUGAACACAGAAAAGAAUCAGUGUUAGUCAUGAGUGACUGGUACUUAGUAUUUAAGCCUGUUUACCAUUCAAGGAUAGAGUGAAGUGAUAAUGUUGCUCUAAACUCUCCUUUUCUUCUUUUACAGGAGAAAAUGGAUGCAGCUGGUGUGGCACUGGCUUUAAUUGGACCGGGUAGUGUGGAUCAGGUAUCCUGCUGAAGCUCCUUACACAAUUAUCUAAAGGUCACUUUCACUACUCCUGCCUUUUGAUUUGCUCAGAAACAUGGCAUCUUUGGUCGCCAGAUGAACAAUUUUUUUGUUGCUGUUUAGUGUUAAAGCUCAAUGAGAAUUAUGUAGCUCUAUCAUCUGCUGUUUCUUUUUCCUUGCCUUAAAACGUACAGAAAGAAGCAGCAAAUUGAGGAGUGAAAUCUGUCUUGAAAUUUCAGGCAAGGGCAUUUGCUGAGCAAACAAAAUUCAGAGGAGGUAAGUUUGAAAGACCUUUCCUUGGAACAAUCAGUGUCACAAAUAUUCAUCGGAAAUCAAAGGCAAUAUUGCACAGAAUUUAAUGCCCUUUUGGAUGUCUGUUUUUGGUCUUUACUAUUUUUCUUCCAUUUUCAAGUGCUAAUACUGCCCGGGAAAAGAAAAUGAUUUCUGUCUUAUUAGACUCAUGAGUCAGGAGAACAUUCUUGAACCAAAUGGACAGAAUUGCUGAAUAAUAUCUAUGUAAUGUUGGUGAUUGAUGAUUUAAAAGAAAUUUCCGCUCAAUUCUUGUACAAAGCACAUGGAUCCCCAACAAACGAAAUGCAUAACAUCUUCCCAAAGUUGAAGGCAUUGGUGAAGGAAUUGAUCAAAUUGUCGUUUAAACGCUUUAAUGGUAUUCUAUUCUACAUUUCAGAAGUAUACGCAGAUCCCAGCCACUCAUCAUACGAGGCACUCAGAUUUGUUUCUGGUGUUUCAACAACAUUUACUCCUGGGGUAUGAAAUAUCUUUUAUAUGUUUAUCAUGGCUGACUAUGUCUCUUAGGUUGUACGAGAGAUUUUCCUUUAGUGCCUUCUUAGAGGAAAAUUUUCAUCCAUUGAUGAAUCCAGGCUGGCCUGAAAAUAAUACAAGCGUACAUGGAAGGUUAUCGACAAGAUUGGGGGCUUUCCUUUGAGAAGGAAACUAGGACAAGAGGUGGCUGGUACGUCCACUUCUGUUUGUACUCAUGUAUUCGUGUGAUGAAAUCGUUGGCUGUCUGUCAGUUUGCAUUUUUGGAUGGUACAUUCUUGCAAUCAUUGGUCUUAUAAAACUUUAGUAAUAAUCUGCAGUUCUUUUGUUUAAUAAAUAUAUCAGAUUAAAAGACAUUAGGAAUCAUUUGGCGUACAGACUGGCAAUAGGUUAGGCCUUUGAACAAAGAAUCCCCUGCUUUGGAUGCUUUACACAAAAUCUUCAAAACCACCACAUAUUUUUCUAUCUUGUUUACAAGCUCUGAGUUCUUUCAGAAAGGUUAAGUUUAUUAGAAACUAACUGAAUUGCUGCAAAAAGCACUCUGAAUCUAUGGGAAGAAACAACUAUCACCAUCAUGCUCCAUUUUCCAAGUAACUGAGCAUACAAGUAGAGUUUUUUUUUUUUUUUUCAGUGCAAGUGGGCGGACUUUGAGACCUCUCACUUCAACACAUCCCCCCCCCCCCCCCCAAAAAAAAAAAAAAAGGUACAAGUAGACUUAAUAGACUGAUUUUUGGAUGACUAGACUGUGUCACUGUGCGCUACAACUUCAUGAAUCUCUUUAUUGGGUAACGGCUCAGCCUCAUCUUGGUAAACCGUUGUGCAUGCAAUGUAAGCUCAGGACCUUUUGUUAACGGUCUGAAAAUGUUUGAUGGUAAUACUCUUUCUGUCAAUUUGAUUAUCCUGUGAAACCACUAUCUGGUGAUUGUUCUCAGGCAGCAAGGUGGGAUCAUAGUUGCAGGUCCUGGUAAACAUAAUAUAUCGUACAUCCACAAGGUUAAUCCUUGCACUUUCUUAACUUCUGCAGUACUAGAAGUUUCAUGGCGCUGUUUUGAUUCUGCAAGCUUACUGGAAUUCUGAUUACAUUAGGACAAAGAAGCCGGAGAUGAUCCAGAUAUAGAGGACGUCUUGAGAGCAUGUUGUCCGUAAUUAGCGAAUUGAAGUCUUUCUCCACCCUCCAAAGCAAUAUUAUUUGUUACAUCUCUUAAUCUUCUAAAUUCAGAGAGUUUAGCGAGGGUAAUCUCUUGUUUUAUACGUCAUUAUACCACAUAAUUUUUGGGUUUCAAGGUAUAAAUCCAUAGGUACCGGGCCUUUCAUUUCCCACCGAUUUAGACCAGAAAUUGAGCUUCCUUUUACUCCUCAUUAGGCUUAUGGAUCCAUCGGCUGCAAGUUUUUGUGCCAUCUAGGAACGAUUCUUGAGCCGGCAUGCACGUCAGUCUGCUCAGAGUUAAUUUGAGAAAAACAAAUGUUAAGUAUUGGAAAAAGCUGAUAUACAAUAAUACAAACACAGCAAAAGCCGGUCUCUCGAGGCAACCAGCAAAAUUAUUAGAUUUCAGUGACUAGACAACCUAGUUAACUCUUCGUCCAAUGAGUCUCUCCCCCCUAGAUGUCAGGCAUGAACUCCGCACUUUGUGCUACAUGGUGAAAAUGACAUCACAGCCAAAGCCAAAGAACAGAUGAUCAAUACUCUCCUCCUCUUUCUUGAUGGCAGCAAAAAAACCUAUCAUUACACUUCUUUACUCUAUGCAUUGUGGACGGUCUCCUUUUGCAGAAUAACCAGCAUAUACCAUUUCACUCUCUGCCCUUUCAUUGUUCACCACCUGCAUCUGCAUGGCAGACUUAAUAGAGAAUAGAGUCGCUAUCAGUCGAAACAAGCUCAUCCUCUAACUCUAUCAAUGGUACAAAGGUCAGAGGACUAGUGGCCAUCAAAGAUCUUACUUCCUGUGUCAUUUCCAGGACACUUGAACUACACUUGGCAAACACAAUCAACAUUUGACAUUCCAAAACUAUUCAAGCGGUCCCCAAAAAAAUGUUUAAAGAGAGGCCCUAUAGGAUGCUAAUAAUAGAGCUGUAAAUCUCUGUUUCGUUGAGUUACUUGAAUAAGACUCUGUGUUCGAUCGAUAAUUUUCAAGUUCGAAAUCUCUUUUCAUGUUCAACUUGUUAAUUAAAUUCCUAGUUCAAAUUUGAAUUUGAGUUCAACUCAUUUAACAUAAACAAACUGAUAUCGAACAGGUUCGAGAAGCUCAAAUUUUGGCUUUUUCUCUCAAAUAAUCAUUAAAUUCAAAUACAAAACUAACCAGCUAACACUAAAUUUUGUAAAAUGAUACUGUAAUUAGGUUCAUAUUUAUGAACGAUCAUUUAAAUUCGCAGACAAAACUCUUGCUCAUUUAAUUACAUAUCGAGUCAAAAUGUUUAUUCAAAUUCGACUCUUCCAAAGUUUCGAAUGAGCCGUUAGCUAACACAAGCAAAUCUUAAACUAGUUGAACAAUCAAACACUUCCACUCGCAUAACAGCACUGGCCAAUAGUCAAACCAAAAGUUGGUAUCGACUCCAUUACUCACAGGCAUCUCGCGAAAAGGAUGGAUAAAGUCUUUCAGCUUCAACAUUAAGGUGGCGUUUGGUUCGCACAUCGGUAUUGGAUUCGGAUUCGGAAUCGGAUAUCUUGGGUUUGGAAUGAGGUCAUUCAUUCCAAUACAUUUGUUUGGUUCAAGUACCUGAAAUGUGUAUCAUUACUAUAGUUGAUGUUUGGUUCGUCGACUCUUUCGGAAUGGAAUAUAAUAAAUAUAUUAUAAACCCCAUCAUAAAUGAUAGUUAUUGGCUCUUUGUAAAUGAGAUAUAAGAAAUCUUCACUAAUUAAAUAUAUUAGUAUAAAUGUAUUAGUAAAUUUAGUCUAACUAAUUAAUAAUUUCUAUUAGUAAACAUGUAUAAUUAUUAGUAUAAUUGAUAAUAUUAAUUAUAUUACAUAAAUUAAUAUACAUUAUAUAAUACAUAUAAAUAAUAAUAUUAUUAUUAUAAGUUUGUAACUAAUUAAAUUAAAUAUUAUAUAUAUAAUUAAAUAUAAAUAUACAAAUGUUAUAAUAUAAAUAUAUAAAUAUAUAAUUAUAUAAUAUAUACAAAUAUUAAUUAUAAUAAUAUUUUAUAUAAAUAUAAUAUAUAUUACAUAUUAAAUAUAGUUAUUAUUAUAUAUUAUUAUAUUUAAAAUAAUAAUUAUUAUAAUUAUAUAACUUAUUAAUAUUACAUACAUGUAUAUAUUAUAAUUAUAUGCACAUACAAUAUACAUUUAUAAAUAUACAUAUAUAUUAUAAAUAUAAUAUUAUAUAAUAUUAAUAAAUUUAUAAUAUAUAUUAUAUAAGUAUAAUUAUAUUUAACUAAAUAAUUAUAAUAUAUAAUUAUAUAAUACAAUAACAUCAUUAUUAUAAGUUUGUAACUAAUUAAAUUAAAUAUUAUAUAUAUAAUUAAUUAUAAUUAUACAAACGCUAUAAAAUAAAUACAUAAUUAUAAUUAUAUAAUAUAUAAAUAUUAAUUUUACUCAUAUUUUAUAUAAGUAUAAUGCAUAUUAAUAUUAGAUAUAGUAAUUAUUAGAUAUUAUUGUAUUUAAAAUAAUAAAUAUAAAUAUAAAUAUAAAUGUAUAAUUUAUUAAUAUUAUAUACAUGUGUAUAUUAUAAUCAUAUGCACAUAUAAUAUGCAUUUAUAAAUAUACAUAUACAUUAUAAAUAUAUUAUUAUAUAAUAUUAAUAAAUUUAUAAUAUAUAUUAUAUGAAUAUAAUUAUAUUUAACUAAAUAAUUAUAAUAUAUAUUUAUAUAAUGUACUAAUAUUAUAAUUAUAAUAUAUUAUAUAUAUGUAUAUAUUAUAAUAUAUAAUAAAUAUAAUAUAUAUAAAUAUUAAUUAUAUCAUUGUAUAAUUAUAAUAUGUAAUUGGAUUUGUUUCUUGGAAUCAAACUUGGGAAUCGGACAAAACCCACCAAAAUACUUGGGAAUGGAGAAACACCAAAUUUUUAGAAAUCAUUCCAAGAUUUCAAUUCCCAUUCCAGUAAACCAAACACCAUUUAUGGGGUUCAUUCCAUUCCACGAAUCCGAUACCCUUUUACCAAACGCCCCCUAAGUAUUUUUUGGGCCGGUUUGCUUCAAAAAAAUGCUUUGCUAUUUUAAUCUUCAAUUAUUGUGGAUAUCAUCAUAUCAACAAGAAACAUACACCUAUUUUUGUAAUAUUUUUCUCAUUUAUUGGUUCGGCUUAUCUUCCCCUCCCUCCUUCCCCAAUCCAUAGGACAGAGCCAACGUUAAAUACGUAUAAUUAUAAUAUAUACCUUUAUCAGCGUCUGUUGGGGCAAAAAAGCUACAGGAGCUUUCACUAACGGAAAGCAAGCCAAGCAAUUUCUCGUCAAACACAACUAAGUCAAAUAAAAGUAAACAGAUCAAGAGGAUAAUUUAGCAUUGAAAUAUGAUUGGUAUCACCGUACUUAUAUAGAAUACUGUGACGAAAGAGCACAACCAAGCUGCAGCAUCUUCCACUUAUAUCCAGUUUCCAGUCCCUUACACAGGAGCUCAUCCUUAAAGCAGUUUCAUGAUAUAAUACGGACUGAUCCAUCCUCAUUGACCACCAUCAUAAUCUUUUUAAUAUUUGGUCGGUGGAAGGUUAAUGAUUCAAAAUUUACCUCCCAUCACUUGUUAUUAUAUGUAACUUGUUAUUUUAAAUAACUUAAGAUUAUAUGUAACUUGCUAUUUUAAAUGACUUAAAAUCCAUACGAAUAAGUAGUACACUUGUCCGAUUUUAUUUCCCGUCCUUUUAGAAUAUACUAGAUUUUAGUUCCCGUCCUUCUAGAAUAUACUAGAAUGGUAGGUUGAUAUAGAGUAAACAAGUCCCGAUCAAUCCAAAAAAAAAAAAAAAAUCCUUACCGUGUAACUUUUUUCAACAAGAUUUAAUACCAAAAUAUCAAAAUUUUUAAGGUUAAAUCUCCUUCAAUCAGAUUAGUUCAGAUCCAUGUUACCGCUCGCACCAUUAAGAGAACACGCUGAUAAAGGAAAAUGUUAAAGUCCAUCAUAUCACACUGUCACGGCUUUUGGGUAGUUUAUUAAGGUCCUCAGGAACCACAAGAGUUGCCGGUUUUGUGAUUUCCUGUGGAGUUACUUUACUAAAUUGCAAAAGUCAAUCUGUUGACUAGAAAAACACUGUCACGGGGUGAACCGAUGCACAAAAUAUAAUCACGGCCCACGGAUGAGAUCAAUUCUAAGAUAGCACACCUAUAGCUAAUAUCAGACCUUGAAUCAUGAAAAAGAUGAACAUGCCAACCUCCCAUCUUUAGCAUAGAAUAGUAAGACAGUUUACUUCAUUUUCCCUGAAUUUGGUACUGAAAUUAAGAAAAACGAUUUCAACAAACAUUUAUUACGGGAAGACAGAAUAUAAUUCAAGGACCUAAACAAGUAACUAAAAACAAGCAUCUACUAUUAAGGCUUCUAAUUCUUAGAAGGCACCACCGCGCAGACGAAGGACAAGGUGAAGAGUGGACUCCUUCUGGAUAUUAUAAUCCGCCAGGGUGCGCCCAUCUUCGAGCUGCUUUCCAGCAAAAAUGAGUCGCUGCUGGUCCGGUGGAAUUCCCUCUUUGUCUUGGAUCUUUGCUUUGACGUUGUCGAUGGUGUCUGAGCUCUCAACUUCAAGAGUGAUAGUCUUACCAGUCAGAGUCUUCACAAAGAUCUGCAUACCACCCCUCAAGCGCAACACCAGAUGAAGAGUAGAUUCUUUCUGGAUAUUGUAAUCAGCUAGGGUUCGACCGUCUUCCAACUGCUUUCCCGCAAAGAUCAAUCUCUGCUGGUCCGGCGGAAUUCCCUCUUUAUCCUGGAUCUUAGCCUUGACAUUGUCUAUCGUGUCAGAGCUCUCGACUUCCAACGUGAUCGUCUUCCCAGUUAGGGUUUUGACGAAUAUCUGCAUACCACCGCGAAGCCUCAAGACAAGGUGAAGGGUGGACUCCUUUUGGAUGUUGUAGUCGGCUAGGGUUCUGCCAUCGUCGAGUUGCUUGCCGGCGAAGAUUAAUCGCUGCUGAUCCGGUGGAAUACCCUCCUUAUCUUGUAUCUUAGCCUUAACGUUAUCGAUCGUGUCGGAGCUCUCGACCUCCAGGGUGAUGGUUUUGCCGGUUAGGGUUUUCACGAAGAUCUGCAUGCCACCGCGGAGGCGGAGCACAAGGUGGAGGGUGGACUCCUUCUGGAUGUUGUAAUCGGCGAGGGUGCGGCCGUCUUCGAGUUGCUUGCCGGCAAAGAUGAGGCGCUGCUGAUCGGGAGGGAUGCCUUCCUUGUCUUGGAUUUUGGCCUUGACGUUAUCAAUGGUAUCAGAACUCUCGACCUCGAGAGUUACGGUCUUGCCCGUUAGGGUUUUCACGAAGAUCUGCAUAAUUGAAAGAGAUGGCUAAAAACUACAACCUAGAAAAGGAAUCGAGGAAAUAUUAGGAAUUUAGAGAAGAGGGCAAUUGAGAACGAAUUGCUAGAAUGAUUGUUGAACAGUUAACGAUGCGUAGAAUUGCCGAUGGUAUGCUGUUUAUAUAGGAGAGUUGGCGGACUUUGUACGCCAAGGUCGCUGCUGGGCAGUUUCCUAAACAGUAUUCAACAGGGGCCAGAAAGUUCUCGGACAAUCAGUUGGGGCGGUGCUUACCUGGACUGCAAAUCCAGCCCAAUCUAGAAAUUGCUGGAAGUAUCCUUUCCUUUUCCAUUUUUUGGCUGAUACGUUGCCUUAACCAUCCGUGAAAAUUUAACUACUGAGAGAGAAAGAGGGACUCCAACUCAGAACUUAUAAUUUCAAGAGUUUUAAUUUAAAAAAGGACUAAAUUGUUAAGUUUAACUACUUAUUGGAAUAACACCCCUAAAUCAAAGGGGAUGAUUAUUAUUUUUAAAGUCUUAAGGGCUGUAUUGUUGGUUUGAGACAAUCUAGUAGCGAUGUAAAUGUAAUUAAUUCUUAAAUAAUAUGUCAAGAACAUCUCGAAACACACUCCGGACGUGUGCAUCUCAUAAAAAAAUUAAUAUUUAAGGUGUCAAUCAAUUUCAUUCCUAAAGUUUCAUGCAGAACAUAUUUCAUCUUUGUAGCUUUAUAAUUUCAAUUAAUUUCAUCCUUAAAGUUUUACGCAAUCACAUUUCAUCCUUAUAGUUUCUUAAAUUUGGCUAAUUGAGGACAACUGGUAUAUCGUCAAGUAAUUUGAAUGGGAUAGCGUCGUUUGACCAUAACAUAUCCAUUAGUUAAAAAAAAAACACUGGAUCAACAAAAAAGUUCAAAACUCUUUUCUUAAUUCGCUUUCUCGUUUUAGUACAAAAAAGAUUAAUAAAUUUUUAGCCACCAUUGCUCUCUUAUUAAUCACAAUCGAAUAAGAAGAUCCAAAGAAAAGUGGAAAAGAAAUAACCCUAAUAUAUAGCCAACUGAAGAAAAAUGCCAGACAUACCUAUUACAACUAAUUGAAGAAAAAUAUUAAUGCGAAAGAAUGAAUGGUUUUGAUUGUUAUUUAAUUGCAAAAUUUUAUUUUAUUGCAUCAUAUACGUGUUUUUCAAUCAUCUAUUUAUCCUUCAAUCUAUUUAUUUUGUUUCAAAUACAUCAUAUCACAAUUUAAAGGAAAAAAGAGAUAGUCUCCUAUCCAAAACACUUGUUGUUAUUUUCAUAAUUUAAUCAAUAAUUGAAUUAAUUAUUAAUAAUACAAUUAUUAAUAGGACGUGUGAUGAUAUUAUGUCUAAAUUGGUUAACAAUUAUUUAAUUGUCCUUAAUUGGUAGGAAUUAUAAACUAUGAGGAUGAAAUGUGUUCUACAUAAAUUUUAAAGAUAAAAUUGGUCAAAAUUACAAAAUUAUGAGGAUGAAAUAUGUUUUGUAUGAAACUUUAGGGAUAAAAUUGGUUAGCACCUUAAAUAUUGGGAUGAAAAGUGCAUUUUUCCCAUCUCAACUAAUCGUGAGUUUAUAGACGAUGUGGUGAUUUUCUGAACUUUUGUUGUAAAAUUGUCUGAUCAUGUGCGGACAAAUUUGGUAAAACAAAAAGAUAGACAAAAAAUUGACACCAAAUUUGGUCCAGUUAUUCACACACAGAUACAUCUUACCUGGAUUGGGUCCUCGUAAUCCUGAUCCUGACCCAAAUUCGAUGUUCAUCGGUCCACAUUAAACUUCAGCACUUUCCGCACCUAAGAGGUACAACGCAAAGCCCAGAAUCCAAUACAUAAAUAGUAGUAGUUCCUAGAUUCCACUCCAGCUUAAGUGGGAUGUGCUUGAUCCUCCCAAUGCUAUAAAAGGCAUAUUCUCCAGGGGCUCUUCGUCUUGUUCCCCCGGUCGGCCUCUUCAACUCAGAAAGUUUUUACACCUUUUCUAUUAUAUAUUUCCCACCAUACCAAUGGCGGCCGUGAUCCGCCUCUUGAGGCUCUCGUCUUCCUCUUCCCUUUCUCUUGCAAGGAGGUCUUUAUCCACGGCUGUCGUAACGGAGGCCGUGAAAUCACAAACUUACACUCAAAACCCCGCCCCGACUGCUGUAGAUCCCAAAGGUAGAAACGUGCAGUGGGUCUUUUUGGGCUGUCCGGGGGUGGGAAAAGGUACCUAUGCUAGUCGUCUCUCUACUCUCCUCAGUGUCCCCCAUAUCGCCACCGGUGAUCUCGUACGCGAAGAGCUUAACUCCGGAAGCAAUCUGGGCAAACAAGUAGGGGGUCUAUUUAAAAGCGUUUAUGAUAUUCAAGCUAUGUUAUUCAUUUUCACCUUUUGAGUUUUGAGUUGGAGUUUACACUGCAAAAAGAUCGAGAUAUUUUGCUUAACUUUUCCUUUAUAUAUAUGUGUGUGUGUGUGUGUGUAAAAAAUUCUAGCUAAGUGGGAUUUGGCUCAGCUAAAAGGGAAUUCAGAAAAGAAAAGUCUAUCCCAACCCUCUAUGCAGCUGGAAAAGAUGAAAAAAAAUGUCUCCUUUAUUAUGUCUACGAGCUUUAACAAUUACUCAUAUUUGGCUGUAGAUGACAUUUUAGUUUAUUUGAAUUCUGUGCUUGAACGAAGGGGGUUUAUUUUUGUGCUUUGUUUUUCUUUUUAUUUUUAAAAUGUUAUGAUGUAAAAUAAAUUUUCAAGUUGGCGGAUAGCUUAGCAAUUUGCCUACUGAAACUUCAGAUUAUCUGGCAAUUGCUUGGGCAGAGCUAAUUGUUAUUAACACCUGGACUAAGAGUGCUGCAUUUGCAUCCGACUUUUCGUAUAAUCUCGUGCAGACCUUUUUUUUUUGGGUCGAAGAUAUGAGAUUGUGUUAGUACAAAUUUUGUAGAAUAUAACAGUUGAGAUCUAUCGCUAUCUUAUGCUUGCAGCUCGAAGAUAUUGUGAACCAAGGAAAAUUGGUUUCUGAUGAUAUAAUAAUCAGCUUGUUGUCAAAGAGGCUUGAAGCAGGCGAAGGAAAAGGUGAAUCUGGAUUCAUACUUGACGGGUUUCCUAGAACUGUUAGACAGGCGGUGAGUGAUUCCUUAUGGGAAGAGCUGUACUUCUUGUUCUAUCUGUGGAAGUGGAUGCAAUGCCUACAUGCAAUUUUGUUUCUUUCAUUUGAAGAUGAAGAAGUAGUGAAAAAUAAGAGAAAAGAAAAAUUGAUCUGCAUAUGGAAUGGAAUUCUGAGAGGUUUUUCUUUUGAGGCUGUUUAGGACACGUGAUUUCAAAUUUUGAGGUUAUUACUGCAUUUUUGUUGGCUUGUACUCAUGUUGUAGCUCUGCAUUCUCCAAUUUUGUGUUUCUGGUGCAAAUCUGCUUUAGAAGACAUAUGUUUUACUAAAGUGCCAUGUAUUCUCAUGCAAAUGAAGUGUCAUGUAUAUUUUUAUUUGCAGAUUUGGCAAGAAGUUGAAUAGAAUACAUGACACAGAAAUUUGAUAAGAAUACUUAAGCUACAAAAGUGAUUUAAUUGUGAUCCCAUGCUAUGAUCAGAGUUUUUUCUUUUCAAUAUGUUGAUUCCUUGUUUCUAAGAUUGUAUAAUUGCAAUUUAUUUGUUUUUGCAAUUUCUCCAUCUGGUUCUGCUUGGAAGAAUUGAUGAUUUGUAUGAGCAAUAUGAUUCACUUUUCAUUUAUAGGCAACAAGUUAAUUUCUAGAACUUUAUUCAAUUUCUGCCAUGCCAAGUUCCCUUGCAGAAUUCUUGAAUGUGGGAGGUGAAAGUGAAGUUUUGAGUCAGAGUUCCUAAAACCUCAAUUAAUAUACAUAAAAUUUGACUAUAGGAGAAAACUAAGUUAGUUGGCAGAUUUAAGUCGAUGACAUGGGCAGAUGGGGGGAAAAAGAUCGCAGGAAGGUUAAGAAUACUAACCAAAUAACUGAACCACCAAAGUUAAUGAGGACAUAUAAAUGAAAUGCUGGGGUCUAAGGGAGUAAAUAGUGAAGUAGUUUUUAAUGCUCUAAAUUCCAAGUUUGUCUUUAUAAGCUCCUUAAUUCCAGAUGGCUAAAAUCAAAAGUUCCGCACAGGAGUUAUUUGACAGCAGUAGUCUAUAGCGUUGAGGUUCUUCCUGAUGAUGGAAUAGCUAUAGGAUUGUAGUUUGGGGUAUUGAGUUGAAUUGUGCUCUCAUGUCUUUGCAUGUCUAUGCAGGAAAUUUUGGAUGAAGUGACACACAUUGAUUUGGUUGUCAAUCUUAAGCUGCCAGAAAGUGUGUUGAUUGAGAAGUGCCUAGGGCGAAGGAUUUGCAGCCAAUGCAGGGAGAAUUUUAAUGUGGCAUCUAUUAAUGUGAAGGGUGAAAAUGGUCGUCCUGGAAUUAGCAUGGCCCCUCUUCUUCCUCCUCCACAGUGUGUUUCAAAGCUCAUCACUCGAGCUGAUGAUACUGAAGAUGUUGUAAAAGAAAGGCUUCGCGUAUACAAUGAAAAGGUAUCCAUUCUUCCUCUCCCUAUGGAGCUUUGCCCAGGGUAGAAUGAAUUUCUAGUAGACUCUUAUUUAAGGCCAUAGUAAACAAGCUUUUAUGGUUUGGUUUACUUUUCUUGACUUCUUAUCAUUCGUCCUUUCUUUCAUGUGGGGCAGGGGAACGGGUACUAGGAUGACCAAGGACAAGCUCUCAGCCUACCUAACAGAAAUUGUUAAUUUUAAAAUGAAGUUGUAUGGAAGGUUAAAUAAUUGCAACUUGAGUUAGAAAAGUUUUCCAAACUUAAUAGCUUGUCCAAAUUCCUAACCAUGCCCAUCAUUGUUCUGAAUUGAGAAUUCUUGUUAAUCAGUAUCUCGAACAAUGGGUUUUAGGCUGAGUUGCAUGAUUUAAUCAUCAUCUGUGGAAUCAAUUUAUGACAUGGUGCUUUUGGUGGCCGCAAUUCUCUUUCAACGGACUUAGUUACAUGUCACACACUCUCUACAGGUCCUUCAUAUUUGGGCCUUCAUUCCCUUGAAGUUUUUUUUUUUUUUGGUCGCAAUCUACAACUAUUGUUAAGUUCCUGUGGAUCUACAUGUCCCAACAGAUUAGUCUAAGAAACAUUCUAACUUGAAAUCUUCUCCUCCCUGUUAAGCAUAGUGGUGGAAAAUCACGAGGGAUUCUACAGAAAUUUUAACUGAAUUACGAUCCUUAGGUGUUAUAUUAUUUUGUGAUGUUUUAAAAUUUCGUCAGUCAGAUUAAUUUGUAAUUUCUUCUGUGAAUUAGAGGAGAAUGAUCAGUUAUUCAAUUGGUGCAUUGAUACUGACACAGGCCACAAUCAACUUAACCCUUGUCACUACCGUCUAGCAUGGGCUGUGUUAGACUUAUAGAUUGUUCAGAAUUGGGUCAUUUGAUAUUUAUGGUCAAACACUAUCUCGUAGGGUUGAUUGGAGAAAACAUUGUGAAAAUGUCAAGGUUUCUCCUUUUGAUUCACAGUUAGAUAGAGUAAGAUUUCACAGCUGCUUUAGAUGUCUCUUCCAGUAGUUGCUUCUUGUGUGAAUCUUACAUCUGGUGCUUGCAGAGUCAGCCUGUUGAGGAUUUCUAUCGGGGUCAAGGGAAAUUGCUGGAAUUUGAUUUGCCUGGAGGAAUCCAAGAAACCUGGCCAAAAUUGUUGGAAGUUCUUAACCUUGAUGAGCAGGAUGAGAAACAGUCUGUUGCUGCUUGAAGCCUUCAGUUGCUGUGCAUGAAUAUAGUGCACGCUGGAACAAUUUUGCAGGGAAAGACCAGCUUUUUUUUUUCUUUUUUUAAAUCCAUUUCUUUUCUUUUAUUGAUUGAUUGUGAGGAAAUAACAAACCUAUAACCAGCCCGAUAAUUAUGGUGGCUAUUAAUCGAGGCUCUUAACUAUUCAGAAGUCUGUUGUAAGAUUAAAAUACUGCAACUCACAUGAAUGAUUUGGUUGAAAUUGACUGUGAUAAGCCUCAAAUAGACAUCAUUGGUUCAUUGCUCUGCUUUUGUUGCAGCUGUCACGAGUGUCCUUGACCAUAUUACGUUGUGUGUACUUUAAUAAAAAGCUUGACAUUCACAAUCAAAACACGGUUUUUGCAAGAUUUUGUCCUUUUUUUUUUUUGGGGGCACAAAAGGGAAAGUGGCCUAACCCUUUAACUUGCAACAAAACGUGGGGCGGCGGCUCUUCAAGUUGUUAUCUUUCACGUGCUUAGGUGUUUCUGUCGUACUCCUCGAACAAAACCUCCGAGUCCGAGGUUAGGGAGUAAGCUCAGAUUAGAGGGAGGCCUUGGUGGUGGACUGGCAAUGCCGACAUCCUCUGUAACUGUAAUCUUCCACCUUUAUUCAUAGUGACCGACCAAUGCAGCACAUGAUGUGUCUGCUUGGUGUUGACAUGACAGCAGCUCAAGUUGCCGGUUUUGGGAUGCUUAUUGAACAGCUAAUUCAUGGUUGUUGCAGAUACUUCUAUAUCGUUAACCUUAAAUGGCAACAGCGGACUUCAUUGGGACAAAGUGCGAAUUAGGUAAAGCUAUGCAUACUUUCAUUGGCUUUAUAAGUUGUUCAUACAGGCCAAGAAACUCUGUUGUAACAGAAGAUGGCUUUCAACUCUUUCCGGAGCCAAAAAGAACCCCUCCACCAUUAGCAGCUCAGAAUUACAGCAAAGCACAUGAACGAAUGCUUGAAGAGAUCGCCUCAAUAAAAUUGUCCGCCAUGGUAAUCGCUUGUGAUCGGCACUGGAUCACAUUGCCAGUGUCCUUGCAGUUGAAAGAAAUGAGUCUUCCAGUUCACCAGGAGUCUCAAGAAUCAAGAUGCAACAGAAGAAUUGAAGCACAGCAAAUCUCACGUAAGAGCAUGUAAGCCUCUUCGGCUUUUUCAGUUUCGACCCUCAUUUGUCUCCUCUGUUGCUGUGCCAUCUAUUCCUGUUUGUGUCCCUAAAAAAUUAUCUGCUAUAAUACAUGCUAGUUUACCAUAUUUACGAAAUCCAACUCUUGUCUUGUUUCCGCUUGCCCUUUGAUUUCUUCCCUGCUAAGUAGAAUGAUGGAGAUAAAAAUUUGAAAAGAGCCGUUUGCAAUCGGUUGCUGAGUUCAAAGUAUUUUAACAAAGUUAAUUCUGGAUUCAUAUUUUAAGGAUAUUCAGUCUAUGAGUUACAGUAUAAUUUACCUUUCUAAGUAGUUACGUUUUCUUGUAACUUAAUAAUAUUGCUAUGCUGAUGAAAUUUAUGAUGAACAGAAUAGACAGAUAUGGGCUUGACCCUCCAUUGCAAGGAAAAGGAAAAAAAAAAGAAAAGAAUAGACAGAUAUGGAUGCUUCAAAUAUUGCUCCGUCUGUUCUUUUAUUGCUCCUGUCACAGGAAGCAUGAAAGAAAUGCUUCGUCUAUUUAUUUUCUUGUUGAAAAGGAUAGAGUAUAUAUAAAGCAUAGGAUACAGUUACAUAAACAGUUGAGUACUGGAUUUAACCUUAUUUACUCGGGGUGAAACCCGAGUACCUGUUGUGAAUACUUAUAAAAUGACAUUCUUAUCCUUACCAUGCACGGAUUUAUAUUUCAAUUUAAAAUAAUACUAAUAUAUAUACUUAUAUAUUAUGGGGAAUUUAUAUUUCAAUUCAAAACAAUAAUAUAUACUUAUAUGUUAUAGUAUAGGAUAAAGUAUAUGAAAAAGGCAAAACAAUUCAAAGAAGUGUCUACUUAAUAUGUUAAAAAAAGUUUAUUUCGUAAGUACAAAAUGGACUUUUUUAAUUUUAAUAUCUUAAAUAAGUUGAAACCAAAAUUUGUUUACCUACUGUCUGUCAAUAUAUGAUAAUAAUUUGAGUAAAAUAAUUUAAUUUAUAAUGAGUUACAUGAUAGAGCAAUUGUAAACCUAUUUAUCAACAUAUCAUGUUAUACCCAUUUAUCAAAAUUUUUAAUAUUAAAAAUAUAAAUUUUAACUAAUUCAUUUUCCUCAAUUUUAGAAAUUUUUUUCUCCCAUCUUGUAAUUCUAAAAUUGUUGAGUGCUUAUAAAAUAGUAUGUUUCAUAAACUUUAAUAUAGAUUUAAAAAAGUCUUUGUAAAAUGUGUUUUAAAAGUUUUCAAAAAUAUUAAAAACUAUCACGUCUCUAUAGUUCUCUUCUUUCUUCUCUCCUUUCUUCAUCUAAUCUUGUAGUAGUUCAUCUUUUUUUUUGACUUUUUUCACCACUCUUUAAUUCCUCACUAUUCCUUUUUUCUUGCCUAUAGUUAGCUUCUAGAUUUCUAUUCUUGACACCCAAUAUUUCUCUAUUAUUUAUUCAAAAUAUAACUUAACAUAUGUUUAUGUUACGCUAUUAUAUAGUGAAUUUCGCUAAUAAAAACACCAAAUUUAGUUAUUUUUCAUAUUAAUUUUGAAUUGAAUGAUUUCAAAUUUUCAAAGGAGAAAUAUUGUCAUUGAAUCUACAUUCAACCUUCAAACUAAAGAGUUAAAAUUUGAAAAAAAAAAAUUCCAUAACUUGCAAUUCGGUUUUAGAAUGUACUUGUAUUUGUACUUUCAAAAUAAAUUUGAAAAGAUAAAAUUUGAAGCAAAAGAAAAAAAGAAAAUCAUAACCUGCAAUUUGAUUUAAUAUUUUUACAAUAUAUUUAGCUUUACCUCUCACAAUAUGAAAAGCAUAUAGUAAAACUUAAGAUUGAUCACAAUGGUUGCAAGUAUUGACAUUUAAAAAUGCAAAUGAAAAAUUGAUAAUAUCUUAUAAAACCUUAACUACUACAAAAAAAUUUAUAAAAAAGACGUAGCAAUUGCAUAUUUACAUAUGAAGAAAACAAUAAAAAUACAUAAAAUAAUUAAUAAUACACAAGACUAUUCUUAGUAUUUGGGUAUUUGCACUCUUAUUCAAUUUUAAUUAAGGUCCAAUUUGGAUCAAAUAUAUACAAAUUUAAUAGAUAUAUAGUUUAGGGUCAAAAGUUCUAUACGAUUUCUUUAAAUUGCAUUGUUAUUUUUUAAAAAAAUUGUUGGUAGAAUUGGUGUUGUUUUUGUUAUUAUUUUUCAUCAAAAAUAGAGAUUUCAAAUAAAAAUUUUCAUGUUGAAAUGCUAGUAGUACUUUGUUUUUUUGUUUAGUGAUCUCAUAAUUUAGGGUUCACGAAUAGUACUAUUCCUGAUUUUUUUAAUCGACGACCAAUGAAUAUUUUUUUCUUUUUGUUUUCUAUAUAAUUUGCCCUUUUAGUUAGGAUUACUAAGUUGAAGGGUAAAAUAUUAUUAUUUACUUUUUUACUUUUAGUAAGUUUAAUGGUGUCUACUCUUUAUUUACCUCACAUUAAUAGAUUUCAAAUCAAAUUCCUAUAUAAGUGGAGUCACUUCAUACUCUUUAAAUUCAAAAGACAUGAAAGGAUAUAUAACAAUUAAAAAUUUCAAAACUCUAUAUAUUAAAAAAAAAGAAUAAGGAGUUAGAAGCAUUUUGAUUUAACCAUCCUAAAAAACCAUUCUUGCAAUACAUAUAAAUAUAGAUAGAUAAUAAUAAAAUUAAGUAAAAUUAUAGUUUGGUUGUUUGCAAAAAAUUUUAAAAGGUAUUGGAAAUGUGUAAUAUGGUAAAUACUUGGAAUUUAUUAUCGUAUACAUAUUCUAUGACUUUACCUUCAAAUAAUAGAACUUUUCAAUAACUUUUUCUUAUUUUUUUCCUUUGGGAGAUUACACUCCAUCAUUGCUUGGUAAUUAAAACACUUAAAUUUUGUCAAAAAAAAAACAAUAAAGCUAGUGUAAAUAACAAUCUCUUCCCUGACUUUUUUUACCAGCUAAAUCUUCUUCACCUUGAAAAAGUAAAACAAAUUUAGAACGAUACUAUUAGGAAAAUCUACAAAAUUAACAAGGACAAAACAGUUACUAUGUGGUAAGUACAACUCUUAUCUAGUAGGCUUUUGCAAACCAAACAUUGACAUCUUCAUUUUCAGCACCAUCAUCAUUAAAUUUCAAGGCUUUCCCUUUUUCUGCUUUGAAUUCUGCAACUUUGUCGGUUCAUCCAAAUAAACUUGCAAAAGUAUAUGAAAGAAAUAUCGAGACCAUUUGAAACUGAUAUUUUCGUGUAAUAGACAAUAAAUUCAAGUAUAUCAAAAGUGCACUCAAUUCUUCAGUUUUAGACUUCUACUUCUCACUAUCCUCUUUGGCAAUUUGAAUAAUUGGAUCAUCAAAUAUUCAUAUCACAAAAGACCAAAUAAACAAUAAUAUGUUCUCUUCAAGUUUAAGUGUUCAUACCAUCCACAGAAACUUGUGAAGAGGAUUUGCCUGCAUGAACAAUUUUCUAGAAUCUUCCAUGUGCAUUUCAAGCUAAACAGGAUUAGCCACAUCCAUCUAAACUCACUUAAUAAUGCAUACCAAAUAUAGAGAAAUUUACAAUAUUGUUCAAAAUCUAAGAACAAUUUGACAAACAUUCAGACAGACAGUAGCCGAUGAACAAAUUGUACAAAGACCGAUCAAGAGUACCCAUUGUGAAUGAAAGUCAUAUACGAAAAAGUGCACAAAAAGAAAACUGAACCAACAAUGCUGUAUAUUAACAAUGGCCAUUAUUGCGGCUAAUUAACUCUAAAAACUGAACACUAAAUACUGAAGAAGGAGGAAGGUUCUAUAGCUACACUGGUACCGUGCUUUCAAAAUGAUUCUUCACCUCUCACGCUUGCUUUAAUGUAGUCUUAAACGUGCUUCAAUUAUUGAUUUAAUCACUCCCUUUUUUUUUUUUUUUUUUUUUUGGAGAAGCCCAAUUUCUAAUCUGACGAUGAACAGGAAGGCAAUUUCUGCCCUUACGCAUUCGACAUGCUAUCGAAAACGAUUCUUUAGCUUUCACGCAUUAAUGUUGUUUUAAACACACACUUUAAAAUUUUGAAGUUUCAAUCACAUUUUAACUUGUCACUAGGCCUUUGGUCUGGUGGUCAUCGUCAAGACAAUAAAGUCCCGCCUAAAUUUGUCACAAUAUGUGACGAUUUUCAUUGGUCUUCUUCCAUGGAAUCUCUAUUUACAUCGAGCCCCCUAUCUAGAUUAGAUUAUAGAAAUUCUAGCAUUGCUACAAAAAAAAAAAAUCACAUUUUAACUUGCCUGCCGUCCAGUUUACGCGGUAGAUCUUAUCUGCUCUGAUCAUAUGUGUCCAGCUAGCUAAUAGCACGAUGGACGUGAAAUAUUGGCGGGGAAGAUAUUUUAGAUUCUUUUGCCUGAACCCAUGUGGACUAGGCAUUAGGCAAGUGGCAUUCUUCCACAAGGUAUAAGGUCACUUUCGUCAUUUAAUUUGGCCGACCGAUUAAAGUUAGAGGCGUCGUCGUCACUACGCCGUUAGACCCGGGUUACCUGUGACAAAACAAAACCACUUCACCUCCGUCUCAAACGGCGUUUGUCUGGAUUUCCGACAAGACCCAAGAACUCCUCAUAAAGCGGUCAGAGUCUGCCACGUGGCCCCCAUAAAUCUGUCUGAUUUCGGGCCAAGGCUUUUAUCGCCCGUCUUUAGAUUUGGUCCACCUCAUCGCACCCACAUCAUCAUCUCCUGCUCCACCUCGACCUCUAGCAUCUGACGUGUCACCUCCCCGACCUGCAAUUUACCCACGUCACCAGACUUGGGAAAAAAAAAAUCAAAACCAAAAAAUGAAAAUUGCGUAAGCAAAAUUUGCUCUUCAACCUCAAGUCCACCUCCUCCCGUUUCUAAGCCAGUCAAGCAUAUUUAGUUCAGCGCAAGAAACAAAAUCUAAUUCAUUUUUAAUGUAUCUCGAGUGCCCUGAUUGAACUGCAAGUAGUCUUGGUUUGAUCUCUAGUUUUAGCUUCAGUUGCUUGACGGUUUUUUGCUCUGAUUUUGGCUUUUGGUUGUCGGACUUCCGGAUUGUGAAUCGAGCAUCACAGUGGUUGUCGAUUAUGCCCAUGUGGAUGAGCUCUCUUUGAAGGUUACUCUGGGUUGCCUCAAAACCAUUUUCUUGAAUUUCAAGCGGAGUUUCUUAGUUUUUGAUUUUUCAGUUUUUUUGGUUUCGCUUUAAAUUCUCAGUUUAUGGUCCUCAUUGUCAAGCCUGUCUUUUUGUUCUUUAUUCAUUCUUCUUCGACGAAAUUAAUAGUGCUCUGAUGAACUUUACUUAAUCUAUUUGCUGCUAUGUUUUUAGAGUUUAAUGUGCUUGAGAUACAUAUUCGUUUUGGUUAAGAUUAGGGUUUGAAAUGUGAAGCAUGAGCUGACAAUCUGGAGUGUGAACUUACAGGGUAUCCGUUGAACAAUCGAUAGGGCUGCAAGGAUAUGUGUGUUUAAGCUGAGAAGGGUUUGGUUUGAUUUAAUUUUGGAUAGGACUUUUUGCAGUAUUAUUUCCACCCUUGACAUGCCUUUUUAAUAAUAAGUUGAUAUUUGACACUCUUGCUGGUGGAUUACUAGGGUUAAAAAGGUUUUGUAGUUGAAGAAUUUGAAUUCUUGAAGAAGAAGCUAUGAGCUGUUUCUUUUUCAUUGACAAGGAUUUGUCAAAGGUUUUAGCAGGAGACCAAAAUUGCAGCUUCCUUAUCAUCAAUGUUUUUGAAUCUGGUUGGCAGGGAGUGUUCCAAUGGCCGCUGAUGAUGCUAAUGAAGAAAAAGAUUCUCUCGAUGAGAAGGGAGUCAGAGAUGGUGGUGUGGAUGUGGGGCAAAGUUCAGUUAAAAACAAGGGGUUGAAGGUUGAUGGGGCUGUAAAUGAUGGAGUUGGAGCAGAGUUGCGAGGCCAGGAAAUUCUGCAUUUACAGCAGCAACAGUCUCCGGGGACAGCAGUUGGUUGGGAACGGUUUCUUCAUAUUACAUCUAUUAAGGUGCUGUUGGUGGAAAAUGAUGACUCCACACGACAUGUUGUCACUGCACUACUUAGAAACUGCAACUAUGAAGGUAGGGGAAUUCAAUUGCACAACAUCUGCAUUCUUUAAGUCCUAGUAGUCUGGGUUGAGGCUGAGAUACAUCUUAUUUAAAUCUCAUCACUUUAAAUUUCUGGAAUCUUUACAGUAAUAUGUUAAACAAAUACAUACAAAUGAAUAGGGAUCUAUCCUUUUCAGCAGCUACAUGGCUACUUGCUGCAUAUGUCAUUUGGACAACUAAGUAGUUCAACGUUGGGCCUUUUGUUAACUAUAGGGAAAAUAAAUUUCAUGUUGGUGUAAAGGUCUCAACUAAGUUAUGCUUGUUUACAAAGCUUCUUGUUAGCCAAUCCAUUGUCAAAAUCAAUUUCUGUCAUAAUUUAGUAGUGUAAUUCAGAUUCUCUUUAGUUAUUCGAAGGAAUCUACUGGUUACAUUUUAUUUUGGGUUACAACCACUUAGAUUUAAACCAAAAAAAAAAAAAAAAAACGGAAACUACUUAGUUUUUCUUUUAGUAUAUAGUAUAUACAGCCAAGAAAAUCUCAUAAUGCUUUCUGUAGUUUAGUUGCAUCUCAAAUUCGCUAUUGUUUAGGAUCCACUUAAUUGCAUCUUAAGAUAAUUUCUGUUUGAUUUGAGGAUGGAGAAUGCAUAGCCUAUUGGACCCUACAGGAGGAUUUCCAGCUUGGAAUGAUUGGUUGAAAUGCAUCUUAGACAGACAUCUUUAUGUGUGUUAGACAACUUGCAUAGAGCUUGUAAACAAUUAAAACAGCAGACAAUCAGCAACUACUUCAGGAUGAAAUGUACCUUUUAUACUUUAAUUAGCAAAGCUUUGGUUUGAUGCUUUUUAAGUUGAAGUGGAUUGGUGGUAUUCAGUGCUUGCUUCCAAAUUUGCAAACAGAUCAGGUCAAUGUAAAGCCCAUGUGAUACUUCCAGAAUUGACCAUAAACAAGCAAAAAAUGUGGAUUAUUAACCAGUUCUGUCAGUAGAUUCUGAGUUGAUGCAUCAUAAUAUCACUUGGCUGACUGCAAAUCAAUGAGUUCCUUCACAUUGAAAUUGUGCUUGAAGAACUACCUUGUAUGGAGUGAAAACAGUGUAGUCAGCUAAAAUCUUCAUCUCAUUCCUCUCCUUAGAUAUGAAUGAGGCAACACUGAAAUUUGUGGGAUAUUAGGUUUAUCAGUUUAGCUCUAAUUUGUUGUUUUUGUAUGUUUUCAAACUAAAUCAAAGUUAUCCUCCAUGUGCUAAAUUAAUUAGUCAGGCUCUGCUUCUUUUAUUUCCUCUCACCAAGCCUUUCCCUUUGGACCUCUAUAUGCCAUGUUUCAGGAGUCCAUUUAAGCACCUUUCAUUCAGUCUAUGAUGCAUUUUGUACUAUAUUAGAAUAUGAUUCAAAAUUGCUUUCUUGCAGUUGUAGAAGCAGCAAAUGGAUUGCAGGCAUGGAAAAUUUUGGAAGAUCUAACUAACCAGGUUGAUCUAGUCUUAACAGAAGUUGUAAUGCCUUGUUUAUCGGGGAUUGGUCUUUUAUGCAAGAUUAUGAGCCACAGAACACGUAAUAAUAUUCCUGUUAUUAGUAUGUUCCUCCCUGUGCUUCUUAUACUUCUGAUAUUGCUCUACACUGUUUGAUUUGACUGAGUUAUUACUUCUGUUGUUUUAACAACCUACCUCAAUGAGAUUUGUCUGCAGUGACGUCAUCUCAUGAUUCAAUGGGUUUAGUUUUUAAGUGUUUGUCAAAAGGAGCUGUUGACUUUUUGGUAAAACCCAUAAGGAAGAAUGAGUUGAAGAACCUCUGGCAGCACGUCUGGAGACGAUGUCACAGUGUGAGUUGAUAUUUUUUCUGAGGCUUACUAGCUUUCAUGCACUUUAUGUUUUCCUGAUAACUCAUCUAAUGGUCUUAAACAUAUGAGUUUUAUAUUUUUUCUUGCCAGCAAGCUUUUUUGAUAUACAUAGAGAUUUGGUAAAUCAAUAGCACAAGUUUAUAUUAUCCUCAACCCCCACCUUUUCAAUUUAACACUUUUCCCUUUUUUUUUCAUUGAAGCUGUUUCAAUUUUUUUGUCUUGGAUUGUUGUUUCUACUUCUCUUAGUCUAGUGGAAGUGGGAGCGAAAGUGGUGCACAAACUCAAAAAUCUGUUCAUACAAAAAGUAGUGAAAAGUCGGACAACAGUGGCAGCAAUGAUGGAGAAAAUGAUGGGAGCCAUGGAUUAACUCACGGUGAUGGAAGUGAUGAUGCAAGUGGCACACAGGUAUUGGAAUUUGUUCAUUUUUUUUAAUUAAACAACAGGUUGUUUUACUAAAAGAAAUUUUUAGCUCAUCUGUUUCUGGCGAUCAAGUUUUCUGGUUAAAUCUUCUGAUUGUUUUCUUGAUUGGUAAGGUCAGCUCAUCAAGUGGGAAAAAAGACUUCUUGUAAUGGAACAAAUUUGCUUACAUGUAUACACUCUCUCUGCCUCUGUCUUUGAUCAAUCAUCAUAAAAUUGGUGUGCAUAAUAGUGAUGAAGUUUAUUAGCUAAAUCCUGAUGGAGAAUCACUAAAUUUCCAAUUUAUUGUCUUCUUACUUGUAUCCGGUGCACAGAGAACUUCUCGAUCAGACGAUGAAAUAUAUAUCUGUUGUUCUGAAACAGAGUAGUGUUGGUUCAAAUGUAUUGUGAGAAACUAAAAAGUUAUCCUAUAAGCACAACAUUCAUCACAUCAUUGUCUAUGGCAUGUGCUAAGUGGUUGUGGAUUGCAUCUUUCCAUUCAAUUCCAUGAAUGAUAGAAAUGGGUCUGUUAUUCGACAAGGAACUUCGUAUACCAUGAGAAAGUCGUUGAUGCCAUUUCUUGAGUUGUAAGACAAUGAAAUACUUGUUUUUCUCUUUAUAUCCUGUGUCCUUAAAAGCUCCACUGUAUAGUUAAUAUUGAUCUCUUGAGCAUAACAUUCAUUGAUUUUGACUGCAUUAUCUUUGGUGAGAUGUAGAGGUCAUGUUUUUCCUUUUUGAUACGAACAAUGGAUUUAAGCUAAUUAUUCAUCAUGCAGAUGUGAGUUAAGUGUUUCCUUUCUGAAGACUACAACUUUUUGUGGAUACUGUCUCAUGUCAAAUGACAAUGGAGUUAUUUAAUUUGAUAAGUGGUCAUAGGCACACAUGUACGAUUUAUCUAUAAAUAUGUACAAUUAUGCUAUUGAGCAACUACGCUUAUUCUUUGUUUCCUCAAUCCCAAGGGAAGUUGUACUAUCCACAACAGUCUGGCAAGUAAAAAGUAGAAAAAGAGGCCAUGAAUUUCAGAACAAAAGGUCUACCAAUGUGUACUUGCUUAACAAUUGGUUAGCCAAAAACGGUCAGUGUCUCCUUAUAAAGCUGUAUCUCAAAAAUGUGGUGGCGCAUAUGAUAUUGCAGUUCCAGUAGCAUGUAUACAUAGAAUAUUAUUGUACUAUAGUGUUGCUUGCAUGCUUAAUCUGUGGCCUUAAUUAAGACAUAAGUAGUAACUUUUCUGUGCAGAAUGAAAAUGCUUGAGUGCUUGAGUCAAAUUUAUUUUAAACUCCUUCCUUGCAGAGUUCUUGGACAAAACAGCCUAUAGAAGAUGACAGCUCUCAAGCAGCUUCUCCAAUUUGUCAUGUAGCUGAGUGUCCAUCCAGUCUCCAUGCCCAUGUUAAUCGACCAAUUGCUGAAAGUUCCAGUAACAAGAGGGUGCAUAUAACUGCAAAAAUGGAGGACCAAGAGGAAGAAAAGUCUGGUAAUGAAUUUUUGUAUUUUCUUUUGCAAAUUGAUUUCUUUCCUUCCCUAGCCUAAUAACAGCCUUCAUGUCUACCUCUUUCAAAUUAUGAACAGUAUACAAGGACCCUUUCCCAGGCACGCCUAAUAAUUUGGAAACAGAACCUGAAAAUCCAAUUGAUAUCGUUCCACAGAUCAGAAAUGCAAAACAGCAUAUUCUGCUGGAAAUUCCGUCAAUAUAUAGUAGUGCUAGGAUAAACAGAGGACAGGCAAAUCCCACUGAUAAAUUGAGGUCCAACAUGCACAGUGUGGUCAACAUUGAAAUUUCUCAUCCUCAGCUGAGAGACAGAGAACUUGAGCCUCCUACAGAAUUUGCAAACAAACUGGAAGUCAACGGCUCAGAUGAUGGUAAAGAGGCUGCCAUAGAACUCAGUUUAAAGCAGCUCAGAGGCAUUAUAAAUGCUGGAAACACUAUUCAAGAUAACCACAGUCCUUUGAAACAUUCUGAGCUUUCAGCCUUCUCAAGGUUCGUUUGGAGAGUGGAAGGAAUCAAUUACUUUGAAUAGUUCUGUGAUUGAAUGCAAUGGAAGUGCAAUGUGAAUUUGAAUUCCUGAUUUUCAUCUUUUUGUUGGUUGAUGUAACUUUGCAGAUAUAAUACAUCAUCAAGCACCGUUAGGGCCCCUAUUGGAAUUACAGGAAGCAGUUAUGUGAUUGAUAAUAGCCAAGAAGUUGCAAAGAGGGACACAGUAUGUGAGCAUUCAAAUGGCAAUCUUAUCUGCCCUAGUUCAAAAGUAGUGAGCAGUAACAUAGACAUGGGCUCUACAACGAAUAAAUUUGCUCUGAACCCGCUAUUUUUUACUUCAGAAGCAACAUCAGCAAUUAACAUUUUGCACCGUACGUCUGCUUUUACAAUUGUUAAAACUGACCAGGUAAAUGCUCCACAACCAACCAACCAACUUAAAGCCACCGACAUGCAUGCCUCAUCGAUGCUGUCUCCAGCAAGAGCCAUGCAGCACCAUCCUCAUCACCACCACUACUACCAUCACCACCAUCACCAUCAUUUCCACAAAUCCCUGGAAUUGUCCAAUCAUGAUCAAGAAUCGGUGAAAAAAUUAACUGUGGAUACUCAACAUUGUGGUUCGUCAAAUGUUUUAGGUGCACCUGGUGAUGGAGACCCUGCAAAUCUUCGUUUAAACAGAAGCACCUCAGGAAGUAAUUACGGAAGCAAUGCACAGAAUAGCGCUGCCAUGAAUGCUGAGCCGACUAAUGGAGAAAGUGAUAUGGAUUUAGGUGGGACAAAUGGAAUUAGAGAUGCUAAUGGAAGUGGUUGUGAAAACAGGGUUGAAAACAAAUUAGUACCGAGAGAAGCAGCCCUGUUGAAGUUCCGGCAGAAGAGGAAGGAGAGAUGCUUCAAGAAAAAGGUAGAAAUUAUGAUCCUAAUAGCCUUGAGUAGUCAAUUUUUUGGGAGUCAAUUGAGAUCCAUAAUUUGCCUUUUGUGAUAGCAAAAUCUGUCUCUGCAAUGGACCUGUUUUCAGUUUCUUCAAAUCAGCUUCUUGUAGCUUUUGUAAGCCAAAAAUUGUUGAGGUUUUUCAUUUUUCUUUGGACUUCUAGUUUUGGUUUGUUUUGAAUUGAAAAAAAAAAGGCGUUAUAUGAGACGGCCUUGAGAGUAUUUCUCGGAAACAGCUUUUCCAAACUUUUAAGAUGAGUAUAUGUCUCAAUAAUUUGAAAAGCUUUUUCAGAAUCACUUUGCUGUAAUCAGCUAGGAAAAAGCAUUAUCGAUCAAGACCCUCUGUUAAGCAGCAAACUUUUGUGAUUGAUUUUGGUCUUUAGUAGAGUCUAGCGAGGUUUUGUGAUAAGAAUUCGAUCAUAACAGCAGUUGUAGAUGGGGUUUUAAUGAUAAGAUUUGCACUAUGAUAAUAUUUGUGGCAUGAAUGGUUUCAGGCAGAAAGUGCCAAAGACUAAUUUGUGGAGUUGAUGAAGUGCACAAGAUCAGUAAUUUGACAGUUUUUUGGUGGCCCACAGUUACUCACCGAAGGUGUCUAGUGGAGAAUAGGGAACAGGACAAAUUUGUUUCAUUUUGAGUAUGAUAGGCAUGAGAUCUAGGUUAGAAUUUCAUAAUCAUAGCAAGGAUAGAACAAUUGCUAGAGUGCUGGGUUUCUGUGUCAUAUGCUGUCCAGAUUGGUUUUCUUAGUGAUGAAAUUUUCUUGCUUCUAGUGUUGGAAGGUUAUUAUGAUUGCCAUAAUAAAAUGUAAUAACACGAACACUAAUUUUGUCCUAAUUUGUGGAGUUGAUGAAGUACUCAAGCUCAGUAAUUUGAUGUUUUUUUGGUGGCCUAUGGUUACUGGAUAAGGUAUCUAAUGGAGAAUAUGGAACAGGACAAAUUUGUUCCAUUUAGAGUACGAUAGGCAUGAGAUCUAGCUUAGAGUUUCAUAGUCAUAUCAAGGAAUGAACAAUUGCUAGAGUGAUGGGUUUUCCAUGUCAUAUUUUGUCCAGAUUGGUUUACUUAGUGAUAAAAUUUUCUUGCUUCUAGUGUUGGAAGGCUACUAUGAUUCCAUGGUCAAAUGUAAUGACACGGAUAUUAAUUUGUCCUUCCAUUCUUUCUUCACCAGGUUCGUUAUCAGAAUAGGAAGAGACUAGCGGAACAGAGGCCUCGUGUUCAAGGGCAGUUUGUAAGACAAACAGACCAUAACAACUCAAAUGAGUGACUGACUUAAUUCUGAUGACUCACUAGUCUUCUGCAUGCAUGCAAAAGCUGGUCAUUUUAGGGUAAGAUACUUUAUUAGUUUGGAGCUCAAGCAAUUUGAACUUUUGUUAGCUUGAUCUGUAUCUAUGCUAAUAGCAAUUAUAGAACAUUGUCUCUUUCUGGAAUAGUCUUUUCUUCCUGAAAGAUACUUGAGUUGCUUGUGUUGUAUAAACGUGCUUUAUUGUAACGGAGAUCAUAUUUGUACAUCAAGGUAUUUAUACUCUGCCUUUUGAAUUGUAUUUUUUUUUUUUUUUUUUUUACAUUUUCUACUUAGUUUGGGUAUACUCUCUUAAUUCUUAUGUGGAGAAACCUCUAGUAGUGCCUUACCAAACCAUAAUUUUUCAAUAAAAAACCAGAGAUAUUGAUCCUUAAUACAUGAAAAAGUUCCCCAUAGAUUUAUAUCACAUAAAAUGGCUCAGCUGUGGAUUCGCCCCAAUUGGAAACAUAGCCAGUUAGAUACCAACUAGUUCAAUUGUGAAGCGUAUAGUGGUUGAUAUGAUUAGUAACCUGUUUGUAACAUGACAGUGUUUGCAUAAGCAAACAUUAUGAGCAUGAAUCUCUCUAGUCAUAUGAUCAUGACAAGUUUCCAAGAUUGAGGAAUAGGCGUAGUAAUCCUAUAAUGACCUAAACCUACCUGUUACCUCUUAAGUUUUGUGAGAAUUCGGGACUGAAUGGACCAACUUUCUUACUGGCUUUGCACCUUAAGUGCCACAAUGCAUGAUUACAUCUUUUGUGCGAAUUCCGGAGAUAGAGCCCCUAACAUUUUUUAUCAUCUGAUAUGUUGGAAUAUACUCGAUGUGUUGGGAAGAACUGCGUCUCUCUACACCUCAAUCUUGGUUAGGACUGUAAAUGGAGCUCUUAGUUGGACUGCGAUUGACAACAGGCUUCCUGCCUUCCUGAAAAAAUUUCAAGGACAAUAAUUGCAUUACAGAUGCUGCAGACACAACGUAAAGGCCUGAGAUUUCAAGAGAUGGCAAGUAUCCGCUUUUCAGGGAUGACUAUAUCUUUUAUUUAGGGGAUAAAGUUCACAUUAGAAUGAAAGAAUGAUUUACAUUAAAAUGGUCUCUAGAUGUCUGUAAGUUACAGCGUCUGGAAUCUUGAUUUUUUCUUCAUUUCUAUAGGUUGUGCAUGCUGAUCUUGAAAUUCUGUAAGGACGUCCGUUACCUGGGAAAUGCUAAUUUCUAAGUCCAUCGUGCGUGUUCGAGCGUCCUUGCUUUAUGGGUUUUGCGGCAUGCCUUUAAUUGCAAAAACUCAUUAUUAACUCGAUAACUCUCCAGAACAGAUAAAGACUGAUAUCUCCAAUCCAUGCACCUUUUUCUCUUCUUUUGAUGUUUUCCUUUCAUUUUGUUCAGUAGAAAGUACCGAUAUAUAGGCCCCUGUCUAGCAAAUACGCUUUAUCCUCACGUAUUGGUAUUUUCUGAAAGGAAGAUAGGAAAAUUAUACACGCUACGACUUUGAAAUUCACAAACUAUCGUCAAAGAUGAAUACAAUCUCAAGCAUACUGCUAUCACGCCAAUCUUUAAUUCUUUGGGGAAGUUAUAUUUACAUUCCUGUGGAAGUAGAGUAGUGGGUUUUUUUUAUAUUUUUUUUACGAUAAUAAUAAUAUUUUUAUAAUUUAAUCUAUCCUAAUUUAGAGAAAUGGAGAGCCUAAAAAAAAAAGAGAUUAAUAAGUAUAAGAAUCUGAUAUUAAUAGUGUGCUUGCUGCUCUAUUUCUACAAAGAAGAAGUGACGAAUGUUAGCUGAUUUGGUAGAAUGGAAAUAAUUGUCCGUAUGGACCUUGUCUUAUCGUAUUGCAAAUCCUUCCAUUUGACGUGAGUGGAAGAAAAGCAGAAACAAAACCUGGCCCAAAGUAAUGGUUAAAGGAUACGUCGUGAGUGAAAAUUUUUGUCUACCGGUCAUGUGGUCACGUGUCGCCCCAUAGCGCCCUUAAGUUUUUCCAACUAACGUUCCUCGAAUCUUUGGUCUUCUUGUCUCAACUACUCUUCAAUCUCUCUGCUGAGAGUUCAUGCUUGCUUUGCUCAUUUUCUAUGAGGUAAAUCAAAGUUUAAAAAAUCUCUUUAUAUUAAAAUUUAGGAUAAAUCUUUUAUGCACUGACAGACAGUGUAUACACUGACGGAUCUACAUGCAUGUCACAUAUAUAAAAUUUGAUAAUCGACUUCAAAUUUAAAUGAUAUGACAUUUAUUCAAUUCUGUAAGUGUAUGCACUGACUGCCGAUGUAUAAAAGAUUGAUUCUAAAAUUUAUUGGGCUCUUCUUUAUUUCCACAAAAAUGUUUUGUGAGCAGACUGGGGAAUUCUGAUCAACUAUCGUGUUUAGGGUCAUGUUUUGAUCGGAUUGUGCGAAUUUUUUUUCAUCAUUAAGAGGCGUAAGAAACCUUUGCAAGAAUUAAGAAUCAACAUAUUAUUAACCAAACUAAACAGACAAAUACGGAAAACUUUUCCAAAAGCGUUCACCAAAAGAAAGUGGCGAACCGUAUCUGAUUAAGUGUGAACAUUUUCAGGAAAGAAAGAAAGGGAUUGAAAAUCUAGCUGCAGGGCAACUAGCUUUUUUGAAGUGAAAACAGAGAGGGGUGAAAAAAUUUAUGGUCCUUGUGGACGAUGGCCUCUAGUUUGUAUAUGGACAUAUGGUAUAUUGAAAUUGUAUUUGUAUAUAAAUAUACGUCUAAACAAUGAGAACGCAAUUCUGUACCUCAAAAAAAAAUCUUCCAAGGAAAUAAAGGCUUUUUUUUUUAUUUUUACGGAAAAGUAAAAUGAAGGACUCUAAGCUCCCAAUUGCCAUACGCAUACCUAAGUUUCAUGCCAUGCAUAUUCUGAAUAUCAAGUUUCAAGAAUUUUGUUUUCUUUUUUUGAUGAGGUGAAUUAAUGUAAUCAGUUUCUAUGCUCUAGUUGCGUAGUAUACUAGUCCUAAACAGUCAAAUUCUUGAGAGUCUGCUCUACUUUUUUUUUUUAACUAAAUUUUGGUUGUUAUAUAUAAAAAAAUAAAUAAAAUUUUUUGGUCGCUGCUUAAAAUUUAAAAAAAAUUUUUUUUUGAUCUUUGGAUCUGUUAUUUUAAUUAGUCUAGGAGACAUUAUUUGAAUAAAACCUUAUUUGUAAACCGUGAUUCUUUUUCCUACAAUAUUAAUUAGAGCAAUUAUUUAUACCCAAUAAACAUAUGUAGAUUUGAAAAAGAAAAAUUCCAAGCUUUUGGCACAUUCAAGCUGUGAGGUGCAGAUUUGGAUCUUGUGGGAAGAGUUACAGCAAUCGUAUACUUAAUUAUAGUAUGACUCAUCAAGACUUCCGGAUUUUUUCAACACUGCUGAUUCCUCACAUUUCAUUAUUCGUACAUGCAUCAAUCUACGGUUGCGUAUGUUAGUAUUUGCUUGAGUGUAUAAAUAUUCUAUCACCUGCAUGCUUAAGCGGGGAAUAUGACAUCCAUAGUUGCAGAUGACACGUGCCAGGACGAUAAGAGUAAUGCUUCCUCCCAAGCUACUCUAGCAUAUAUACAUAUAUGUAUAUGUAUGUGUGUGUAUAUAUAUGACUGUACUAAUAUGUACGAUUCCAUCCAAGAUUAUAUUCCGGUGGUCACUGUUAUGUGAAGAAAUUAAGGACGACUGAGCAAAUAGUAAGGUCCACCAAGUACUACUGAUGAAACUGUUUUCUUCCUUCCAGUUCGAGUCAAAACCAGAGUCCACUACUGUUGUGUUUAGGUUUUGGGUACGUAUGGGACUAAGAAUCAUGAUAAGAGGAUUCCACAAAUCCUAUGGCGCCUGCUGGCACGUGAUUUUGUUUUAUUAACGUUCUGAUAAAUUACAUUUUGCCUCUUGGUACUUUGUCACAAAACCUUUUAUAGUUUUUUCCAGGAACCGUUCGUAUAAUAAUUCCUUAAACACGCUUUCGCGUCAGUGAUGUAAACUCCUCAUAGUUUGGAUUAAAGUGUCAAUGUUAGUUUUUUCGUUAAACUAACGGUAAAUAAUAAAAAGUCAAAAUUAAACUAAUAAAUUGACAACUAUUUCACUAUUUUCUUUUUCCUUCUCUCUCUCUCUCUCUCUCUCUCUCCAUAUAUAUAUAUGUGUGUGUGUGUGUGUGUGUGAAGAAAAGAUAUGAUUUUGAAAACCUAUACUUUGACAUACAAAAUAUUAAUUUUAUCCAAAUUCAAAAGAGUUGGAAGGAAAAUAAAAAAUAAAUAAAUAGAAAACAAAAAAUAUCAAAUCCUUUUGACAACAUAUAUCAUUAUAGUUUUUAAAAUAAAUCUUUUGUGGUAUUUUCUAUUUUUUAUUUCAAUUUCUUCUUUUUUAUAUUUGAAGGGAAAAAAAGGAAGCAAUGAAAGGAUAAAUUUGUUAAUUUAAUAGUUUGAUUUUGACUUCUUACUAUUGACCGUUAGUUUUUAAAUCAAAUCAGGGUUGUAUGACAAAAUACCAAAUUACAAGAAGAUAAAAGGUAAGUUACCCUCAACGUUUUAACCCAGCCUAGUUAUGGUUAAUGUGUAACCUAGUUUUCCAACACACACACACACAUUUUCAUUCGACGUCAAUUCAUCCAUCCAUGCACACAGACUUAAUUACCAGUCUUUCCAUUUUUUUCAAUGGUUUAGCUUGUCUUCUGCAAUCUGCUCGUUCGGUGCCGCCCUCCGUCGUUUCAAUUUGUGAUAGGCAAAUUAAGAGAGGGAGGAUGCGAACUGGACAAACGUAGAAUUUAUGGCUGCCUGCUGGUGCAGACGUACUAGUAUUUAUUACCUUAGGCUAGGGACCAACAUUAACGUGUACACGCUGCUGCUCGAACGUCGUAUGAGUAGGUUUUUUUUUUUUUUUGGCUUUGUACGAGGAGGUUGACUUAUCAUAUGCAAAGAUUAAAAGGAAAAAAAAAUAGAUUCGAGAAAUCCCCAAUGAACAAUUAUUGCCCUGCCCCUUGUAAGUUGUGAUGUCAUUAGCACUAAGGGGGAUUGGAUAUGUAAUUAUGUAUGAUUGGAUUUGGUGUGGUAGCCUUUAAUUGUUGUGUUUUUGGUCAAAUUUUGAUACUUCUUUCGUCUCAUGGCGUGAAGAUAAGUUUUUUUUUUUCACACAGAUUAACAAAUUUAAUUAAUAUAGUUACAACAAUUUAAAAUCGAAUCAUAUUUAUUCGGUAAAUUUAUGUAUACCAACAAAAUUUAUAGGGAUAAUAUCAGAAACCUCUCCUUAGAUUUCUCUUAAUAUCACCUGAUACUCCUAAGGUUUCAAAAAUAUCACUUACCUCCCUUACUUUAGUUAUUUGUGUAACAAAAUUUUUAAAAACCCUAACCUACCCUUUCACUUACUAAAUAAAAAUGUUCCUAAGUCACUUUGUUCACUUCAAGAAAACCAUCACUUCAAAAGCAAUCUCUUGUAGUACUACUACAUCACAAUGUUAUACCCCAUAAAAAUAUAAUUUUGAAAAAUAAAAAUGAUAUUUGAAAAGAAAUACAUUUGUAUCAAUUUAAUUCGAUAUGCUCAAAAUCGAUUUCUUAUGAAUUUACAUUUUUUCCACCAUCUUCUUAACCCUUGCUCAAACCAUUAAAUUAUACCAAUUAUUAUAAAAAUCAAAUCAAAAUAAGCAAAUAAAUAGUACCCCACUUUAUCACAAUCACAAAAAGUAAAAGAUAAAUAAAAUUUAAUUUAUUAUAAUUUAUAAUAUAAUAUUGCAUAUUCAUCAAAAAAUAUAUGAGUAAGAGAGAAUGAUGGAGAAAAGGGAAAAAGAAGAAAGUGACUUCCAUUUCUUUUUUUUAAAAAAAAAUUUUGAGCUUCAUUUAUUUAAUAUGUUGUAAAUUAUGUGUUAAGUGAGGGUUAAUAUAUAGUCUUUUGACAAUUAUUAGGGGGGUAAGUGAUAUUUCUAAAACCUCAAGGGUGCUAAGUGAUAUUAAUAGAAAUCUCAAGGGAGGUUUCUGAUAUUAUCCCAAAUUUAUAUGUGUAACAAAGUCAUACGACGGUACAUCAAAUCAUGCAUCAUUUGUAUUUAUUUGCCCCUAGACCGAAGUACGUAGGUAAAAUGGAUAUUUUGGCCGAUAAAAGUCAAACGCUAGUAACAGAAUGGCACAGUAACAUAAUAAAUUUUUUUCAAGCUCUUUUGGGAGACUGAAAGAGAAUAAUAAUAUGGGACGUUGGGCUUGGGUUUACUGCACUUCCCUUUAUAAUUAUAGGUGGAAAUUUGUAAACCCUCUGGCUCUAGUAAGUAGUACAGCGUGCUUGUACAGUAGUACAGGGAUACUGGACUGGGUGUAGGAAUAACGUGGAGUCAAAACAGCCGCAGCUAACAAGACAGUUAGUUGGGAACGUAUGGAUUUGGUCCUAAAGAAGCUGUGAAGCGUUUUAUAUGCCUAUGGUGGUAUGUUAUGGGGGUUGGGGUAUGUAUUUAAUAUCCAGACGCCGGGCUUCCAACCAACCAGUCAGACGUUUUGCUUAAUUCUUCAAUGCCAAGAAUAUCAAAUACGUCUUCUGAUGCUAAGUGAUUCUCUUGGUUUUUUUUUUUUCUUCCCAAGCAAAAUUCAAAGCCAUAAUCCUCCGUCGUCCAAGUUCUAAUCUUCAACCAAAAUAUUUCCUUCAGAUUUUUCUGUUACUACAUCCCCCGUCCCGCGAGAGCUCUCGUGCUUCCUGGCUAACCUGCUUCAUUUGUAGUUUUAGCUGCGGCUGCUGCUCCAUAGCGAUUACGAGAAAAUACGUAAUAGACCUUUGUUUUUAUCGUCUGCCUGAAUCAUCCCUCGUUUCUCUACUGCAUAGAUUUAGAUAAGGUAAAACUUGAAAAGCCCGAGAAACUUUUUCUCUCUUAAAACUUCUGCAUAGUCUUUCUUCCUUUCUUUCUGUUGUCGGCUUCUCUUUUUUAGCCCAAAAAGGAGGUGCCUGUUCUUGAAAUCUGGAUUUGUCAAGGUAUACUAUAGAUGCCAUCUCUUUUCAUGUGUGUGUGUGUGUGUCACUACAUGUGUGAAUGAUUGCUAGUUUUGGUUUUGUCCUUGCCCAUUGAUUAAAUUCUGGGGAUAUAAUGCUGUUCCCUUUGGAUGAUAUAACGUGAGAGAUAAACAGUCCCUUUGGAUGCUAUAACAUGAGACAUAAACAGUCUCAUGAGGCUCAGAUGACCACGGCUACCUGGCUAUUACCAUUCUUCUUUGUUUCUUAUCCUUUCUCUUGCAAUUGGGUGCUCACUAACAAGAGCUAUUGACUUCUUUUCUGUGAGUUAUACAGGCAUUUUUUCUUUUUCCAUCUUGGAAUCAUUGAUAUUGGUUUCUAUCUCUUAUCUCUUUGUUCAGACGUUCAUUUUCUUUCUGGAGAUACAAAUUCUCCCCUCGUGUAGGCAAGCGUAGUUUAUGACUAGUCUUUGAACUUUGCAUCUUUCGUCGUCUUUGAUUGAUAUAUUGAUAAUUGGCUGGCAUUUCUGGGUGCAAAUCUGCAAGUGUGGUGUGAACCUGGUGCUCCCUUUUGAAUCUUUCUUUUUCCUUUUUCCCCCCUAAUUUGUAUGAAAUGUUGAUAAGUUGACAGUAAUAAACUAUUGUGCCCUACAUUUGUUGAUGCUUCUUGGAGGAAUAAGACUCUUUUUAAUUUAAUUCAAAUAAAACAGCUGACAAGUGUGGAUUCAAUGUCUUUUUCCCGAUAGAUGGAAUGCAAGAUGAUUUUGGCCGGCACUUUCGGUAACAUGAAGAAUCUUAACGAAUCAAUGCAGUUCUUGGUAGAAGAAAACUGAUGUCAUUCAUGUUCCUGGAGACUUUGACUCCCGCUUGUUACGUGUACUGAAGAUGGAAAUUAAAGAAACAGAGAAAGUGGCCAUCGCAAAGCCUGUAGCAUCAAGACCUACUUGUUCCGGUUUUAAAUCCUUCUCUGAGCUUCUUGCCGGUGCCAUCAACGCCUCACCCUCUAGCACAUGUUCUGAAGCUGCGGUAACAGCCAUUAGACCGAGGACGGUGAGGUUCAAGCCAGCAGUGGACCAUCCUUCGGCUGGAGUGGCUGCUUCCCAGGUUAUCAAUUCUCCUCCCAUUAAUUUACUGCAUUUUUUUCCCGCAAGACGUAGAUAUCUUACUGUUACAUAUCUUCUGAUUCCAGGCUAAUCUAUGUGGGGCUGCUGUUUCUUCUCCCACUGCUAAGGACUUGAAAGCAGACGGGAAAUGCAAAGUGGUGUACAAACCUAUGGCCAAGCUCGUCUCCAAGACAACAGUUUCUCUCUUGGCAAAUAUGGUCAGUAUUCAAUAUUCACACUAUCGAAAUUACAGAGCCCCCAACCUCCCCUCUCCCUGUCUGUGCAUGUGUGAGGAUCAUGGCAUAACUCCAAACUGCAUCAUAAAUGUAUUACAACUUUGUCAUUUAGAUCUAAUCUAUGUUAGCAUUCUCCAAAAAUCUAUCUUGACAAGAAUGGCCGGUGAAACUAUUCUUUUAAAUUCUUAUCCAUCUGUGGAGUCGGGACUUAGUUAUAUAUUGGCGUCAUGUACAGCGAAGUGCCAAUUUAUUUCAGGAACAGGAAUUAGCUGAAGUUGAGGCAAAUUUCCAACUACCAAACCUAGUCAAACCUCAAUGUGACAAUAGAUCAGAGCCUCAUCAGAAUUUCCUAUCCGCGGCACAAAAGAAUAAAAGAGUUGAACCCUCGAAUGUGACAACACAGAACCUGGAGGAGGAUCAGAGAUCGUUAGCGCACACGGCAAAUGGGGAUCGUCCUUCUUAUGAUGGAUAUAAUUGGAGGAAGUACGGACAAAAGCAGGUUAAAGGAAGCGAAUAUCCAAGAAGUUAUUACAAGUGCACACAUCCAAAUUGUCCUGUGAAAAAAAAGGUUGAGAGAUCAUUAGAUGGUCAGAUUGCAGAAAUUGUCUACAAGGGUGAGCAUAGUCAUCCGAAGACGCAGCCUGUAAGACGUAACUCCUCCGAUGGACAUUGGCAAGGAACUUCCGGGAAUGAAUCAAACAAUCCCCUAUGCAGAAACCAACAUAGUGACAAGAAUGAAUGUUAUGAAGGCACCAUGGAAAAUCCAAAUGAAUUUGGUUUUUUAGCCCAUUCAAGUUAUUCGGGAGGAGCUCCAUCAUGCAUGCACCCUACAAAUGGAGACCUUGAUAAUUCAUCUUGCCACAGCGGGGAGUUUGACGAAGGGAGGGAGGGACUGGAGGGAGAGACGGAGGGACCGAAAAGGAAAAGAAGGUAAGGGAUAUAUACACUUCAAAUAGCAAGCAGAUCAUACUGAAUUGCUUGUUUUAACAUGGAUAGACUCUUCCUAGUUAGUCUGCUGAUCUGUGCAGGGAACUUCUUUUCCGUUUCUCGUCUCACUUUCAAGCCUAUUUGCUCUGCAUGAGCAUAUGGGAUGCCAGUGAAUUUUCUCACGCGCUUUGACUUUUAAAAUUCAUGAAAUAAAUUUUAUAAGAGUAUGACUAGUCUCUUGAUUUUCAGGAAAAACGACAACCAAUCGAAUGUAGCAGGCACAGCAGCUGAAGGAGCACAAGAGCCUCAGGUUCUUGGUCAAAACUCCACUGAUUCUGAAAUCAUAAGAGAUGGAUUUCGCUGGAGAAAGUAUGGGCAAAAAGUUGUGAAGGGAAAUCCAUAUCCAAGGUUAAUGCCAAGUCAUGAUAUUCUGCACGCAUUUUAAAUUUCAAGAAUUUACAUAUGACCGUAUCUUUUACGUACAAGAAUUACUCUGGGCAUUGCAAUGGUGCAUACAAGGUAGGCAUUUGUCAUCUUUCCUGAUACUUUUUUCGUGUCGUUUUAUAUUUGGAGGAUGCAAAUCCAUGGCUAUAUCCUUGGUUUAAGGCUUAGUUGCUUCAAAGCAGUAACGGCACAAAAUGAGGAGAUAAUAUGCUAUAUAGUUAUGAUGAUUUUAAAGCUCUCCUGUUUGCUUUAUCGCUAAUACUAGUGAUAAAAGGCUUUUGGACGACACGUAGUGAUGAUUUUUUAGGGGAGCCUCUCCCCCUAAAGAGACUGUGUUUUUUGGGCUAGCAGGUACAUAAAUCUUACUAGACCAAGGGAGUGUUUUGGCAUAACUCUUAAAUUGUUUUUGUUACAGGUGGAAUUUGAACCCCCACAUACAGUUUAAUGAGGGAUUUAAGACCCUUCCUGGUAGCCACUGAGCCAAGCUCAGUGGUUAAUGAUGAUGAAGUUAUCUUUUAUAAACAAGUAGGAGUAGCUAAUAUAUUUUUGCUAUUUCAUACCUUUCAUCCUAUUGGUCAGGUUAGACCUUAAUUUGUGUAUAUGUAUCAUAUGUUUUACUUACAAAUCUCUAAAGACAACUUUAAACGGUGUGCCUGCUGCAGGAGUUACUAUAGAUGUACCAGUCUCAAGUGCAAUGUGCGCAAAUAUGUGGAGAGAACGUCGGAUGAUCCAAAUGCCUUCAUGACGACUUAUGAAGGAAAGCACAACCAUGAGAUGCCGACAAAAAGCACAAGUUCUUUGGCGGCUAAAACUAGUACAAAGGCCUUAGGUACCAAAAAAAUAUAUCUUGAUUAGCUCAUUGGGAGAGGGCUAAAUUUCCAAGGCAAUAGUUGGUACAUGGAAGUGAGGAGGUCAUAGGGCUCAUAAGGGUCUUCAAUUGGAGGUUUUGUGGCAGAAUCAACUUAAUAGUUGCUGCUUGUUGUGGGAAGACUUUAGUGUUUUAUCUGCUUUAAUUCGCGGUGAAUCCAAUGAUAGAUAAGUAGUGUCGGUAUACCAGAAUGGCAGGCUAAGCGAGAAUAUCUCCUUAGACAAACGAAAUACCAUGCCAUCUCGCGUCAUUUAGCAGUAUUUGUGUCGGCUCCGGCGAGAUCUGUGUUGCACUGUUUUCGAAUAGUGUGAAGGAAAACACAGCGUGCUGCAUAGUCUUCUGCAUACACGAAUUUGUAGUCUGUAUUCGGUCAAUUCCUGACAGUAGAAAGCUUAUUUGGUAUUGUCAUCAAAAUCAGCAGAUGUAAUCUUGAUAAUGAUGUGCUUGCAUGAUGAUUUCCAAGUUCUUGAUUGGGUGAACCUACUAACUAAUCAAGAGCUAGAACAUGUUAGAAUUUUGUGACUGUAGUUUUACCAGAGGAUUCUGUCACCGCGUGAAGGACCUGUAGUAGCUAAUUAUUACCUCAAAUCAAGGUUGCCUCUUCCGGCGCAACCUAAUUAUAUGUCCAGAGUCCAGUCCCAUGAUUUUGUUCCCUUCCUACCCCGUAAAAAGCUUACAAAUCAGGUUCAUGUUCUCUUGAAAAUUUAAAAUUUGGAGACUAAUUGACUUGCUAAUUGUCAUUGUUACUGGCUUAAUUGCGUGAUGAUCUGAAAGUUCAGAUUCGUUUAUAUUGCUUCCGGAUCUUCUGGUAGUAUAUGUUUUUUUUUUGUCCGAAACAAUAACUGUUAUAUAACCUAUUCUAUCUUAUAUUAAGGAAGAGGAGGACUUGAAAAGAUCUAAAGAUAAUUCAGAAGAACUAAAUCACCACCGAACCAAACGAGUGUACUAUGCACUCGUCUAGAUUUUUUUAAGUAGAACCAUUUAAUAUGACAAUUGAUGGAAGGUAAAAUUUGAACCUGAUCGUCCGGCCCACCAAACUUUAAUACUUUGGUGGUAGUUUGGGUUGGUGGUUGUACAUGGAGGGGACUGUUGUAUAUGGUUGUUGGCAUGUCAUAUUUAGGCAUUACUGUAGCCUGUGUGUACGCGCGUUUAUAUAUAUAUAUAUAUGCCCGCGUGCGACGCUGAUUAUGAUCGAUUGCUUGAAAUUCCUGUCAAAAUAUGGAACAGACAAGAAGGAAAAAACGAAAGACAUUUUUGUGACCAGGGAUCAUCACGCAAAGACUUGUGAUUUGAGAUUGCAAAGGCAGUGGUUGCCACUUUUUGGCGUUGCCUGCCUGUCUUACAUUUGAAAAUAUGCCUUCUUCGCAGGCCUUCCAAUGAUCGACCGUCUUAGUUUCAUCAUUUUGUUUUGGGAUGAUGAUGAUGUCACAGUACACAGUUUUGCGUCUUUGACUGUGAAGGCACGGUAAUCAACACCUCAAUCGUAAGCGUUGACUGAUUCUCUGUCGGUGUCAUGGGCGCUUGGCGUUUGUCGGGACCACCGUGUACAAGUAGGACUGGUAAGUUGUAGCAGGGGCAGGCGGUAAUCAGGUCCAGUCGCGAGUUGACAGAUUGGAUCAAAAACAACACCCGCCAACCCGAACAUGGCACGAAAAAUUAAACCAUCAAACUCGAAUAUGGCUCGCUAGCUUGGUGAGUUGCCUAAACUUGAUUUGAAUAAUCUGUUUACUUCUUACAUUUUAUAUAUAUAUAUAUAUAACCGUGGUGCGUAGCCAAAAAAAUUAAAAGAAAAUAAAGCAAGAGAUGACAGCAAGAAAACAUAACUCAAUUGCUCAAUUAAUGUAUUAAAUUAUAAAAUUGCAUGCUAAAUGAGUCAAACGGGUUAAUCUGUAGACUGUGAUUGACUUUAUUUGAACUUGUUUGCUUGACGGGUUAUUUGGAUUUAACUAACUUUUGAUUCGAAUCUAUAAAAAAUAAAUUCAUACUUGUUAAUUACAUAUUAGGUUCAAAUCAUAUUUUCGAAUCAUGCUGAAAAUUGCUACCCUUCCAACAAGUUCAAAUCUCCAAUCCUCCGCUCACCAUUCAGGUCAGCACCAACCAAUUGUUCACCUGAAUUAUGAAGUUGUUGUUGUGACUUAAAUCCCUAAAUUCCACUUUAAUCUCAUAACAAGUUGUUCAUCGAUACUAUUCCGUGAUUUAUCAAAUGACUUCAAUAAAAAUUUGUCCAUUGCUUGCGUCUGAAAUAUUCAAAAUUGAUUUGUGUUCUCUCUUAUUUGCAUUUUUUUAAUGUCGUAAAUUUUCGUGAAUUAACAAGUAAGACCUUAAAAAAAAACCAAAAAAGAAGACAAGUAAGACAAACAUAUAAGUUACAAAUUAUCCUAAAUUUGAUUGCACCAAUGGACCCUAAACUCAAUGUAAUGCUAUACUGGUUAGUAUGGGCCUUUGCAAAAAAAAAAAAGAAUUAACAAGGCAGGUUUGGGAUAGGGACCCUCGCUUUGUCACCUAAAAGCUCUUUUUAUCCUCGCCUACCCUACUUUCACCCGUAUCCCCUUCUCGCCCACCCUACCCCUCUACUAUUUUGUUACGUGAUUUUAUUUUUAUACAUGUAUAACACUAAUAAUAGAUUUAUUACUCAUUUUUUUAAAUCUUCAAUAAAAAAUUUAACAUGAGAUAAAGUUUAAAAUUUAUUUUGACCUUGUAAAUCCAUUUCUCUAUAUUUGUUAUUAUAUAAGUUCUAAAUUAAUUAUCAUUACUUUUUUAUAAACAAUAUGCCAUAACAACAAAAGUAAACUAAUAAAACAAAAAAAGUAUAUUAUAUUACAUUAUCAUAAGAAAAUAUCAUAUUCUUCAUUGCAUGUUACAUAUAUAUAAUUAUAUUAUAUAUACAAUAUUAAAUUAAGGCCUGGACAAAAGGGUUGGGAGUACAAAUGAUUGUCAGGUUAACCGUUUUUGCUAAUUUUGUCCAAUUCUACAAGAUGUACAUUUAUUUUUUCAAGAUGUAAUUCACUUUGAAUGCAAAAGUAAAUACAAAACAAAAUUUUAUGGAUCCAACAUCCAAUCAAUGUAUGUGUUGUGAUCAAUGGUCUAAAUCUUACAAAUUUUUUUUAAUCAAUCAUGAUCACGAAGCAUUCUUUUUUUGUCAAAGCCAAGAAAUGACUUUUGAUAACUUUACAAACCUUAAUCCAGCAGACUUAUAAACCUACCCCAAAUCCCCCCCAACCCCGAUGUGGGAUAUCAACCUAUACAGGGAACUUGCUACUAAGACCUAAAGAGACCCUUACCUCGGAAAGGCUGAUGUCUUUUUUGUCAAAACCAAGAAAUGACUUUUGAUAAUUUUACAAACCUUAAUUCAGCAGGAAACCACAAAAGUUGGCAACUUUUAUGAUUCCUACAGGAGACUUAUAAACCUACCCCAAAUUUCCUCCAACCCUGAUGCGAGAUAUCAACCUAUGUAGGGAACUGCUACUAAGACCUAAAGAGAUCCUAAUUACCCCGAAAAAGCUGAUGUCUUUUUUGUUAAAGCCAAGAAAUGACGAAGCAUUCAAGGACGAUCAUUUUGAUAACCGUUGCUGCCCCAGUUCCCCCUUUGCUGUCCCCUGAAACACCUUAUAUGACUUUUAGAUUUGACUACGUCAUCCCAAACAGUACAUAGUAGUUGUGGUAAUAACUGAGCUCCAAGAAACGCUAAGCCAAACAAAUAAAUAUGCAAUAUUUAAUUUCAACCACUUUGAAUAAACCAACACUACAAUUUAACGCUGCGUACAAUUUUUUGGCCUGUACUCUGUCGUACUUGAAUUGGUAACACUAUGAGACUCUGCCCCCGUGGCCCAUUCAUCUUUGCAUUGCCGUAUCAUCUCAAUUCCAAGACAUCGAGUCUCAUUCUUUUUUUUUUUUUUUUUGUUAAUCGUUACCCUACUUCUACUCUUACUCUAUUCUAAUUUAACUAUGGGAGAGAUUUAACUGGACUUAUGGGGGAUCGAUGGAGACAGAACGACCACUAGAUCAGACGAAUACACCACGUACCUGCCUGAAUUUUUUUUUGAAGAACCACAAUAUCUUUCAUUUAGUAUUAAAAAAAAAAAAAAAGGAAGACAGAGAGUCUUUCCUGCCUCCACCAUUUCUUUUCCGUUUCAUUCGUUUUAUUAGUCGUUAGAGACGUCGACACAUUUCUUUCCUUCUCUAAGGUAAAACUAAACAAAAGACGCACCACUCCAUUCCUUCGAUUCUUUCGCACUUUUGCUGCCAUCCUGUGCAUAAUAAUUUAUGCAACUCUUUUGAAUUGUUCGGGAAAGGAGUCCGGAUCAAGAGAAAAAACUCUGAGAAAAACUUUUGAUGGGUUGGUUUCCAUGCUCUGGACAAUCUCAUUCCAAGCUUUCAUCAAAGAAGAAGAGGAAGAUUAAGGACCCACUUCAUCCUAUUCAGCCUUCUCCAGGUAUCUCACUCUUUGUGGCAUAUGUAUGGUAUGUUCAAUUAAAGUUUUUAUCUUUAUUCCGUAGAUGAUAUUUUCGUUGUCGCCCAUUAAUUUCAGACAGUUCUUGAACAAGAUUCUCAAUUGGCUUAUACCAAAAGGAACUGUCUGAUUGUUGAGUCUGUCCAGCAGUUUGUUGAGGGGUUUUUUAUGGCUUUUCUAACAGUAGUUUUCAUUUUCUCCUGGAAUAUUUGUUGAGCACUAUUUGUUGACUUUUUCUCCACCCUGUCGGCCUGUUGGGUGGGGGUGCUUGCUUAAGGGUUUUCUUUUGCACCUAUACGUCUUUUAAUUGGACUGAAAGCAUUUAUGUUCAGUAAUGUCGUAUCUGGACCUUCUGGCGGAUCAGGUCCGUUUAAGUUUAAACUGAGUUGCUAAGUGCAUAUGGUGUCACUAAUCUGGAAAAAAAGGUUGAAGAAGAAGAAGAGUGAGUCUUGAAUGAGCUUGGGUACUUGCUGUCUUACGGUUGUUCUUUACUUCAAGUAAUAGUUCAAAGGGGUUUGAAUCUUCUUACUAGUUACCAGCUAUGUACUUUGACUUUUUAACCUGGUGUAUAAUCAUAUACCAAUGAUAUUGUUACUGCAGUUUGGAACUUGCAAAUGUGAUACCUCAUCAAAAUUGCUUUAGGUGCAGAUGACUCAAAAAUUUCAGAAACACCACAUUGAUGCCUAUUGUCAACUUAGUCCCGUCUCACCAUUAUCUUGGGAGUUGGGAUGGGUAAACCUUCGAGAAGUCAUACCAAAGUCAGCUCUAGUUUUUACCAUGUCAAACAAACUUUAAGAGAGAAAUGACACAUUAAUGUGUAUCCUUCCCAAAUAUGCUAUAAAAAUUAAAAAGUGGUUUUUGGAAGGUUAGCGUGGUCUAGUGGUUACUUGGCCAUUUCUGUCCUCCUAAUUUUCUGCUUUUCUGUCUUCAGAGAAGUCGAAGGUAAAUGCACCAUUAAACUCGCAGGUAAACAGCAAGGAUGGAGGGUCCAACCAAAUUGCAGCCAAGACUUUUGCAUUUCGUGAAUUGGCUGCUGCAACUAGAAAUUUUCGGGCAGAUUGUCUUCUUGGAGAAGGAGGAUUUGGUAGAGUAUACAAAGGGCGACUUGAGAACUCCAACCAGGUAUGUGGGGCUCUCUAUUCUUUGUGAAUACAUAAUGAGGAAAAAGUAAGCAUAUUUUGUAUGUUUCCAGAUGUUCCAUGACUGCCUCCUCAGCAUCUGUUCUCUAAAUCAUGAGCUGCUCAUCUUCCACUUUGUUGUAGUCUAAUUUUUCCCCAUGGGUUUCUCAAUUUUUUUUGCUUCUAAGCCAGACGUCGAAAUGGUUCAAGCCCAAUGAUGGCAUUGACACAUUAUUCUAGCUUUUUUAUAACAUGCCUUUGUUGCUAGAAAAUAAAAGACUUCCAUAUAUCAUGAUUUAAGUAUAAAAGACCUUCAGAAAGAUAGAGAGUCCACUGCAGGCCUCCUAGUAAAAGAAAUGUUCUAAUGCCCUGUGAAAUGCUUUUCUUAACAUUGUCAAAAUCUUAUUGCUAAUUAGAUUGUUCUGAAUAGAUGCAUCAUCAUGUUUCGUUUAUGCUGGCAUAAACAACCUUUACAUGGAUCACUGUUUCCUUUUUCAAUCAAGCGAAGUACAUUUUUGAGCUUCGGUUCCAUGGUUUGGUGCAUCAAGAUUUUUCAAUGAUAAAGCCAAAUUGGAUGGAGAUUUUGUGUUGUUCAUUUUAUUGAAAUUAUGUUAGUUAUUUUUAACUAUCGAUUGCCGAAAGGUUGAAUUCUAGUUUAAUGCCUUUGGUGCAGAUUGUUGCCAUCAAGCAACUUGAUCGCAAUGGGUUGCAAGGGAAUAGAGAAUUUCUAGUUGAAGUGUUGAUGUUGAGCUUGCUUCACCAUCCCAAUCUUGUUAAUCUUAUUGGUUAUUGUGCUGAUGGAGACCAGAGACUUCUUGUAUAUGAAUACAUGCCGUUGGGGUCCUUAGAGGACCACCUCUAUGGUAUUUGCUAUUAUUAGGUGCAUAUCCUCAAAUUUUUACUUGUAUAAAAAAUUGCCUGUGGAGUUUGGACUCACAAACCUUCUUCUACAGAUGCUACACCAGAUAAAAAAUGGCUUGAUUGGAAUACAAGAAUGAAAAUUGCUGCUGGGGCAGCAAAGGGUUUAGAGCAUCUGCAUGAUAAAGCUAGCCCCCCAGUUAUAUAUCGUGAUCUAAAAUGCUCUAACAUUUUGCUUGGUGAGGGUUAUCAUCCAAAGCUAUCUGAUUUUGGUUUGGCUAAGCUUGGGCCUGUUGGUGAUAAUACUCAUGUAUCCACUAGGGUCAUGGGUACCUAUGGGUAUUGCGCACCUGAGUAUGCAAUGACAGGACAACUGACACUGAAAUCAGAUGUUUACAGCUUUGGUGUUGUACUUUUAGAGAUAAUAACUGGAAGGAAAGCAAUUGAGAAUUCCAAAACUGCAGGGGAGCAUAACCUGGUAGCUUGGGUAAGACAAUUGCCAUCUUCUCUCAAGUUUUUGUUGUUGUCACAGAAAUUUCUUAUGCUUUUUCUGGCGGUGAAUAAUAGUGAUGUGCAGCGAAUCGUACUACUUUCUAUACAUCACUCUUUUGAUCAGUAGUUUAUAGGUUUCGAUUGGAGAAUUGGAAGUAACCGGGUGAUUUAUGUCUGAAAAUGGUGUCUCAUUAAGUUAUUUAUGGCACACUACAACACGGUUAUUGUGUUUCAGUGUUAUGGAAGUCGAAUGUGAGCAUUGAUUGUUAUCAUGGAUCACUAAAGCUCUUGCUGAGAUUUGACUUAUAAACAGAGUGUAAUAAGUCUGUCUGAAGGUGAAAUGUGAUUUCUAUGAAGAUCCAUUGUUUUUGACCUUCAAGGGAUCUCUUGCUCUGUAAGGUUUCUUUGAGAUAUUAGUUGAAGCAUUUUGUGCAAUUGAUUGGUGGUGCUUCACCUUGAGUUUAAUUUUCCGUCAGCAGAAAAAGAGAACAGCACCUUCUGUUACAGCUAGUAAUGCACCGCAGAGAAAAUGCUACUAGUGUUUAGGUAUUCUGAUGCCUGUAGCUGUUUUAUUGAAUACACAUAUUGAUUAUUGUUUUUUUAUUCCAGGCAAGACCCUUGAUCAACGAUCGGAAGAAGUUCUCACAGAUGGCUGAUCCUAUGCUCCAAGGUCAGUAUCCAAUGAGAGGCUUGUACCAGGCACUUUCAGUAGCAGCUAUGUGUGUCCAAGAGCAGCCUAAUAUGCGCCCUGUGAUUGCUGAUGUAGUCACAGCUUUGUCUUACCUUGCUUCACAAAAAUAUAACCCUGCCCAAAGUUCACAAUGGGCUCCAGCCACUCCACCUAGGACAAAAAGAGAGGGUGAGAAGAGAGAACAUGGCGAUAAUGGAUAUGAAAAAAGAUCAAACUAGAUGCAGUAUUGAUAUUUUGCUGUUCUUUGUAACAUCAGAUUUCUGUAACACUAUGGGAGAAGGCUGCUCUUAAAAGUAUAUAAUGCUAAUUCUACACGGAUUAAUUAGUGAUACACCGCAGGUGGCCUAAUGCUUAUGGUGUUGAGAAAACAUGUUUAUUUGAUUUGCUUUUGGGAUGGACUAGGUUAGGCACUGUUUUCUUCAACCAAUAGGUGUUGGGUUCAAUUGUAAUCAAAGCCUUCUUCAAGUUUUUAUAACGCCUACCUUCAACGUUGUAAAACUGACUUGAGAAUGUACUAGUACGGGUAUGUAUAUAUGCAUAUAUUCUGUUUUGUUACUGUUUCUUCAAAAGGCAUGAUCUAUUGGUUUUUGACAUGUUGGUUGUUCAUUUUCUUUAUUUGGUAAAGCAUAAGGAAGUUGUUAGUGGUGCUAGGCUAGCAACCUUUUAGCUAGAAUUGCUUUUCGUUCUUUAAGAAAUUUCAGUCAUGACUGUUGCUCCUGUAAUUAUGCUAGAGGUGAUGAUGUACAGGGUAAGGAUUUCCAUCUUUGUAUGUGCAUUGAGUGAGUGCCAUCGCUCAUGUUUGAGUUAUGUAGUAGGAAAAGCUGUAACAGAGAAUCCUUUGUUCUUCUUCUGCAGUACGUUAGUUGGGUUGCCGGCAGAGGUGUUUGACCGUUAGAACUUUUUUAGCCUAAAUUGCUUUUCAUGCUGAGUAAUUACAAUCAUAACUGCUGCGCCUACAAGCGGUAAUUAUCCUGAGGUUAUGGAGAGUUAAGCUCUCUAAGCUGUUUUGGACUUAUCCUGAAGAGCUCAUCUGAAUAUGCUGUCUUACUUGUUUUCGUUGGAAAAAAAAAAAAGAAUAUGCUGUCUUACUGAUGUAAACAAUUAUCGCCUCUGGAUUAUGUUGAGCUAUAAAGUAGUUGCACGUGAAUGUGUAUGGAACUUGCACUAUGGAUUCUGCAGACGUAAAUGGAUCGCAUAACAGGUAGAUCAAAUGAGCUUAGAAAUCUGUGGCAGUCUAUGUUAGUGUCUAAGGGAUUUUGCUCACGUUAACCCAUCCUUCUAGAGAUUUAGCUGUCAAAAACUGGGAAGUGUAACGAAAGGUGGCAAUUCAAAAGAUUAAUCUUUUGAAAGUUGUUAAAGACAAGUAAGGAGGUGAUAAUUUGACAUUGACAUGUUUAAUUUUUACUAAGAUGUAAAUCCUAGUUGUUAGGAUUAAUUAGUUGCUGCUAUAAAAUCUUGAAUCAUGGUCGUUAAGAUUGGAUGCCAUCACAAGUUGCAUAUUAAUGUCGUAUAAUAAAAAGUGAAGACAGAGAGCGGCAUAGGAAGUGGGACAGAAGAUUCAUUUCGCAUCAAAAUGGCCUUCCUUGUAUAAUAAAAAGUGAAGACAGAGAGUGACAUAAGAAGUAGGACAGAAGAUCCAUCCGUUGUCCGUCAAAAUGGCCUCCCUCUGCUCUUCGUCUUUACAGCAUCAUUUGUCAUAUGGAGAAGUUCAGUCAAAAUCCUAAGGCUGCCUGAUGAUGCAAUCGAAAUUAUGCGCGGCAGCAGCAGUAACAAAUUAAGGUGAUCAAAGUUGCCAAACAUUAUUUUGGAGGGAGACUCUUUGAAGAUCGUCAGCAUGCUUAAGCUUAUGGAGUCUGAUGACUCCGCCUAUGGGGUGCUGUUAGAUGAUAUCUUUGUUAGGUUACAGAACUUCGCCGCUUGGGAGGCUAACUGGGUCCCUAGGAAGGCCAAUGUGCCAGCACAUUUAUUAGCUAGAAAUGCUCGCUCUAUUUUAGAUAUCUGUAGUUGGAGUUAUUCUCCACCAUCUUUUCUUCUCUCCGCAAUUUCGGCGGACCUAUCUUCACCUUAAUGAAAUUUUCUAAUUUACUAUCAAAAAAAAAAAAGUUGCCAAAAGCAAUUCCAACGGAAUACUAAAAGAAGCAGCAAAACCUAGCGAAUUAUCUCAGUUGAUCAUUCUUUUUUUUUUUUUCCUUUCAAUUCAUUUCUCAAAUGCCACCUGAAAUUAAGACUACUUUCAUACCUAACUUAAUAUUUAACCCGAAUUUUUUCUCUUGAUCAUUCAAUAAUUUUUCUUUUAAUUAAGUUCUCAAACCCUAUCUAAAAUUAAGAUUACUUUUGAACCUAAUAUCUCCAGCAAAUUUCGGCACAUAGAACUUAGAAUUAGCAUUCCAAUAAGUCAACUAUGAUAGCUAAUUUGUUUAUCUACCAGAAACAACCUUGAACAGCAAGACGAAGAAACCUACCUAAUACCAGUCAUGCCUUGCAGAGAUUUAUCCAAUCUUUUGGAAAUUUGCACAAUUUUGUUAUUGAAAUGGAAGUAAGGGAUCAUGCAUAAUCUCUAAGGAUAUGAUUGUUAGUACUAGGUGAAAUAUUUUGUAGCAGUUCUGAAGAUAUGAAACUGAAAAAAACUCGUUGCUUUUCAUUUCUUACCAAUUUUUACAUUAAAAUGGGCUUAUUUUACUCUCAAAAAAAAGUUGAAGCUUUGGGUUCCUUCAGUUAGUUAAAAGGCCAUAAGUAAUGUAUCUGUUCCGGAGUCUAGCAUGAAUUCGGCCCAAAUUAAUUGGACACCUUAUCCACAGUGUUGUUAUAAGGUUGAUUUGGGCUUCGAAUCUUCACCAGCUCAGUGUUUUCCUUGAAAUGGACCAUUGACACGUCACUGCAACACUGUCCUGGCCCUUGGCACCACAAGCUUCUUGUAGUACCCGUGUUGAAAGAUAAAGGGCCCACAUGCGGCCCACACCAGCAGCUAGAACUUUCCCGUCCUUUGACCCCGCACCCCUCUAAAAUUCAGACUCUAAAUUCGCUCCUCUCUUGUAAAGAACUCAAUACUAAAUCUUUUCGUUUUUUUUUUUUUUGGGCGAUCUGAUCAAGCGCACUGCAUCUGCAACUACUUCUCUUUUUCUUUUUUGCCUUUGGCUUUUGCACCUCAGGUUUGUGUUAAUUUGAGCAUGCGUUGCAUGUAGAGCCAGUAGUAUUAAAUUGCAUGUAGAUUUUGUCUUCUUGAUUUUUCAUGCGGAAAGCAUAUAUAGUCUUUGGUGCUAUUUAUGUCUUUGUACAUGAAUUGCUGUUCUUGCAUUAUGCUCUUUGGAUAUCCUUAUAUGCUAAGAAAUUUUCAGCUGAAGAUCCCCUUGAUACCUUCAUGGGAAAAUCGUACCCGAAAGUAAGCCAGGAGUACGAGAAGGCAGUUGAGAAAUGCAAGAGGAAGCUCAGAGGCUUCAUUGCUGAGAAGCAUUGUGCUCCUUUGAUCCUCCGACUAGCGUACGCAGCCUCUUUAUCCGUCUCUCUUUUAAGUCAAGUUAGUUCUGUUUCUGAGUAUGUUGUGAUGAUAACUCAAAUGAUUAACCAUGCAUGCUUUGUUGCUUUGUUCCUGUCCUGUGGAUUGCUGGACUGUCUUUCUUGCAUUUGUUUAGUUUGGCUGUCUUGAGUUCAGGAAAAUGAAAACUGAUCCCUCAUGUUCUAUCAAUUCAGUGUUUCAUAUGAAUAUAAUAAAUAGGGUAGUGAUUCUAGUGAAUUUGCUUGCUUCUGUAAAUAUUCAUUCUUUUAGGCAUGCCAUGCCCUCUCUUAUCUUCUUUGUGUAAAACAGUCUUUUGAUUACCUGAUUGCAUAAUUCAAUUGGCAUAUUAUCUCUCUGGCUCUCUGUUUAAAGCUGUGCAGUUAGUUUAUAUUUUAAAUUUCAGAAACUUCUUCUUCAUUUCUUUUCUCAUUGCUGAUGGGUGAUUUACGUGAUCAUAUACGCGUUGCUUCAGAUGGCAUUCCGCAGGGACCUAUGAUGUGGAUACGAAAACUGGAGGGCCCUUCGGGACUAUCAAGCACCCGGCCGAGCUUUCUCAUGAUGCUAAUAAUGGCCUUGAUAUUGCUGUCCGACUUUUGGAGCCAAUCAAGGAACAAUUUCCACUCCUCACCUAUGCUGAUUUCUAUCAGGUAAAACUCUCUUUUCAGUUUCCAGAUUGCAUUGGUUCCUCCAUUCCUCCACCCCCCCAAAAAAGAAAAAAAAAGAACUGAUUUUAGUAUUCAAAAGUAAUGAUUGUCAUUGAUGUCUAUUUAUCAUAUCAAGUUGGCUGGAAUUGUUGCCGUUGAGGUCACUGGAGGCCCUGAGAUUCCUUUUCAUCCCGGCAGACCUGUAAGUCUGACCCAUCCAUCUUUUUGUAGGAAGUAAGAAUUCAAUUUAAAUCAACUGGGAGAUGGUUCCUUUGGUUUGGAAAAUAUCACUUAUUAGAUGUUUGCAACUGUAUAUUGCAGAACGGAGUUAACAUUUUGGAAGUUCCAUUUGAUGUUUCCAUUGUCAACCUAACAAGUUUUGCAUCCUUUGCAGGACAAAGAUGAACCUCCUCCUGAAGGACGUUUGCCAGAUGCAACUAAAGGUUACUUAUUUGUACUAUCUAAUUUCCUAGCAUAGAUGUGAUAUGACUGAAAUCUCAAGAUUGCAUUGCUCUUUCUGGUGGUCAUACUUUGGUAUGCUAUGAACUCUCAUGUUAGUUUCCUAUAAAAUGAUUUAGCUAGAUGAUGGAUCACUAUUCACUAUUUACUAUUGUCCAUUGACUUAAAGAAACCGGGGUGAAAUUUAUCAGGGAAGGUGUCACAAGGAACGUUCUGGAUUUGAGGGACCUUGGACCAGUAAUCCUCUAAUCUUUGAUAACUCCUACUUCAAGUAAGUUCCUGUUCAUCUUGUUACCUUACAAGUUUCUAAGCAUAUUAUAGAUCCGUUUGAAAGUGCUGCCUGCCCAAAUUUCCGAGAAAACCACACGAGAGGAACCACUGUCCACGAAUUGAUUAUUGGUAUGCUCUUAUUUCGUACAAGUACAGAGAACUGCUGCGUGGAGAGAAAGAAGAUCUUAUCCGGCUUCCAUCUGACAAAGCACUUUUGGAAGAUCCAGCGUUACGUCCAUUAGUUGAGAAAUAUGCUGCGGUAUGUUAAUUUUCUCCCCUUAGCUCAGCUUUUGACCGUUUGCUAGUUAGUGUAGCAUGAAACAACAAAUUGUUUCACUAAACUUGGCUGGCAAUGAUGAUUUUGCGCUAGGACGAGGAUGCCUUCUUUGCAGACUAUGCUGAAGCUCAUUUGAAGCUCUCGGAACUUGGGUAACUAACUUUCGCCUUUCCUUCAAUUCAAUUCAGUAAUGCAGUCCCUCGUCUGGGGAACUCGGAACCCACUUUCUUCAAUCAUUUAGGUUCGCGGAUGAUGCUUGAAGUUCCAUGACGAAGCAGGGAAUUGGUCGUGGGAUGGGACAAAGAAGUCUUGCCCUGCUCGCUUUUCUUUGACUUCUGCAUAUGCCUUCCUCCAGUUCCGAUUGUAGAUGAUUUACUCCCUUAAUGGCCCUCAACAUUUGAUCCGUUGAAUUUGUACUGUGUAUCAUUGCUACUAUAGGCUACAUAAUCGUGAGCUGCUCAUUAGAUUUGGGUAAUCACUUUAUGAACUGAACCAGGGUGAUUGUUUUUUUUCGUUUGUUGUAUAGGCAUUAAAUGCUUUGUAUGAACAAUGAGGGAUCAUGGCCAGCUUGUUCGUGUACAAUAAUCCUAUUUCUUGGUGAUUGAUGCGUUAACUAGAUCUUCGGUUUUUGGUUUUUCGCGAAAAUACCUCGUUAGGGAAAAAGAUUAAACAAAAGAGGGAUACAGUCACUUCCUUUCUUACAAGUAAGGAUGGUUCCCAGCCUGAGGGCCUAGCCUCAAUGACAUUUUGGGCUCUAAGCCUAGUUAUUAUUCCUAGCAAGCACAGAAGGCAAGGAAGGGACGAAGCGUCUUAUCUAUUCUUUAUCAUGAGCCCCCGGCUGAAGAUCGAUCCUGCAGCACACACGCUGGGCACAGGUCCCCUUUCUUUCUUGCAGUCGUUGAGGACGUAUGAAAAGUGCUCAAAAUCAAAUCUUCAAAUUGAAUUCAUAUGAAAAGAACCAUUACAAUAAACAAAAGGUUUCUGAAGUAUAUUUAUUAUUGAAUCAAAAAGAGAAUUUUCAAACAAAAAAAAAAACUGCAGAUAUGAUCUUUUUAUCACGUAAAUGUAUUAAUUAAUUAUGAAAAAAUGAGGGACUCAUCUAUUUAUGAGUCAUCCUUUCGAGUAUAAGUAAGUAAGAAUCAAGAUUUUUAUUACUCCCUCCGUCCCACUUUGAUAGUCCUGAUUCUUUUUUCACACAGUUUAAGAAAAAGUAGUUAACUUUGUUGGAACAAUCAAUUUAGAUAGCAAUUUUUCUAAAAUACCCUCACAUUAAUUAGAGUACAACUUUAUGGAAACUUGAAUUGAUAGUAAAAAAAGAAUAAACUCUCAUUGAAUGUGAUAGGUUUAUAGUAACAACAACUUACAUUGAAUAAGGGUAUUUUAGAAAAAUUAAAAUACAACUAUAUUCUUUAAUUGGAAAGUAGACUACAAUUUGGAACAGACGAAAAAGGAAAACAGGACUAUCAAAGUGGGACGGAGGAAGUAUAAUUCUGACAUGUAUAAACACAACACUUUUGAUAUGUUGGGGAGUUUCCCUAUCGAUCCUUAAUAUGUUGGGGAGUAUCGCUAUCAAUCCUUAUCUAGUAAAGGGUGAUAGUACGCUGAAUCGAAUCAAAUCGGUGCCUUAAUAUCGAAUGGUUUCUUUCUUGGUGUGGCAUGGAUGUUCCCCGUCAUCCAAAGGCGGUUUCGUAUAGAUAUGGAGCCUAAGGAGUAAAAGUAAAGGCAUAUAAUUGAUAGAUUGAACGUGAAUACAGUUGAAGUUUUGAAAAUAAAUAGAAUCAGACGUUAAUAAUUAUUGCAUUCAACUUCUUGAAUAUUAAUUUUAUUAUUCAAAAAUCAAAACUGAAUGGUUUUUACAUGUUAAGAAAAGUAUAUACAUAUUAAAAUUCUUGAAUAUUUUUACUUUAGCAUGUUAAGAGAAAUACAGUGGAUGUCCAAUGGAUAUUCAGUUUUAAGAGUGUUUAGGUUCGAACUUACUUUUUUCAGAUCCAUAACUAUAAGGGUAUGAGUUUAUGUGUAACUAAAUUUAAUGGGUUUGGAUUUGAAUUAAUGAGAUCCAACCCAAAUCCUAUCCAUUGACAUUUUAAAUCACUGAAAAUCACCAGAAAUCACGAAACUAAGAUUCAUUGGACUCCAGCCUCAUCAUUACAUAUUUGAUUAGAUAGUUCAUGGGCCAAAUCAUACCCGCAAUCCCCAGCUUACUCACUGAAGCAUGCAAAAUUAAACGGUGCAAUUGCAUGAGCGUACGCCCCCGCGUGAAUGGUCCAGCGGUAGCAUCUCCCACUGGUGAUCACUUGGUCCCAGGUUCGAGUCUCUGUUCUGCUGGAUUCCUCCGCGCACUUAUCGUGCUUGGGUCGGGUUGGGGCGCCGGGCCCGGGUCGCAGGGAUUAGUCGGGCCCCGUAAGAAUUGACUCAGACACCCCUGUGUCGACAAAAAAAAAUUAUAAUAAUAAAAAAUUGCUUGAGUGUACAUUUGUUGCUUCAAUCCAGCCAGUAGCAAUGGGAGGCUCAGGCCAACAUGGUGCAACGAAUCAAAUUUGAGCCUUAGGGCAGUGGUGGUGGCCUGUGAAUGAUUUGUCAAAGGGGUCUGAUUAUAGUUGCAAAAGUUAUAAAGGAUACCUUCUUUUCAGUGGUCAAAAGUAGUUUUUGUUAUUAUUUAUUCUUUGUCACUUCACUUUCAUUUUUUUGGGGGAGUUGUACUUCACUUUUAAAAUGGCUUCUUCCUGGUGAAUUCUGCUUUGGUCAGAAUUGGACCUUGACAUACCUUCAAGUUUAAGUUUACCGUUAGAUGGUGAAAUUAGCGUAAUUGGGUCUUAGAUAGAUUAUAACAAGUUCAAAAAUUUAGAGGGAACAGUACCAUGACUUACCGGUAUAUAUGAUUCAUGUAUGUAUUUAUUUAGUGUACGGACGACAGGUAUUUAUCUCCGAUUAUCAAAACGACAGGACAUGGUCUGAUGCUUUUUUUAGGAGUAGAUACUUAGACGUUAAGGAAAAGGCAUGCAGGUAUAAAGAUGGAUUUUGGGAGCGCAGAGGAUAAUAGUGAAGUACCUUAAAUUAUCAACAAGUGAGGUGAUUGUGAGGUACGAUUCCACUUAGUAGUUGAAAACUUGAACGCUUGAACUAGUAAAAAGGGAAAAAAGUUGAGUUAGGAUUUGAGAAAAGAAGAACAAGAAUCAUUUUUCUUUCUGUAAAGUAACGCCAACGACAAAGCUCAAUCACCACAUUGUCUGACAAAAAAGUUGCCGGCCCGCCCGCAACAAUCACUAAGAAAAAGACUAAUCUGUUUUCCUGGAAAGUUCCGGGCCCUGCUACGCUUGGAUAGCAAAUUUUUCUAAAAAAUUUUUUUACUUGCAUCAUAAAUACAUUUUUCAAUUCACCUUUUUAUAUUUUCAAUCACCUUUUUUAUCUUACAUAUAUCAUAUCACAAAAAGUACUACAAUAAUUAUUCUAAAUAAUUAUUUGGAAUAAUGCUCUAUCCAAACAAAGACAGUACUAGUAUAGUUCCUAAAUCUGAAUAACACUGGAGGAAAUCGAUCUUCUUCUGCUUUUUUUUUCCCCCCUUUUUUGGGGGAAUUGGCAGAAAAUGUUUUGUGGUUGAACUUUUGAAACUAAUUAAAAAACGAAAAGAAAAACUUUUGAAACUAAUUGUGAAUGGAUAUGCACAAAGUAAAAGAAUAGGCGCACAUGCAGAUCAAAACGGUUAAAUAAUAUUUGGAAUGUGAGUUUUUUAGGAGUUUGUCUAAAACUUUAUUAUAACUUACUGUAUAAGUUUUUAAAAAUUUUUUUGAAAUGUGUAGAUUUUUGAAUUUUUUUGAAAUGUAUAGUUUAAAAACAUUAAAAAAAUUUUUGAAGUUACUGUAGCUAAAGUUUUUAAAAAACUUGUAGCAGACAAAUUUGGCAAAAAAUUUGGGUUCCAAACAAGGCCUGAGUUAAAAUCUUUCCACACCGUAAGGCAUAUGCAUGCAAAUCCUUGUUGUGCAGAGGUUCAUAUUUUAUUUUUGUAAACUUUCUCCCUUCCAAUCAAGAGGUGAAAGAAUUAUUUACCGAAGGAUUUGAAAUCCUUUCAAAUAAUCUCUCUAAUUGUUUAGAUUAUUUAAAAGGUAUUUGAAUUUGUGGAUCACAAAUUAUUAUAGUAUUCAAAAUAUAUCUUGAUAAUUAGUGAAUUAUAAAUUCAAAUGCCUCUAAAAUAAUCCAAAUAAUUUGAACGAUUUGAAUGGAUUUCAAAUCCUUCAUCGAAUUUCUCAAUUCAAAACGAAAAGUCUGUGCUAUAACAAAAUAUAUGUUAUCUAUGUGCAUAGACUAUUUCAUGCAUUACUUAAAAUCAAUAUAUCUAGAGUUUAGAGUCAAUUAAUUUUAAUAACAAAGUGACAAAUUCAGAUCGUAAUACACAUAAUGGUUAUCAACUAUAUAGUUACUUUACUUUUUUAGGAUAUACUUUUAAAUAUUAAGUAAUUUAAAAUUCUAGUUCGUUAAUAUCUUUUCAAGUAGUCAAAUUGCUAGUAAUAUACGCUUUUUAAUUAUGAGAGACAUACAUUAGUUUUUUAUGCUAUAUAGUUCGUUCUAAAUUUUCUAAUAGUGUAAAUAAAUAGGACAAGAAUGAAAUUAUGAGUAAAAGUUAAUUAUAAUAUCAUAACAAGAAUACAAAUUAGUGAUACUAAUAGGAAAGUGAAAUAAAAUAGUGACAUGAUAGGAGUGAAAAAAAAAAAGCAGUCAAAAGAAAGUAGUGGAAAAGAAAAGGCAAGAGAGUGAAUAAACCAAAAAAUAAAAAAUAAGGACAUUCUUAUUUUAAAAUAUAAUAAAGGGGCAAAGUGUUUAUUUAAUGAGUUCAACGCAGAGGCAAAGCACAAUUAAAAGUAAAGUCCGAAUACGUGCAGAUUAGUUUAAGGGCGAGUUAAGGUCUCCUGACUUGUUGAGGCAUUCAUUACUAAUCGUCCAUGCAGGCGUAUGAUGCGGGACUUAAACUCAUGGGUGGUCAAAUGCGUUGGGUACUGCUUAGGCUAUUAACUCUAAAAGCACUUGAGACUUGAGAGUCAGGAAUUAAUUACUACGAGCCUGGGCAUCAUUUUCAUUUCCAGUUCUACCCCAUAUACUAAUAAUUUAGGUCAACUCCAUCCAUAUAUAAGUUGAACAAAAAUUUCGCUGCCCAUACUAUACUCUUGGGUUGGUUGGAUGUCAUCGACCCGUGUAAAACGUUUUCAGCUUCGUUAAUGUACCUGACUGACUGACUGUUAAUAUUGCGGCUGACAUUGGAUUAAUUAAUUACUUGUAGGAAUUUGUCAGUAUCGUAGAGUCCCAAUGGUCAAAGCAAAGUCUUUCCAAGCUCCUAGUAUGAUCUACAGUGUGAUGCGGCUUUGACGAGGAAAACCAUGCAUUCGUCAAACGGAGGACAGCAAAAUUCUAGUCGCAAUAAAUAAAAAGAAAAAAUAACAAUUGACUUCCAAAUUGGAAGAAUGGAGCGAAUUUCCAUGAUCCUACCCCUAACGAAUAACGAUGCGUCGGUCUUUGCUAAUUUAUUCAAAAAGACUACACUAUUAUGAUGGAUAUAGGUAAGCGGUAAAUCCCGCGUAAGAUUUGAUUAAUAUUUCUUCUUUUUUUUUAUAAUAACUAUAAUAUUUUUAUAAAUUAAUCUAUCAUAAUCUAUAUGAAGUGGAGCCUAGAGAGACUGUAUAUAAUGAUUAAUAGAUAUAAGAAUUUGACUAGAUAAAAAAAGUAUUUUGACAUCUUUUUAAAAUUUUUUUUUACGGUAGGUGAAGUUCAAAGAAAAACUGUAGGUGAAGUUCAAAUUUUCGAUCUACAGUUCGAAGAGGGGGUGCCACUCGUGAAGAUUUGAUUAGUAUUCACUGCUGAGAUCUCAUCUCGAUGAGUUCGUUGGCUUUUAAAACUGGACAAACAAACCAGCAGCGGCGGCAGAUGAUUUGUUGUUGCUACUACUGCCUCGGCCGGCGGAAUAAGCUAAAAACGAUAAAGCACCAUGAAUUUUGAAUUCAAUCAGGUACCUAUUUGCUUCUGGCGUUAAAUCCUACGGGAAUAACUGAAUCCAGGUGAUAUACCGCCACUUUCAAGCUCAGGCGUGUCAUCACAUCAUGGCUUUAUUCUUCUUUAUCGAUAGACUGGGACCACGCUAUUUUUUUAUAUAUUACUAGAUCAUUUUGUGUAUUAAAAUUCAAGAGAAGGAAUAAUUUUUUAUAAAAAUUCAAAAAUACACGUUAUCAAGUAAAAAGAAAAAAAACUUCUAUAAGUAUCAAGUCCAGAUAAUAUAAUUAAACACAUAUGUUGAAGUAUUUUUUGAUUAGUCACAACCGUAAUUUUAAAGAAGUAUUAAAAAGUCUUUUUCUUGAACUGUGACGGUCUCUUUUGCAAAAGACUGCUCCAAAACUCGAAAUUACUAUUAAUGACUUAUUCGUAACAGGAAUAAAAUUUAUUAUUCUGCAAAUAUAUUAUCAAAAUAUAGAGGGAAUAUAAGUCAUUUUAAAACUCUAUCUAAGAUAGUAAAACACGCUGCCGGGCUUGGAAGUUGGAACCGCAACGCGUGCAAAUACUGCUGUAGACGAGCGUGAACUUCUCCUGCUCCCUCAGACCACCGAGAAUUGACCAGCGGAGAAACGCAGGGAUGGAAGACCGGGAGAAUGAGGAUGAAUCAUGACAGGAGUGAGAGAAGACGUAUGUUUGUUAGUAGUUACUGGGGGCCCACAGGCCGAAUCUCGUCCUUUUACCAUUUCCGAUCAUCCUACGCUGUCCCAGGGAGUCCAACUUAACGUGAACCUUCCCGUCUUGUGGGACCCUUUAUAAUUCUUCUUUAUUAACUUUUCACUCGCCCAUUUCCUCCUUUAAAAUAUAUAAAAAAAAAACGAAACUAAAAGUUUCUUUGUUACACAGUACAUACAUACUUAAAGUCUUCCUUUGCAUUUUGACACUUCUUUAUUUAAUUUUCGCUAAGAGACUGAGCACUUGUUAGAUAAACUCGUAUUUUAUUAUAUAUAAUAAGAGUAAAUUUUAUAUAUAUUGAUAGUGUAUACACUAAUACUAUCGAUCGGUGUAGAAAAGAUUAAUAUAUAUAAUAAUAGUACGAGAUGAAUUGAAUUGAAAUAAUUAUAAAAUUUUUUAGAUAUAUAUAUAUAUAUAUAUAUAUAUAUAUAAUUAAUGAUGGUUAGUGCCCUCAAAUUUCCGGCGACCAGAAUGCCACUUCCUCCUCCAAAUCAAGAAUUCGAAUCCACAGUUAUUCCACUCAAAAAAAGGGAGAAAAGACAAGGGGGAUAGAAAGAAUACCAGAACCCGCCCCUUUUUCUCUCCAUUCUGAUAUUUUGGUACUCAAUUAGAAACAUUUCUUAACGACAAACAUUUAUAUUAAAUUAUGUAAUGUGCUCGUUCACUGGUCACUAAUAUUUUUCUCCUGGUGGCCAAUUAAAGUGUCAAUCCCCACUCGCAAGACGUUAAUCACCUUCUUCGCUUCAUAACUUAGCAGCCUUUUACUUUUUUUAUUAUUAACUUUUUCCAUCAAUCGUCAUCUUGGUUGCUGGUCUCUCGUAGCAGUCAGUACACGCUAAAUUUGGCCGUCUGUUCAGCUAAGUUUCUUUCCCAUACUGAGUAGUGAGUAGUAUGCUAGUUCUACUAUAAUCUCUCACUGCAGUCUUCUGCUUAUUAUCCACUGAAAACGAAGGAAGCAAAGCAAUAAUGGUGACUCAUAAAUGCUACUAUUUUCUUUUCCUCUCGUUGGCUUUUCCACUUCUCAUGGAUGUAGCCAAAGCCCAGAUGCCAGGUUCCUCUCUCCCUCUCUAUCUCUGUGCGUCGUUCAUGGGUGAUUAUUAUAUUUGGGAGUUUGUGGAGAUGCUUUUUUGUCUUGAAAAUAAAUAGUACUUUUCAUGCUCCAUUCGUCAUUAAUUUUUUUUAUAUUUUAAUUCUUUUGGCAAACUAGUCGUCGUUAAUGUUGUCUACUAUUGACAGGAUUCCUGUGUAACCAUACUAAUUGCUUUAUUUAAAAUUGAGUGGGCGUGUGCUUUCAUAUUAAUUUUUCCGUAUUAACUUUGGGAUGAUAAUAAUCAUGGGUUUUGUAGUACCGAAAGGAAAUUUAGAAGAAAAGAACCUAAUAAAAUUUCUAGAGGAACGAAUGUUUUUUUUUUUUUGGGGUUGUGGGGGGGGGGGGGGUUGGAAAACAUUUGGUUUUAGGUGAUCGCUGUGGGCAGAGCUAUUGGAUAAACGCCUUUAAUGAUAAGUCAGAGUGAAAGUUCAUAUUAUGUGAAAUGGGUUCAACGUGAUUAUGUAGUCUGAAGUUUUUUAUAGAGGGUUUAGUGGGUGUUAAACCUGCUCCCUGAAAAAGGGGUAGAUUCAGAAGCAGUUGGUGACGGUUGAAUUUUUUUUUUUUUUAAUCAUUCAAACCGAAGGUAAAAUCGUGCAGAUUGCCUGUGCUGAUAACUUUCGUUCCAUUCAGGGAGUAAAAGGAUUAGGAUAUCUAAUAAACACUGGUAAAUGGGGAUAUUUAGUAGGCUUUUAAAUCUUAAGUAGUUAAUAUGCAUUUUUCAUUAAUUAGCGGAACUCUUGCCAAUGCUGUAGUAUAUGGCAACUUCAGUUGGCAACGGAGUUGCAAGUUUAGUGAUGGAGAGUCAAGAAUCGACUUAACUUGGGCCUUCAAAAGUCCUAGUUUGUGUACGAUUUUGGCUAAACUAUAUGGAUUUGAAUUCUUGGUUGCAAGAACCAUUAUUCUGCAGCUAAUCAACUUCUAAACUGAAUCUCUUGGUGGAUCUUUUGGAAGAGAUGAGCAAGUUAUGAAAGUUUAAAUGGUGGUUAGGAGCUUUUCCCAUCUUUAGUGAUCAGUCUAUUACACAUUUCUCUCUGAACUUAUUUCAAUUAGUUUACUGUCUUCUGAUUUUAAGGCCUAAAGUCCAAGGGCCCAAGCAAGUUGGCAGAAAUUUAUGGUCGAGAAAAGAACUGAGAAUUGCAUCAGCCUAAUGGAUGAUUCGUGAAGCACAGCUCAUACACAGUUUGAUCCCUCUACUGUGGCUUCAGUGCUUGAAUACCAUAGAAUCCUUGAAACUGUUUGUUCUGGCGAAUUAAGGCAACAAUAGCAUCCUAUUUUCUUCCCAAAACAUCCUAUUCGUGGUGAAUAAUAAUCUGUGGGGUUUGUUGUGAAAACCUAGUUAUGAAAUUUACUUGGUAAUGUUCAGAAUUACCUUCAUCUUCUAGGUUUUGGUGCUUCUGCAGAAGAAAUUAGCCAUAUAUUUUAUGUUAUUGGAGUGCUCUUUUAAAUUCUGUGAUAAAAGUAGCAGUUGAUCAUAUGGUUCUGACUGAUGUGGCCCCGUGGAUCAGGUUUUUUAAGUUUGGACUGCGGAGGCAAAGGUAACUUCACAGAUGAACUUGGUCUCCUGUGGACUCCUGAUGGUCAGAUGAUCAGCGGAGGAAGAGCUAAUAUAUCUGUUGCAAAUGAGCAAAGAACUCAAUAUAUGACUUUGAGAUAUUUUCCUGCAGAUAACAGAAAGUAUUGUUACACACUUAAUGUUAUGAGUAGGACCAGAUACCUUUUAAGAGCAAGCUUCUUGUAUGGAAACUUUGACAACAACAACGUGUAUCCAAAGUUUGAUAUUUCACUAGGGCCUACUCGCUGGGCUACGGUGGUUAUUUCAGAUGCUAGCACUAUAGAAUAUCAAGAGUUAAUAUUUCUUGCUACUGAACCCACCAUUAGCAUCUGUUUGUCUAAUGCUACCACUGGGCAGCCAUUUAUUUCGACCCUUGAGCUCCGACAAUUUAAUGGUUCAAUUUAUAUGACCCAAUUUGAGAACGAGUUCUUUUUAAGUGUUUCUGCAAGAAUAAAUUUUGGUGCUGAUAGUGAUACUCCAAUCAGGUAUGCUUCCCAUCUUUUUCUGGAUUUUGGUUGCAGUAGAUUGAAAUGUUCUUGACAGGAUAGCUAUGGUCUUUACUUUCUGUCAAAAUUGCCAUGCAAUUAGAAAUCGAAGUCUUUGCUCAGUACUGAUACUUAGAUUUCCCCCUUUUACCCAUCAGGUAUCCUCAUGAUCCAUUUGAUAGGAUAUGGGAAUCUGAUACUGUGCGAAAAGCCAACUAUCUAGUUGAUGUUGCACCUGGUACUGAAAAGGUAUCUACUCGAAUGCCAAUUGAUGUUAGCUCUGGUGAAAGACCACCUGAGAAAGUGAUGCAGACAGCUGUAGUUGGAAGAAAUGGGUCACUCACAUAUCGGUUGAAUCUGGACGGUUUUCCUGGUUCUGGAUGGGCAUUCACCUAUUUUGCAGAAAUUGAAGAUUUGGCUCCAACUGCUACCAGAAAAUUCAGGCUAGUGUUACCUGGAAAUCCUGAUCUCAGCAAGGCUAUUGUCAAUAUUGAAGAGAAUGCCUCGGGGAAAUAUCGUUUAUAUGAACCUGGAUACUUCAACAUAUCGCUUCCCUUUGUCUUAUCAUUCAGAUUUGGAAAGACGUCUGAUUCUACAAUGGGGCCCCUCCUGAAUGCAUUAGAAAUAAAUAAGUAUCUGAAGAAAAGCGAUGGCUCUUUGGAUGGUAAAAUGAUAUUUUGAAUAUAAUUCAAUUCAUUAUCUCCUUUCACGGAAUAGCAUACAGUUUGGCCCGCGUAGCUCCUUUUACAAUGAGGGAGGAUUCAGGGCUGUUGAAAUUGCUGGCUGAGUUUAAGUCCUUCCUUUCUAGAUUUAUUUUGUGAAAAUGCUAAUAAUGCAGUCUUCAUACCUAUCUGCAUGAAUUACAGGACAACUUGUUGCUGGUAUAAUCUCAGCUUACUCUACUGCUGAUUGGGCACAAGAAGGUGGUGACCCAUGCUUACCGACCACGUGGUCGUGGAUCCAAUGUAACACAGAUCCUCAGCCUAAAAUAACAUCCAUGUACAGUUCUGUUGGUUUUCCUUUCACUUUCUGGUGUUUGUUUCUUGGACCUUGUGUUGUUGAUGAUAUAUCUUGUGCCCUGUGUUGAUGAUAAUAUUGUCAAAUGUAUUGUUUCAUAUCAUGUCCUGAAACCAUUCGAAAAAGUAAGUCAGUGAUUUAUCAGCUAACCUUAAUAUCUGUUUUUGCAGCAAAUUGUCGAGGAAGAACUUGACUGGAAGUAUCCCUUUAGAGUUAACAAAAUUGAGCGGCUUAGCUGAAUUGUAAGUUUCAGCUAAGAACGAUUUGUAUCUGUUCCUAUGGUCUGUAUCAUCAUACCUUUUAACUUCUUCUUGCAGAUGGCUUGAUGGAAAUUCAUUUUCUGGUACAAUUCCUGAUUUUUCUGGAUGCCCAAACUUGAAGACAAUGUAAAUCCUCUCUCUUUUCUGUUUUUGUCAGAAGAAUAGGGGUUGUAGGGAAUAUAUUUUCUUUUUUCCCCACAUGCAAGUUAUUAUUGUCUCAUGUAUAAAGGCAUGCACUUGUGUUAUACCAGCGCAUGUGCAUUUAUAGUUCAAGUGGGGAAGUCAUGUAUAAAUGGUGUUGCUUAUAGUGAUUUCUUCUGGUAUUUCAGGAAUGAUGAGAUUCUGUGCUUUAACUCCUGUUGGCUUAAUUAUUUUGCAAUUUUGGAAAUUUUGCAGACAUCUUGAGAACAAUCAGUUGACUGGAGGGCUGCCUUCCUCCUUGGGAGGUUUACCGAAUUUAAGAGAACUGUAAGUUUGAUACGUGUACUUUGCUUUGACUUUUCCUUUUCUUGUCUGUCAAAGGUUUAUUAUGUACAUCAUGGUCGUUUUAACUCUUUCAGGUAUGUGCAGAACAAUGAGUUAUCUGGGACUAUCCCAUCAAAUCUUCUGAACAGGGGUCUGAUCUUAAAGUGGGUGUUCAUUUUCCCCCCUCUGUUCCUUGUUUCGCUUAGAUAAUUAAUGUCUCCAUGUCUUGUGAGGCAAUUGCCUUAUGCAAGUGACAACUGUGGUCAUCUAGUCGGUCCUUAUUCAAAUAAAUCUGUGAUUAAUAUGCUGUGUUAGUAUGUUUUUCCUUAAUAAUUAAGAACGAUUACAUAUAUUUUGGCGUGAACAUUUUCUGACCUUUUAUUUACCUUCCCAGUUUUUGGUGGUGGAAUUUUCAUGCCUGCAAAUUAGAUAAGAUAGAAAAUGGUGCUAUUAACUUAUUGUAGAUCAAAUGCCAUCAUAAAUCAUGAAUCAUGACAUGUUUGGAAAUUGGAAGGUUAAAAGCCUUUUAUGCCUUUAUUUUAAUGUUUUAAGCUGACCAAUAUCCAUGAACAAGUAGGCUCUUCAAGACAUGCAGAUGAUAAAAGCCCAGCUUCAUUUUAAUAGACAUGUUAAUGGGAUGAUGCUAAUGUUCAAUGGUAUAUCAUAGCUUUAGGUAGUGGCAAUUUAAUAUCUUGUGUUGGAUUUGACUUAAAUUGAACUAGCAUGAUAUAUAUCUGUAUCCCCGUUUAUCUGAGCAUUCUGUUUCUGAAAUUCUCCUUUUAUAUGGUCUUUGUACCGCAAUGCUUUCAGCUAUACUGGGAACAUUGGUCUUCAUAAAGGAGGCAGUGCAGGAAAUCAUAAGAAAAUCAUUAUUGGAUCAUCAGUUGGUGCUGCAGCACUGCUGCUCGCCACUAUUAUCUCUUGCUUAUUGAUGCAGAAAGGAAAUAAAAAUUAUGCAAAUCAAGGUUAGAUGGAAGAUUAUGAAUUAUUUAGUUCUUUUUAGGCAUGAGAACAUUGCUUGCUCAUGAGAAAUUUGUGAAUCUAUUUGCAGACCAGCAUGAACAUCGUUUACCUGGUCAAAGAGUUGUCUCCUCAUUGGGUGAUGCUGCAUCUGAAGUUGCUCAUUACUUCACUUUGUCUGAGCUUGAAGAUGCAACAAGGAACUUUGAGAGGAAAGUCGGCUCAGGAGGCUUUGGAGUUGUGUAUUACGGGAAACUCAAGGAAGGGAAGGAAAUUGCCGUGAAAGUUCUCACAAAUAACUCCUUCCAGGGCAAACGAGAAUUUUCGAAUGAGGUAAUUCUCUUGAAUUGGGAUUCAUUUACUGUUGGUGACAGUGGCUUUUGCCUUCUAGUUUAUUUACCAAAAUCUGUUUGUAAAAAAUGAAGAUAGUAGCACCAGAGACGUGGUGGUUUCCUUUUCUUCCCCUGGGGAAAAGAUGACAACUAUUGGAAUACAGAAGAAACAGGAGUAAUGAUAUUGCUUCGCAAACACAAAUUACUUUUGAAGAACUUAUUCUAAAUUUUUCUAAUGCACAGUUUUAUCAACUUUUUUGCUUCCAGUCACAAGUUUAUCAACUUUGUUUCAUUUUUAAUUAAUUAUUCUUCUUACAAUGAUAAAUUUCUUUUUGGCUGCAUUACCUACAAUUUCGCGAAAAUCCCAUGCUCAUAUAUGGCUUAGGUGGCUCUUCUUUCGAGGAUACAUCACAGGAAUCUUGUACAGUUUCUUGGAUAUUGCCAAGAAGAAGGGAAAAGUAUACUUGUAUACGAGUUCAUGCAUAACGGGACUCUAAAGGAACAUCUCUAUGGUAAAGUCUGUUAUUUUUCUGAUACAAAGUUGUUCAUUUUGGCAUGUUUAAUCACUUGUAACACCUGGUAGGGCCUAUAACACAUGAAAGAAGGAUCAGUUGGAUUAAGCGCCUUGAGAUUGCUGAAGAUGCUGCUAAAGGUGAGUAUGCUAAAUAUGAAUCGUUUUAAAUUGACAGGCUUGGUCCUCGUUAGGUUAGAAUAACAAGUCAAAACGGUUAUGCUUGUCUCAGGGAUUGAGUACCUUCAUACUGGGUGUACUCCAUCCAUCAUUCAUAGGGAUGUAAAGACCAGCAAUAUCCUCCUUGACAAGGACAUGCGAGCAAAGGUUUCGGAUUUUGGUCUCUCAAAACUUGCCGUAGAUGGAGCUUCCCACGUGUCAAGCAUUGUUCGAGGAACUGUUGGCUAUCUAGAUCCUGAGUAUGACUUUUGUCCUAGACCUUAAUCUUCUUUGAUUGGCUAAUAAAGUGCAAGAUCACAUAAACUAUAUGGUUGAACAAAUUAGUGAUUGAACUUCCAAUUUUGUCAUUAUUAGUCUUUCACUUUUAAUCAUUACAUGUCCUCUUUCAUCAAGUCUAUUGCUCUAGAGUUCACAUGCUGACAGCAUACAUUCAUUAAAUCUGGAUUAUGCCUUAAUUAGCAACCAAAUGGGACUUUCCAGGGCAUUUAUGGAAGUGGACUUUUUAUCCAAGAUUUUGGAUGCUUGGCAUAUGAUCUAGUUCACUAGUUAUAGAUAUUAUGAGCUCUUAUGUCCUACCUAAGAAGUGAGUUUGUUGCUAUUUCAUCCACCUGGUCAUCUCUACUUGCUGAAGGUCCCAGAUAAUCUUCAUUUAUAGGACUGACGGUCUUUGUCUACUUCCUAUGAAAUAUAAAAAGAAUUGACUUCAAGCAUUUUCCCAGUAAUUGUUUGGUGAGCUCCUGUAAAGGGUUAUAAGGUGGGUUUUUUUUUUCAAUUUUUUGGUAUUUUGGGGGCGGGGGUGAUGGAAACAAUGUAGGACACUGAUCAAUAUGCACAAGACUAUUAACUCUAUGCAAUCUUAACUUGAACACCAACUCUCUAAGCCAAGAAUUCUGUUACAACUACAUGCCCAUGAACUGGCAACUUAAAUCAGCUGAACAGUUGAAUUUGUCGUCCCCAAAUUUGCAACUAUCUUUCACAUUUAUUGGUAGUAAACAUUGUGACUUAAGAGAAAUUGAGAAGCUGGGGUCUUCACAGGUUACUGGGAAAAGGACAUCUGUAGAUAAAGACAAAAGAGUCAGUGACUUGAUGCAGAGAUCUUGUCAAUUGCAUUUAUCAAUGCUUUAGCUUUGAGCUUUCCCUUAACCUGAAAAUUUUUAAAGUCACACAUAGGAGAUGUGAUUGGAAGAAAAUCCAAAAAAGAAAAAGUGAUUGCACAUUGUCUACUUAUCCUUUCUUUACCAAAGAUGAUAUUCCUAAGAAUGGCAUGAUUGGUAUUUGCAGCAUGCUGCUAUCACUAAUUAGGCUUUUCAAAAGUUCUCCCUCUAUAUUUCUUCUGUUCGUAUGUGAAAGGCUUUGAAGAUAGUUGUCUUAUGCUUAUAUUUCAAGCAUGACUUCUUACAUUCCACCAAUCUUAUGCAGGUAUUAUAUCUCCCAGCAGUUGACGGACAAGAGUGAUGUCUAUAGUUUCGGGGUCAUUCUACUGGAGCUAAUAUCUGGUCAAGAGGCAAUUUCAAAUGAAAACUUUGGUGUGCACUGUCGCAAUAUAGUCCAAUGGGUAAGAUCAGUUGACAAUAACAGUACUAGUUAUGAAAUCGAUAAAGCACCUCGAAGUUUCCUGAUUCAUUACAUGAGGUUCGACGUUGCUGUAGUGAGAUUAUAUUUGAGCAUAUUAUACGAUAUAGCAAUUGCUGUUUAUCAGAACGAACAAUGUUCCUGAAUCCGCAUUUAUUCCCGCGAUAAAGAAAUUAGCUAUAAUGGUUUUUACUUCUUUACGGGUUUCAUCUCUAUUUCUUUUUUUAACGAGAUUCCAGAUUGACAAAAUGGAUAAAGCACCUCCUUAGAGGACUAAUCUGUGUAAAUCUCUUUGUUGUCAAUUUUUAUUCAAAGUGCAAUCAGAAUUAACUGUUUGACUAUCUUGUUGCACCAUCUCAGGCGAAGUUACACAUCGAGAGUGGAGAUAUCCAAGGGAUCAUUGACCCCUCAUUGCAUAAUGAAUAUGACAUCCAAUCAAUGUGGAAGAUAGCUGAGAAAGCUUUGAUGUGUGUCCAACCCCACGGGAGCAUGAGGCCCCCUAUUUCAGAAGUUAUUAAGGAGAUCCAAGAUGCAAUAUCGAUUGAAAGAGGUGCAGAAGCAAUCAGGGAAGGUAGCUCAGAUGAUAUAUCCAGGCAAUCUAUUCAUUCUUCCUUAAACUUGGGGGGUUCUCUGGACUUGGGUGCAAGUGAGCAUUACUUAUCAAUUGAUGAGUCCAUUGCACGGCCAACUGCUAGAUAGGAUUUGUCUACUCACAAGUCUCGCCCUAUUUCCCAUUUUUUCGGGAUAGCUCGAAUUUAUCCGGAGCGAUAGAAUAUUCUGAGUUUCUCGGCUUCGUUUAGUACUUAAUGGCAGUACAUAUGUGGGCUGUGUAGAUUAUGAGUUAGCUACUCAAUUUAUUCCAAAUAUUGGUCAUUGUAUUAGCAGAGCAAGAUUGGUGGACUGUACCCAGUGGAUUAUUGAAGUUUUUUUUCUCCCCUUUUUUGGGGUGGAGAUGCUGACUCCCUAUCACUAUGACUAUCGGGACGGACAGAAUGGACACCAAGUAGUGUGUCACAUGCCAAAUGCUGCUGGCUCUGUGUAUUCUUGCCUAGUUAAACUGUGAUGAUUUAAAUGGUGAAACUGACCCUGAACCUGAAAAGUUGUAGUAGCAGCCAUGUGAGAUGUAUCAUGGAGGUCAUAGUCCUUGCAGCUUGUUGAUUUUUCGUCUCUUUAUUUUAUUUUAUUUAUUAUUGUUUUCUCUAUUUGGUGCCAAAUGAACGCACUCAAAAAGGAAAGUAAAUCUAUUAUUAAUGCUUUAGAUUACCAUCCGUUCGCUGAAUUGCAACAUUUUUGUGGAUUAAAUUUGUUUCGUUGCGGAUAAAAUAAUUUUUUGUGCUAGGACACCAAAUAGACGGAUCCUUAUUUUAUUUAUGAGUAUUGUCAUUAUUAUUAUUAUUUAUGUACUCUAUUUUCUUUUUUUGGGGUAUCUUUUUUCUUGUUUUGGGGUACUGGAGUUUGAACUCGAUACAUUCCUUGUAGAACUCAAGAUCGACUUACAUGGGUUCGAGUCAAAGCGAGCCUUAUUGACUCGAACCCGAAUCAAGAAGAUUUGGGAAUUUUAUUUUUAUUUUACAAAAAUUGAGUGAAAAGACAUUAAUUAAAAAAUUUCAUACAAUCUUAAACAUUUCGUAAAUUCAACAACUCUUGUGGGCACAAGAAUAAUUUGAUAAUAAUAAUAAAUUAAAAAUUAAAAUUAAAAAACUCAAUAUGGCUCGACAAGUUUUCGAAUCUUGCUACUGAAUACUCGAAUUCGACUCAUUAGGGUCUAUCAAACUACUCAAACUCGAUUACAAUCCUAGACCUGAAAAUGAAUGUAGAAAAGAAAAAAAAAAUCCGUGUUACAAACAAGCAAAAAGUCCCAAAUUUUGGUGGAGAGAAAGUUCAAUAAGCAGGAAAAUGGAGAAAACGACAACGUCUGAAGGCCGCACCGGAACUAACGCCUCAUACACGUGUUAUGAAUCAGAAGAAGAUAGAGGCCAAAGAGGAUGGGGCAGUACACUGUACACUACAGUAGUAGUAGUAGUACUUUAAUCGCCGCUGCACCAGCAGCGGAAUCAAAUCCUAAAUUCCUACGUAUUUCCUAAUGGAGAGGAGAUAAAAAGGGGACGCCCCCGCCCUUCUUUCCCCCGCCCUCAAUUAAAAGGACAUCUAACAACCAACGGUGUUGAUAAACCUAAGCGGCUAAGCCCAUCCCAAUUCUCUCAUCUCAGUCGUCUCCUCUUUCCCUUCUUCUCCAGCGUCCGAUCUCCCCUCUCUCCUCUCCCUCCAUCCUCAUCACCCUUCCCUCCUCCCCUCGCGCCAAAACUCAAAAACAAAAUAAUCUAUUCCUCCAAUUCUACACCCUAUAUAUAAAAGCCUCACUCUCCAUUCCUCCCUCAGGUAACAACCUUUUCCUCUCUUCUUUCUUUUUCCACCAACUCCCGAUUCAAACUUCUUCACUUCAACCGCUGCAGUGCUAAUUUCUAUCCCUCCCCUCUCUCUCUCUUUCUCUCCCUCCUUCUCUCUGUUUUCGGUGUCUUCCUUUCUCGCUCUGUGAAUGAUAUGUAGAUGCAUGCAAUUUGAUGUAUCUGUAGGAUUCUCAUUAUGGAUGAACCAGACCUAGGGUUUUUUGGUUUGAUUUUUUAUGGUUGUGCGCUGCUAGGGUUUGGGUAUGGCUGAUUCGUCUCAGGGUGGGACUCCGGCGAGUCCAGGCGGCGGGAGCCACGAGAGCGGCGACCAGAGUCCAAGGUCCGGUGUUCGGGAACAAGAUAGGUUCCUUCCCAUAGCCAAUAUUAGUCGGAUCAUGAAGAAGGCACUUCCGGCCAACGGUAAAAUUGCUAAAGAUGCCAAGGAGACUGUUCAGGAAUGCGUCUCCGAGUUCAUCAGCUUUAUCACCAGCGAGUACGUCGUUUUGUUAUAUGCUUCUCUUUAUUCGUAUUCGUUCAUAAUUCUGCCUACCGUAGUUUAAGCCGAAUGCGGAUCAUCCUUGGCUAAUCUGGAGCUUCUUGUUGCAUCUCCAUAGCCCCCUUUUUGUCAUGAAAAAUCAGUUACUUUUACACAUUCAUUGUCCCCAUGGCUACUUCGGCUGGUCUAAAAAACUUAGCUACCUACCUACGAGUCUGGAAGUGGAUUUUCCUGAUUCGUUACCUAGGUUUACAUGAACUCGUAUGAUAUACUGUUCUCUUCUCUCUGUGAUUUUGAUUUCCCAUAAUGUUUAUACUUCUGUUUUGGAACUUGUCUAGCCCGAUCCAUGUUACUAUUUGUACAUUUGUGUGUAUCCACCGCAUAAGUUGAUUGAAAGAGUUAUGGUGGUUCAAAUGUUAGGGCAAGUGAUAAGUGCCAGAGGGAGAAGCGAAAGACUAUUAAUGGAGAUGAUCUGCUGUGGGCAAUGGCAACUCUAGGUUUUGAAGAUUAUAUUGAUCCUCUCAAGGUUUACUUGACUAGAUAUAGAGAGGUACUCAUCUUUCUUCUCGUACCUUUGCUUAACAUGGUUUGUUUUGUCACUUUCAUAUUACCUUGUACAAGCAUUCUUAUGAGCAGUUAGUGACUGAUAAUUUUUGUUUUCUUCUGUUAUUGUUCCAAUUGACUGUUGCAGAUGGAGGUAAAUGACUCUUCAUUUUUUUUUUGCUUUUUUUAAAAAUUAUUCUGUAAUUUUUGUUCUUCUACCUUGUUUACUGGUAACUGUGGCUUGUUUUCUUUUAUGGUGGAUUUCUCUUGUUUUCUGUGCAUUAUAGGGUGAUACAAAGGGGUCAGCAAAGGGUGCAGACGGGCCUGCUAAAAGAGAUGGUGUGCAACUUGGGCCUAGUCCCCAGGUUGGUAUUGCCAAUGUGGAACAUAAUUCUAUCUCUAGCUUCCACUGGUUUGCUUGCUGUUUGUUUUUUAAUGCCUGUGCAACACAUUGUGUGGAAAAUUUACUGACAUACCCUGUGCUGUGUUCGGCUUGCUCAUCAGGGUUCAUUUUCUCAAGGCAUGAAUUAUGGAAGUUCUCAGGUCUCUCUCUCUCUCUCUCUCUCUCUCAUUUACUUGCACAUAGAUUAACUUAAUAAACUCAUGCAUCUGUUGAAACCAUAAAAGUACGCAUAAGCUAAAUGGAAACUUCUUGCUGCUGCCAAAUUCAGCAUGUAAAUGGGAAACUAUGUUCACAUCACAUGCAUCAUUGAGAGUUUCAUGUUUCAAUAUGGCCAGUGCAUCCAACUGCUACUUGGUGCAUGUACUUCAGUUACUUGCUCUGGAAUUGUUUUUCAUCGGUUAAGUUCUUGUAUAGUUCCUGUGGCAUUGAAAUUAUAUAUUUUUAUUGUCAAAAAAUGUUAAUCUUUUCAGUUAUAGUCUAUAUUUUGGUUGGGUAUAUUUCUAUGUACUGUUAAUUUUUGAGGGGGUAAAAGAUAGCCCAUGUAUUUGGUGUGUGUCUGUCUGUGUAUAUAUCAUUGAUAUGGUUCCCUUCAUGCAAUUUUCUAUUUUUUGUCUUAUUUAUUUAUAUAAUAAUUUGUGGGUAAGUUUGCUUCAUGCAGUUAAUGAGCAGAAAAGCCUUUUCUCAAUGUCUUGAAUAUGACUCGAAUUUGGCCUCCUCUUCUAUGUGCUUAUUUCUAGAGCCAGCAUAAGGCUUGACAUUUGCAAUUAGUUGUUGAAAGGUGUACUUCCUCAGAAUCAUAACUUCAUAAAAUGUAGACAUGUAAAUAAUGCUGUAUAGACUUAGCCACACCAAAUGUUACAUGCUGUGGAUACACCGAGCUUUACAUGCUAUGUUUGCUGUUUGGUAUGAUAUGUAAUUCAAAAUAUGCACAUAAAUUCAUUGUGGGAUUUCCCAGUAAAUAAGUGCAUUCAUUUUCUUGGAAAAACUUGGACUUUACAAUGAUUAAGAGAGAAAGUUGAGGUUGUAAAGCGUGCUCUUAAGUAAGUGAACUAUAAAACUUUUACAAAAGUGAAAUAGUUUACAAAUCAUGUAAAAUAUUACAAAAUUGCUCAUGCGUAGAUGUGAAAGUGGAUGAGAUUUGGCAUUGUGGUUAUAUAUGAAUGCCUUUUAGGAUUGGGCACUUACCAAGAUACUAUCUGAUAUGAGACAGGAGGCAAGGAGUUACUAUACCUAUGUAUAUGACUUAUAUUGGUAUUUCUGUUUGUACAAUUGGUCUGUUAUGGCUUAUAAAUGUCUUCACCAAACUUAUCACAGAAAAAAAAAAGAGGAAAUUAUCUUGUGUUUUCUUGUGAUGGUCAAUAUGGAUGUGGUAGAAAUUGAUGGUGGCGGGGUUUAUUGGUUGUGGUGGUGAUGGUGUCAGUACUGUUGUUGGAGAACUGAGUGGUUGAAGGUGGUGGUGGCACAAAUGCUUGUAGAGGGUGGGGAAUGGUGUUGGUAUCUUGCUUUCUAUCUGUGUUUGUUGUUUGAUUUAAAAGCACCAUGGGAAUGAAUAGUUAUUAUGGCUCAUGGAGUGAUGCAUUUUGCAGUUUCUGGUCCAUCAAAAAUUAAAAAGAAAAAGAAAAUUCUGAUUAUUUUUUCUACGGAGAAUUUAAAUUUGUCUUGUAUCAUAUAUGUGAUGCUUCUUAUCUUUUGCAGUAGAUGGGAAUAACCAUCCAAUUCUUCUCCCCAGUGAAAUUUAGCCAAGGUAGCGAAGGAGUUUUAACUGUACCUAAAUGAGUACUUUUCUUUUUGUCCAGCUGAUUCCUUUUUUACUUUAUUGAUGGGAUGAUUAAGCACUUUGAUUUUACUUAAUGAUAAUCAAGCCAUGUGCCUAAUCCUUUUGGAUCUCUGGCAAUGUUACAUGUGCAGGGCUCAACAUUUCUCUUCAUGUUAUGUAACUAUUGCUUUCCUACCAUGUCUUGAAGCUGCAUAAACUUAUUGGUUCCAUGAAAUUCAGAAGGUUUCAUGUGUUUAUUUUCUUCUUAUUGCUUAUUACGGGCAUGAAAAGCUCCAAAAUUGUGGGGAGCAAGAUAAGGGAGCUUACCUCUUGGUUUUUUGUGUUGGCUGUUGCUUUGUAGUGGCUGCAUAUGCAUACAUGUGGAUUUAGGUUCUGAGUCUUAAAAUUCGAAUGGCAUUUUGAGCAUCUAUACCACAGCCUAUGAGCCUUUUCUUGCCGUUGAUAAGUGCUAGAUGUAUGUCAUAUGCCCUUAGAAAGUGCAGUAGAUAGAUAAAUUCCAGCCAAUUUACUGUUUAACGGAUCCAUCAUAUCACCAUACAUCAAUGCGUAAUGUAUCAAACUUGGAGAGGGCAAAGGAAUUAGGAAAGGAAAAUAACUCUUGCUUAGUAGGUGUGUAAAACGUCUAAGCAAUGGAUGGUGACAUGACAAUGUCUUUGUCAGCGGAACUGAUGUUCAUUCUGUCUUUGAAAUUUCAGAUAAAUGGAUAAUGUUCGUUCUUAAUUAAUCAACUUCAUUAUAUCUCAAGGGUUAGUAAUUACUUUCGUUCUUAAUAAUGUUAGUAUCCACUUUAUUGUAGUGUCAUGAGAUAUUAUGGCUUUUGUAUGAAGUCAGCAUGUCUAGUAGUUUCUUCAUGGAAAAUUAUAUAUGAACUUUUCAAUGGUGCUUAUGUUAUUGGUUUGAAUUUGCAGUGGCGAGGUCAGAAUGUAAUGAUCCAAAUGCAAGGCAUGGAGUAGAUUUUGCGUCUGUUUGUUUGAUCAUUUGUUAAUGUGCUUAGAAGUCGUCAUUGCAGUUCUUGAGAUAAAUACAUGUAAGCUUUUACUGUGAACUGAUUGUAACAACUGGUUUUAGCUUUCCUGUGUUAGUACUAUAUUCUGGUUAAAUGUAUGUCUCUGGUGCUUUUCAAGUAGGUCUGAUUAUUUAUUUAUAGAGCUAUGAACUUUGUGGGCUUUUGUAAGAGAUGUCUCUGGUUUCUCUUUUGUAAGAGCCUCUCAGGAUCGCUUAUGUUUGCUUACUCCGCCUGCGGGUGUGUUUAGUGAGUGUUCAAAACCGGUUUAUUUUGACCCGCAAGUCUUCGGACGCGGGACUGCGUUGAUGGAACGCUUUAUAAGGAAUUUUAACUUGGAAAAAAUAGCAAAUCGAUUGAAAAUUGUGUUGCGCAGCUGCGCUUGCCGGUUUCCGCAACGCUUUCUUGUCUUGAAGCAUAUUCUUUGUCCACGUCUCAAGGGAAUCAUUUUUUCGGUCAUUUAUGAUCAUCAUAUUAUCUUUAGCCAGUUUUAUUUUUUAUUUUUUAUUUUUUUUAAACGCCAAUUAUGCUUUCAGUUCUUUGUUCCCCGUGUUUGCCAUGGUAUUUGAACGAGGGUUAAGCUAGAAGCAGAUUUUAAAGGCACCCAGAUGAGAAAGGGAGAGACACAAAUCAAGAUAUAAAGGUUAAUUGCUAAGGAGGUUUUGAUCUAGCAGUUUGUGUCGAGACUCUACGAAUUAAAGGAUAAAUUUCACCUCUUCACUGCUAAGAAAAAAAAAGGUAUGAAGGCAAAUUGGAUAAUGAACAUUACGCUACAAAAAGGAGAGCACAUUUCGGUUUGCAGUGUCUCUACCUUUUGACUUUGCUUUUAAAAUAAGGGAAAAUUAGUAAAGCAAACCUAAAUUAGUAAAAAAAUAGAAAAUUUAUUCAAACUCGAAUAAAAUUAUAUCACGUAAAACAAAAUUUCACUAAUAUUUAUUUACAGAAAAAUUUUUAAAGCUUAGUGUUUUAAACUUGAUGUGCCACGAAUACUAGUUAUUUUAACUAAUUCACAUUCUUUAAUACUAUUUGUUUCUUACCCUUGAUAUUCUUGUCAAUCCAAUAAAACCACUAAAAAUGGAAAGAUUCCAUAAAAACAUAAAACGAAUUAUUUCCAACUAAUUUCAUUUAAAUCUUGCAUUACUCUCAAUUACUUUUUUUAUCUUACAUAAUCAUUAUUUUUUUAAAAAAAAAACUAUAGUGUGAUUUAGCCUUCCUUUUUUAAAUAUUAUUUUGUUUGCAUAAUAAAUGCAUUUUUGAAGUACCUUUCUAUAAGCCAAUUUCUUCAAUAACUUUAUUAUGGCAUCACGUAAUAAAAUGAGAGGACAAUAAAAAGAACAGGACUGAAUAGUAGUUUGUUGAAAAAAGUUUGAAGCACAUUAGGACUAACUACCAGACAUCAACGUCACUAAUAUUUAUGUUCCACCAUUUCAUAUUUAAAAUUUUAUAAUUUUAUCUUUUGAUUUAAGAUAGGCCUCAAAACUUACAAAAAACAAUUAACAAAAGAAGAAGACUUUCCAUCUGUCCAGCGAUUAUAGGCCUAUCGAUAUGUCAGGAAGUUACCAGGCUUUUGAGCCAUUAGGCCCAUUACCACCCUUUGUUCUUUUUAAUAAUAAUUACCUCAAUUUUCGUUACUUCUUGCUAGUUUUGUGUAUUACGUUCCUUCAUCCGAAAGCAAUCUCACAGGAAGAUGGCGUGAUUUUCUCAAUCGCGUCCAUGGAGUCCAUGCAUCAGCCGAUAGAUGAUCACGCAUCACAAAACAAUACGAGAAAACCCUAACCGCAGCAAAAGUGUCAUAUAUUAUUGAUAGUAGCAAACUGCUGGUAUGGGGUGAGCAUAAGUUCGUUUAAUUUAUUUUAAUUUUGGACUGAAUCCAUAAAAAAUCGGACCGACAACGAUUAAUCAUAUGUAUCAAUUUUGUUUUUUCAAUUAAUCAAAAUCGAUAUCUGCAUGAUAGACGAAAAAAGUGAUGAUUAGAAACUGUCGAAAUUAACUCCGGUCUCUCUCUAUGAGAGUUUUUUCUCUCUCUGGGUAGAGAGCGAAAUCCCCCUAGUGGGAGCCUUACACUUUCUACACUUUCUAACAACUUUCUAAAAAAA